Molecule: long non-coding RNA, 100564 nt
Filed under: Triticum aestivum (bread wheat)
Lineage: Eukaryota; Viridiplantae; Streptophyta; Magnoliopsida; Poales; Poaceae
Description: long non-coding RNA (TAES_LNC003431)
Source: RNAcentral
GAGGAGGAGCUGGUGCAUCAUCAGAGUCAGCAUCAUCACCAAAGUGAUCCACAUUUGCACCUUGGAUGGCAAUGUGAGUGAUGUGUCCUUCAAGGUUGUACAAGGGGCCGAUUCUGUUUUCAUUGGCUUCACGGGUGCCAUCUUCCCGAGGAGCAGACGGACCUAGGUUGAGGUCAAGUCCAUAUGCCUUCUUGUUCUCCAUAGCAGAGUCUUUCGCAAACUUGAAGUUGCGCUUGAACAGGUUGUCUUCGCGACACCACAGCAGAGAAGAGGGGUCAGCAUUCUCUGGCUGCGGUCCGCAAACCAUGCACGGAUAGAAGACUUGACCAAUAGCUUCGGUCUUGGACCUGGGAGGAAAAUUCUUGUAUAGGAUCUCCCCAGGGUCGCUUGAUGGCAUUCUUCUCGGCAUACUCAGCAGUGACAAAUCUGUAUUUGAACCAUUCCUCUGCCCAAUAUCUUCGAAUCCACUAGAUUCGAUUCUUGCAUUCUCUAUAGGUUUCUUCGGGGUCUGUUUUGUAUAGUUCGUGCAAAUCUGGUGGCAAGUCUUUGGAAGUAUUCCCACGGCGCUGUCAGAUUUCGGGUUCCGGCAGACCCUUGAGGUUCGAACAUUGGGGUGCGCACGGAGAUUUCGCCCUCUACCUACCUGUUCCUCGCCGAAUCGCUAGGAUCUAAACUACCAGAGGAACAACACAAGAGACACAGAGUUUAUACUGGUUCAGGCCACCAUUGUGGUGUAAUACCCUACUCCAGUGUGUGGUGUGGUGGAUUGCCUCUUGGGCUGAUGAUGAACAAUACAAGGAAGAACAGCCUCGCGAGGGUCUGCUCUUGGCUGGUGCGAUGAACUGCAAGGAGGAGUUCAGUCUCUCUCUCCCUCUCUUGAUUCUAGAUGCCCCCUUUCCCUGGGGGUGGCUAGUCCUAUUUAUAGGCAAAGGCCCUGGGCCUCCUCCCAAAUAAGUAGCGGGAAGGGCGCCAACAAUUGUCCAUUUUGAAGGGGAACAUCGGGUACACUUAUCCUGACUAAAGUUGGUCCUCACUUGCCAAAGGCUCUGGCGGUGAUGCCUGCUUGGGCUCCACAAUGACUUCCUCCCUACCGUUGGGCUGGUCUUGGUCUUGUUGCACCGAAAUGGGUGCCUUUGCUUGAUGCUCUUGCCUGCACUUGCUCCCUUUGCACCAAAGAGGGAAGGAGGACACUGCGCGGGCUGGCGCCCGACUGGUGCCAUUGGUCAUCAUGGCUUGCAUCACGGGCACCUCACGAGGUACCCCGCCUUGAUCUCUCCGCCUCCUCGUGAGCCAACCUGAUGAGGUCAUGCCUGAGGAAGCUCCUUGUCGUCCGCCCCACGAGGCUUGGCCCCUCGCGAGGGUCUUGAGCUUGUGUUGAUGAAGAUGGGCCGUGCUGGGCUCCCCUUUGAGCCACGCCGCAGGCCGCAGGCAGGCAAGUCUGGGGACCCCCGUUCCCAGAACGCGGAUAGUAGCCCCCGGGCCCAAGGCGCGCCCGGACUUGGCUGAGCAGAGAGGCGAAAGGGCAAGUGCGAAGCGCCGCGGGCCCUAACAGCCUGCGACCUUGGGCGCUGCGUGGCGGUUGAUUGGACGUGGGCGUCUCCACUUCCCCAUGAUGCCUCGGCAACUAGGCUUGACAAGUCCCUGCAUGCAGAGCGAGUCAUGAUUAGCUGUGAUCGUGGAGGUCGGCAGUUGGCCUCCCCUGGCUUUAAGUACGGCACGCCGCGUGCCCUUCCAGUUUAUCCCCUCUUGCUUCUCCUUCUUCUCCAUGGCCCCGUCAAGGAAGUUCUGGCCGCAGAGAAAGGAAAGGCCCGCCAGGUUGAGCCUGCCUCUCCCCCGCCUAAGCGCGGUCGAGGCCGCCCUCGCAAACACCCUGUGGCCUCCACGGCGGCCCCCUCGAUCACGGAGGUGACUUCCCGCGCAGUGACGGGCGGCUGACCAUGGCCGGGGGGCGUGCUUCAGCCGUGCGACCCCCUAGGCCGCGCUUCCACUCCGCGGAAGUGCUGCCGGAGUCCAUUGUGUGGGCAGUGGAACCGACCAGCGCCCGGCUUCAGCUCCCUCGCUUCCUCCUAGGUGAGCUCCCGGCUGGCGCCCCGGGCGGCCUCUGGCUCCAGGCAGAUGGCUGUUGCAGCCGGGCCUCGUGGGCUUCGCUGGAGGUCUCCACGGCUGGGAGCUUGGCCUUGACCCGCGGCUGGCAGACGUUUGCCUACGCGCGUGGCCUGAGCCGUCGAUGCACCCUGCACUUCAAGUUCGACGGUGAUGCCACCCUCUACGUGAGGGUGUUUGGGGAAGAUGGUCGUUGUCGGUGUCAAAACCGGCGGAUCUCGGGUAGGGGGUCCCGAACUAUGCGGAUGGUAACAGGAGACAAGGGACACGAUGUUUUUACCCAGGUUCGGGCCCUCUCGAUGGAGGUAAAACCCUACUCCUGCUUGAUUGAUAUUGAUGAUAUGGGUAGUACAAGAGUGGAUCUACCACAAGAUCAAGGAGGAUAAACCCUAGAAGCUAGCCUAUGGUAUGAUUGUUGUAAUGGUUGUGUGUCCUACGGACUAAAACCCUCCGAUUUAUAUAGACAUCGGAGAGGGCUAGGGUUACACAGAGUCGGUUACAAUGGUAGGAGAUCUACAUAUCCGUAUCGCCAAGCUUGCCGUCCACGCCAAGGAAAGUCCCAUACGGACACGGGACGAAGUCUUCAAUCUUGUAUCUUCAUAGUCUUGGAGUCCGGCCGAUGAUGGUAGUCCGGCUAUCCGGACACCCCCUAGUCCAGGACUCCCUCAGUAGCCCCUGAACCAGGCUUCAAUGACGAUGAGUCCGGCGCGCAUAUUGUUCGGCAUUGCAAGGCGGGUUCCUCCUCCGAAUAAUUCAUAGAAGAUUGUGAACACCAGGAUAGUGUCCGGCUCUGCAAAAUGAAUUCCACAUUCCACCAUAGAGAGAAUAAUAUGUACACAAGUUCAAUCUGCUGACGUAUUUUGUGGCGUGACGUCACACCACCACCAAGCCUUUACUUGAAUCAUUUUUUAUUAUACCACCUCAGCGCGUUUAGCGAAGCGGUUUCCUUGGCACGUCUUGUCGAAGCAGAUAUCGUGUUCCCCUUAUUCCGGGAUUCCCAUCAAUACGAACGUGGGUAACCCAACCGCGCCAUUGAUGGUGGCGCUUGGGAGAUAAGCGAGUUUUACCAGGCCGGUGGGGACGCAUAGUCUUCGUCCGCCCAUAUAUAAGGGGAUAAGGAUCCACCUUUUUUACCUACGCCUUCCUCCUUUGCUUAUCCAUCUCUGCGUACUCGAGCUCCAGCGCCCAAGCUCGCACAUCUCGCCUCAACCUUCUCCAGCCAUGUUCGGAGUGGGAGGCAAGUGGAUGGUCUCCUUCGUCACGGAGGGGCACAUCGAAAAGUUGUGCAGCGCCGGAUACCACUCCAGCGACAUCGCGCACCGGCUGCCCGACAAGGGGCAGCUCAUCCCCACCCCCAGGCCCCAUGAGAGGGUCAUAUUCCUUCCCCACUUCCUUCGCGGACCGGGCUUCCCACUUCAUCCCUUCGUCCGGGGGCUCAUGUACUACUACGGCCUGGACUUCCACGAUCUGGCGCCAAACUUCAUCCUCAACAUCUCGGCGUUUAUCGUCGUGUGUGAGGCCUUCCUCUGCAUCCAGCCCCACUUCGGCUUGUGGCUAAAAACCAUCAAUGUCAAGCCGAAGGUAGUGAAGGGCGUUCAAGCGGAGUGCGGAGGCGCCAUGGUGGGCAAAAUGCCCAACGUCCUCUGGCUCGAGGGCGCCUUUGUGGAAACCAUGAAAGGGUGGCAAUCGGGGUGGUUCUAUAUCACCGAGCCACGGGACCCUAAAUGGGCAGCGGCCCCCGAGUUCAGAUCUGGUACCCCCAUGCAGCUCACCUCCUGGAAAGAGAAGGGCUUGCUAUGGGGCAGUUCAGAGGAGCUGACCGGACUCCAGUCCUGUCUCCAGACCCUAGUGAACAAGAAGCUCAAGCUUGUCAACGUGAUCCAAGUCAUGCUCGUCCACCGGAUUCUCCGCUGCCAACAACGGGCCUUCAAUCUGUGGGAGUUUGAUCUGGCACAGCACCGGACCCUGAGCGGGCUCUUCUACAUGACGUACGAAGCUUCCUGGAGGGUGCUGUUCAAGGGUGGAGAAGCCCCCGCGUCCGCGACUGAAGACCGCGGAUUCAGCACCAAGCGCCGGCCGGUGUGGUAAGAUAUGUCAUCCUUUAUGGGACAUUUAUUUCUUUCAUAGUUUGACUCUAUUGUGGGAUCUAAAACUCCCGAUGCCUUUAACAGGACUGGCAGAGGACGUCCGGACAGGUUAACUGUCCAGCUCCCCUCCCCGAAGACCCAGCGGAUACCCGUUUAACGGGGCUGCUAGUCCCGACACUUUAUGUGGUGCCGGAGAAGAAGGCCAAGAAGAAGGCCACGGGAACCCGAAGUAUUUCCCGGCGUCAGGUGGUAUCGGAGUCAUCGUCCGAUGACUCCGAGGCGGACUCCUCCCCCAAAGGCGAGGAGGAGGAAGAAGGCUCUCCCCAGGAGGGGGGAGAGAGGAAGAUGAAGGCUUCCCCAACGGGGGAGGCCGAAGGGUCCAAGAGAGGAAGGACCCUUCCUCCGGACAGCUCUGCCAACGCCAACAUUGGCGACAAAGGGUGGCCCUCAAGGGCCAAGCCUCCAGCAAGAUCGUAAGUAUCCGGAUCCCUGAGUGAUUUAUAAUUUCUCUUUUGUGCCACAUAGUUUCCUUCUAAUGCCGCCCACUACCUGUAGUCCGGCCGAGGAUGAUCUUCCCGCUUCAUCGAGCGGGUCCUUGGAUCCAUCGGAUGUGGAUUCCAUUCCGAUCGCCUCCACCCCUCGUGAUGCUAAUGACGCCGAGGUGGGAUCCCAGGAGGGGACCCAUCAGGAGGAGGCUCCGGAGGUGCCGCAAGGCAGCCUCCCAGACUUUGCGCCGGACUCCAUGCCGGAACCUACAGUGGUUCCGGAGUCCGGCAGGCGGCCCCUUCGUAAGAAGGGCAAGACCGUGACACCGGCAGCCUCCGUCCAGACAACUUGUUGGAGGCGCUCAACGGCGCUUCCAUCGAGGAAGAACACCGCACAAUUAUGAGUGCGGUGAUUCAAAAGGUUCAGCUUGCCAAGAGCAGGCUGACUGAAGCCUGCAGCAGCCUUCUAACAGGUUUUGAGGUAAGAAGUUUUAAAAUAUGUAAUGUAAUACCGCAUAGAUAGUAGCCCCUGAUGCUCGGUUCGGUGUUCGGAAGGAAAAGCCGGACUGAGGAUCUAAAAAGAUAUACACAGGAGUUCUAAAAAUUAUGUCAAUAUGGGUUUGCAGGCUGCGCUGCUAACCUCUGCCGCAUUGACUGCAGAGGUCAGUGCUUUGAAGCAGGACCUCGAACGGACCAAGAACGAGCUUGGUCUUGCCAAGAAGCAGCUCGAGGACAAAGAAGGUGAGGAACAUCGUAUUAAAUUUGUACCUUACAGAAAAGGAUUUUGGUUGCGAUAGAAAUAACAAGGAUGACAUGGGUACUACAGGGGCCACAAACGAGGUGGCGACCCUGAAGGAGGCUGUGUCCGCGGCCGAACGCAAUGCGGCCGCGGAACGAGCGGAGCGAGAGAAACAAGAGGCGUGGGUGGCGGAGGUGCGGCAAGAGCUCCAGGCUCUCAUGGAAAAGCAUGAGAGUUUGGAGCGCGACUCAAAGACUCGAGAGUCCGAGCUUGCGUCAGCUCUUGAAAGUGCCAAAGACGCUAAGGCCGAGGCCCAUAAGGCCCUCCAGGAGAUUGAGGCGGUGAAGAAAAUAGCGGCGGGUAAGGCAUAUUUCAUUCAAAGCAAGCAUGUGAAUGUGAAUUACCUGUUACUUACCCGAAUUCGGAGCUCUCCAGGGGCAUUUGCAGAUCUGCCUCGCAGCGUGUCCGAUGCCGCUGCAUUGUAUCGGGCCGAGGAGGGGAGCUCAAUGGAGAAGGUCUUCUGGUCUCAGUAUGCUGAGGCCGGACAUCCGGUGCCCCUUAGCGACCAGCUGAAGCAGCUGGUCGAGCUCCACAAGGUAGCCGAGCAGGCCAUGAAGGGCCUCAUAGUCCGGUUGUGGCCUGAAGAGGCCAUGCCUGGGAGCUACUUCGGCCUCGUGCGGCGGCUGGUGGAUGCGUGCCCCUGGGUGGAAGUCAUCAAGCGCUCCGCCUGCAUUGAAGGUGCCCGUCGGGCCCUUGCCCGCGCAUAGGUGCACUGGGGCAGGCUGGAUGCUGAGAGGCUUAUCACGGACGCGCCGUCGGUGGGCAAGGAGUAUCGUACACCCGAAAUGUACUAUAAGAGUGUCCUGAAGGGUGCCCGCAAGAUUGCGGAUGAAUGCCCCAAAGAUGUAAUUUUUGAGUAGACUCGCAAUGUGUUAUCCUGUGCGCUGAAAACUUUAUUCAUAUGCGCUAAGCAACGCUUAUUAAUUUAAAAUAUUACCUUCUAUGCGGCCGUUUAUCAAAUCUGAGAGAUGGCAAGUCGUCGGCUUCAGCUCCCAAGCCACGAGUGCUGGGGUGUUUGGGAUAAACUUGAGCGCUCUUGUUCCCAUUUUUGGGUCCAUCCAGGGAGGCGCUCAACACAACGAACAAGGCAACCGGACUUAUAAUGCUUGAACACUCUCACUUAGCCAUAGAAUUCUAUAAUUUUAAAUUUCGGUGAAGCCCCUAGUGUUCGAAAGACCGAAUUCAGGGCGCUAUUGUCAGGACCCCGAUCCUAAGUCACACCGAUCUAGCAUGUAACACAUCAUAUAACUUUGCGGCCUCACGCACGGUAUUCCCACGGGUGCCACCUUACCUGGCCCGGGACCGUUUGCGCCUUUUGGCUCACGUAUAUGAUAGUGUCGCUAGCAUCCAUAUGACAAAGAACCCGGGCUAACAUGGCUAGUCGUGAACCCAAAGUGGCACUAACUUACAGGGACAGGCAUCCAUGACCCAGCAUCGAAUGUGUCGGUCAUCAGCGAGUGAAUCCAGGCUGUAGCACUAGGCUAGCAGGACUCCGGUGAACCGGGCUGUAGCGGCUAAUAGGACUCCGGUAUUCAUCACGUGACAUUUCCCCAAAGAGACAGACACAGGAACGAAGAAGGACACAUGCCGGCCAGCCUAAGUGUUCCGGAGCAGUAGCAAGCUACCAUGGCUCGGUGGAAACACUAGGAGACAUUUCCCGGUAAGAGAGUCUACCAAGGAUAAACAACUAGGUUGUCAGAUCCCACACAUACCAAGCAUUUCAAUAACAUACACACAAUAUGCUCGAUAUGUGCAAAUACAACAUGGCAUCACAACAUGACUCUACGACUCAAGUAUUUUAUUCAAUAGGCUCCGAGGAGCGAGAUAUUACAAACAUGGGUCUCAUGACCCAACAAUCAGAGCAUACAAGUCAAAGCACAAGCGGAAGCUUAACAUGUCUGAGUACAGACAACUAUAAAUGAAAAAGGCUUAGAAGCCUGACUAUCUACCAGAUCCUGCGGAGGACACAAGAUUGUAGCUGAGGUAACAAGCUAAACGUCGAAGUCCACGUGGAACGACUAGUGAGACUGAAGUCUCUCUGCAAAAACAUAAAUUAAGCAACGUGAGUACAAAUGUACCCAGCAAGACUUACAUCAGAACUAACUACAUAUGCAUCAUUAUCAACAAAGGGGAUGGUGGGUUUUAACUGCAGCAAGCCAGCUUUGACACGGUGGCUAUCCUGAACUACAACUGCAAGUAACUCUUUUGAGAUGGCGCACACGAGUCCACAUAUUCACCAUAUCAAUACACCACUAUGGAUCCGCUCUCGUCUCCCUACGAGAACGCCAUCCAUAGCACUCACGCUUAUCUUGCGUAUUUUACAGUAUCCACUUUCACUUGUCUAUGAACUAUGCAAGGGGUCCAAGUUUCCAUAUCCGAGGAAUCCGGCUAUUCGAAUAGAUAAUGAUAACCCUACAGGGGUGUACUUCUUCACACACUCUCCCGCCACUUAUCGCCCUGUACACGUCAUGUACCUCGGCAACCUUCAAGCGGAAGCCGGGCGAGGGAGUCGGCCACGACCUAACUAACCAAACAAGUCUCUCGUCCAGGUUUAUCGCCUAUUCGGGUUCCAUCCGCAAGGAGAUCCGGCCGGGGUGUCGCUCACGGCCCCAAACAAUGUGAGCAGGGUUCCCAAGCCCACCAUCCGGGUGCCACUUGGUACACCAUGCCACUGUGCCUAGUCUGUCACAAGCCCACCUGUACCGGGUGCCACUUGGUAGACUACUAACACUACCUACAAACACCAGAAACUAGUUGCAACUCCUGGACAGAGAUCAAGUUGAUUAAUAAGUCGAGAGGGGCACUUAAGCAUUCCAAUGUGUGGUAAUAGCUAGUCAUGGAUCACAAACACAGAACUCAGUUCCUGAGGACGGCUGCAAUGAGACAACCCACCAUGUACUCCUACAUGGCCUCUCACCGCUACCUUUACUAAAUCGUGUUCACACACUUAGCUCUCAACGGUAGGACAUGUUCACACACCUCUGGUUCAUCCCCGAUGAAUCAGACUUGACUCAACUCUAAGCAGUAGCAGGCAUGACAAACAAGCAAGAAUGAGUAGGCACAACAGAGCUCAAACAAUUCCUACUCAUGCUAGUGGGUUUCAUCUAUUUACUGUGGCAAUGACAGGUCAUGUAGAGGAUAAAGGGGUUCAACUACCGCAGCAAGUAACAGAUGAAUCGUUGUUGUCCUAAUGCAGUAAAGAGAGCAGGAGCGAGAGAGUGGGAUUUUAUCGGAAUGAACAAGGGGGUUUUGCUUGCCUGGAACUUCUGAAGAUUACAUUGAGUCUUCAUCAGUGUCAACGAUCACAUCAUCGGUACAGCGUCUACCGAGGGGGAACAACACCGGCAAACACAGAAGAAACACGAUCAAUGCAAUGCACAAUAUGAUGCAUGCUAUGACAUGGCAAUAUGAGUGUGUUUUGGGCUAAUGCACCUAGCUAUGAUUUAAAUGAAGUUUGUUUGAAUACAUGAUUCAAAUUUCAACUCCAUGUAUGAUUAUUUAAAUGCCCUUUAUUUGUUUUGUCCAAAACAGAGGACAAACAUUGUUCAAACAUGCACGAAAAUUGAACAGAUGGAUUCCUUGAAUUUUUCUGAUAAUUUUUCAUAUAUAAAUUAUUUAAUUUGGAGUUAUGGUUGAAUUUCUAUGAAUUUUAGAAGUUUAUACAAUUUUCUGGAAUUUUCUGAAUUAGAAUAAAUCCAGAAAAUGAUUUAUUGCAUCAGCACUAGGUCAUGCUGAUGUCAGCAGGUCAACUAGGCGGGUGCAGGUCAAACCUGACCAGUGGGGUCCACUGGUCAGUGACUGGGGCUGGAUAGUGCCAAUGACAGUUGGGCCGGGUCAACAGACACGUCAGCACGGUCAAAGCUGACGUGUGGGCCCACGGUGGUUGGGUUAAAACUAACAGAAAAUAAUAAAGAUUAAAUAAGGGCGUGGGGCCCAUACGUCAGUGGCUCUGGGGAGGGUUACCUGGCCGUGAUUAGCGCUAAUCACGCGGCCACGUCGGCUAGUGACGCCGGCGACCACGGCGACGGCGAGACCUCGCCGGAGUUGCUCGGGACGGCGCUACGGCCCGCGGCUGGUCGCGCUGAGGGCACCAAGAGGGAGCCCGUGCUCCCGCGCAUCUAGGGGCGCACGCAGCUGGGCACGGGGAGGCCGGGGUCGACGGCGGCGACCACUUAGGCGGCGGCCGGAGCUCGGGGGUUCGCGGGACCGGCGCUGCGGUGCACGGGAGGACGAGUGGUUAGGUGCCUUGUGUUCCUGGGAGCAUGCUGAGGACGACAGCGUGCUCGGAUGCGACACAUGUGGGUUCUAGCCGCAACAGAGACAUGGACGGCGGCAAGCAAGCUCCGGCUCCGGUGGGAUCGAGGCUACAGGGCGCAAUCGAGGCGGGGAAGAGAGAGGGGAGGCGUAGGAGCUCACAGUGAGUUCGAAGAGCAGGUCGGCGUGCUCGGGCAGACGGCGGAGAGGAUGAAUCGGACGACGGCAUCCGGCGGCCAUGGUCGGGGAAGAAACGCCGCGGCAUCGUCUUGGGUCGACGUAGAGGGGCUUGGGGUCCGGGCUGAGCUCGGGUACGCAGAGAGGGAGCGAGGAAGUGGCUGUGGCCGCGGUGGUUGCGAGCGACGGCGAUGAGCGCGCUUGGGCGCGAGAGGGGGAGAGCAGAGGAGGGAGAAGGGGGUCGGGAGAGAGUGAGAGAGAGGAGCAAGGGGGCUGCGUGGCGUCACCCGAAGAGGCCAGGGCGAAGCGGCAAGCAGGAGGUGGCCGGGGCGGCGUCGGCGCUCGCCACCGAGCAGCUUCGGGGCGAGGGGGAGGAAGACGACAGAGAGGAGGAGGUGGGCUGGGCCGGCCAGCUCAGAUGGGCCGCCAGGUGGCUAGAAUGCCAGGUAAGUGGCUGGGCUUUUUUUUUCUGUUCUGUUUUAUUUUUUAAAUUUGUUUUGCCACUGUUUUGAAUUUAAAAUAAUUUAAACAAUGCCAAAAACUCCUCUGAAUAUUUUUGUUUUGCUAGAUGGACUUUUCCAAAAGCUCAUAAAAUAUUUCAGGGGUAUUUGAAAUUAUAUUCUAAUUAUAUGAAUAUAAUUCAAAUUCAAAUAACUAAUGAUUUAAAUUCAAAGUCCCAAAAAUAAUUCCUUUUAAAAUGUUCAUUAUUUUUGGUUUGGAUCAAAACCCUUGCCAAAAAUAUUAAACAUCUAAGAAGAGCAUUUUGGAACAAUGAAUGGGAUUUUAGGGUUUUUGCCCUUCUUUUAUUUAGGGUUUUGAGGCUUCCAAAUUUCCUCAGUUCAAGUUUCAAAAAUUUAAACAUGAUGCAAACACUAGGCAGCACCAUAAGCUAGGGAUGUGACAACUCGCCCCCACUAAACAAGAAUCUCGUCUCGAGAUUCAAGCGUAGGGUAAGAUGAAGGGGAAACGCAAACUAGUAUAAUCUUCACGAUCCAGGGUGCACUUCAUAAAAGCGUUGAUUCGAUCACCAUCUUUGUCCCGUCGUCUUGAUCUGAGAACUCCAACUAGCAUGACAGCAAGAGGAAUAGGACAACUCCGGAGGAAUCGAUCUUCUCGAAGAUCAAUCAACUUAGGAUCAGCUCACAAAGUGAGUCAUAGCAACAUCUCUUGAGCUGAGACACGAAGCAUACAUCUGAAGAAUGGAGUGGAACAGAUGACGAGGGUUCGCUAAGUAGACAACAAUUCCACACUCGAGGGGGUGGUGAAUGGUUUCAAGAUAGCGAGGGUUGAGUUGCCAUGAUACCAUAACGAUGCACCUUAGGGAAGGUGACUCGUAGAGAUAUCCCCUUAAGUGGCAAAAAGAAUUACCUUUGAUUCAGAGAUCAUUGAAACUCUUUAAACCAGCCUAAGGCAAUCACAAGCGAUCAUUUGGAGGGGGUCGGUAGAAUGGCAUACCCGGACUUGGAUGAUGUGGAUUACCUUGUUGAAGACAACGUAAUGGAUGAAUUUGCUUACCACCGGAAAUGGAAGAGACCCAUGGUAGAAUGGCACAUUGGCGGUGCAAGCUGGGAACAAAAUGCGAAUGCUAGGAAUGAUUCUGGUAACUGGGGAAGAACCCAACAAUAGAGAGUGAGUUCACUGUUUGAAAAGUUAUAGCAUAACCGAGGAAGAUGAGAGCACUAUAUAGUUAAUGCCGACGAUCAAACCUAGCACCUGCGCGUGCUCUCAAGAACUUGAGCAAUUCCACAAUCAUCAGGGUUUUAUCAACAUCCGUGUCAAGGGUGCUGACAACACAACAUACUACCAUGAUGAAUAGCGAUGGAUGAUGCAGAUGCAAAGGAGGAUAACACUUUCUCAGAUUUCACCUUAGCGAGGCCAAGGAACCAAAAUCUGCAUGAUCGACCGAGAGACAUUUAGCACUCGGCUUCUAAUGUUCUCCUUGACGUGCUAGUGUAUCCCAUUCAUAGAUAUGGUUUGAUAACUAGAACAUCAAGUAAAGGUCGGACUUCGGGAGCAAUAGAAUCCAUAAGGAACAGUUACAGAGGUAAAUCCUACGAAAUCCUUAUGGGGAGGUGGCCAACUUCCUCAAACAAGAUACUACAAUAAUAGGUCUUUCGGCUGGGUGUGUUGGCCAUGACAUCCACUUUACCGGUUAUCGAGGGACCAAUAUUAUAGUUCUUGGGGAAAGGGUCCAACCAUCAUAUCUGCCUGAGAUUCAGAUCUGGUUGGUGUUAGGAUAUUCCAGACUCAUCGAGUCUAGGAAGAAAAACGAAAGUUUGCAACACAAAUCGACGAGAUGACAUUGCGAGAUUCUCGGGGAAUGAACUACGAUAGCAAGCUCCAAAGCAUGAGCUGGUUCUGCUACGCACGUGUGAACACGCUGUUCCAGGCAAACAUGAUCACAUGGUAGUCUUACAAUAAAACACUACCGAGUUCGGGUAGGGAACCAUCAUUGAGGAUAUCGAAGUUCUUUCAUAAGUCCGGAUUAGCUCUUAUGAAGGAACUCCUUCUCCUUGAACAAAUCAAUUAGUGGCUUGGGGUGCUACGGAAUACAUAUGGAGUGGAGGUAAUUAAUCUACCAAACCAUAGUAUACUUUGCACAUGCAUGACUGACUUGGGACGAUUCCAGAGGAAACAAAACAAACCUUUCUCAAAUUCACGACGGCAACUUAAACCAAAUGCACAUGAAUUAGAGGAAGUCACUUCUUCCAUCCAAGCAUAGGCUUCAUGAACGGAACACGAAGGCAUUGCUUACAAGGUUUCCAACACUAGGUUGAUGUUCAACAUGAAUCAUGGGGGGGAGACAAAAUGCUGCUGAUAGGCUCAACAGUAACUCAUCGGAAUUUUCAUAUCACUGGACUUCCACCAUCAUGUGAACAAGGUGAUAGUAUUGGUCAGACCAAAAGAUAUAAUGGUGUAUGCUCGAGGGGCAGCCACGAGUAAGACAACAUUACGAACAUCGUUGGUUCUGAUUUGAUUUGACGAUAGCCCAUACUUAAAUCAAAGUUUUUAUAAGACAAUAGAUCCAAUAACUGAUCACACGGACCAAUCGAUGAAGAUAUCAUCUUUCUUCAACUAACACACCAACACCAGGAUAUCCCUUUGAAACAAACUAAGUUAGGUAAGCUUUUAUCUUCCAACUCUCCAAGUUGUCGUUUAGCUUAACCAACUAGCUCAGAGGUAUCCAACACGGAUUCUUGGAGAAGGGGUGGUUUACAGGAAUAAACCAACUUGAUCACGAACUCAACAUAGCGGUCAGGUGACAACCUGGUAAUACUUCCGAGAAGAUAUAUGGAAAAUCACGAACCACCGAUAUGUUACUAAGCUCAAGAACAAUCUUGCUUUUCAGGGCAAGAUGAUAUGAUCAAAUGAGCGAGGACUUGACAAAAUCCUAACUUAUUAAUCAAAGAGUGCACCAGGAAAUAAGGACUAGGUAGCACAAUCUAUCUUAGAAUGGUGAUUCAAUAACCAACAUGCUAAGAAUGAGAUUAUUGUCCAUUUAACUACCAAGCAACAGAGUUGCUAGCCGUAUUGAUUUCACACACCACGAUUCACUUGUCGGCAUUCCGGUUACAAUAACACAGGAACCGAGGAAUGAACAAUGAUGGCAAGAAGUAUCACUGUACCAAGAGUUCAUAGGAUGGUGUGCAAUUCCUACAAUAAUCCCGAUAUAAAAGAUGGUAAUACUCCAAGGUAGAACAGAGCAAAAGCUGGAUUGGCAUUUUGAUCUGCAGAGUACAAUUGUUUUGACCCAAUCCUAGAUAUGGAUGAGGUACUGGAGUUUGUUUCUCCUAGUCAUUCCGGAAUAGGAUGGCUUGACGGACCACAAGAGUAAUAGGUAUCGAUGAACGAUUGCACGCAUACUCUUGACUAUCAAUUGAUAAACAAGGGUCAGAAGACAACUAAAGAGGGACAACUCAAAGGAACAUACGAUUUUCUGAGUUGUGGAUGCAUGGUUUAGCAUGUCGAACGAGUUCGACAUAUUUCUUCCGGACAAUCCAUGCGGAAAGGUAGAACUGGCAGAGUCACAAUUAUGAAUGGAGAACCCAUCAAGAGAACUCCUGUUAUGAUCUUUUGAUCCAACAAACUACUGCCAUAAGUGGUUCAUAGUAUUUGGAAGAAGGAAAUACCACGGACCUCGAGGACUAAUGCAAAGGUUACUAAUAACCUAAAGGAACGAGCAAACACUAUCAACAUGAGGUAAGUAGGGUGAAUCUCGGGUUCAAGAACCCAGGAAUAGAAUACCUACUCCUAAGUAGCAUCACGGAAUGCUUUCGGGAAUAAAGGCCAGAAUCAUCACACUAGGACACAAAUCAUGGCUAGACCACUAGAUGAUCCCCUGAGACACCUAGGGUCAUAAUAAUAACUCCAACAUAAUUGUCAAGGCAAUAGAAUACCUCAACUCAACAAUUAGUGUGAUUGAGCUGGCAUAAAGGAACAUCGAAACCAGAGGGAAAGGAUUUUGCAAAUGCAUCAGACUAUUUAGAAACCUGGGAUGACUCGGACAGCAUAACGGUUGUAAAUGCUCAGAAAAGAUUUGAGACAUUCACAAAAAUGGUGGCAUAACCACUCAGAAGCUCAAUAUCAAGGUCUCGAGAUCAAUAAUUAACAUACAGAGGUAGAAACUGAACUGAGGCUUAAUCCAACAAUCUUAUAAGUCUACCGAUUAGUAACACGUGAUCCUGAUAGAAAGAAGAGAUAGCCUAGUUCUUAAUCCCCGUAGGAAAGAUAAGAUGACUCAGAUCAGAAGGGCAUAAGGUAUAAGGAGUAAAAAGAGCCUUACGUUCCAUCCACAAUCAAUUCCCCUACAUAUAACUAAAGCAUUUCUAGACUCAACUUCGACCAGUUUGGCUUGGUAAUCCUACAGGCAGUCAAGCUCUGAUACCAAAAGCUGUCAGGACCCUGAUCCUAAGUCACACCGAUCUAGCAUGUAACACAUCAUAUCACUUUGCGGCCUCACGCACGGUAUUCCCACAGGUGCCACCUUACCUGGCCCGGGACCGUUUGCGCCUUUUGGCUCACGUAUAUGAUAGUGUCGCUAGCAUCCAUAUGACAAAGAACCCAGGCUGACAUGGCUAGUCGUGAACCCAAAGUGGCACUAACUUACAGGGACAGGCAUCCAUGACCCAGCAUCGAACGUGUCGGUCAUCAGCGAGUGAAUCCAGGCUGUAGCACUGGGCUAGCAGGACUCCGGUGAACCGGGCUGUAGCGGCUAACAAAACUCCGGUAUUCAUCGCGUGACAUUUCCCCGAAGAGACAGACACAUGAACGAAGAAGGACACAAGCCGGCCAGCCUAAGUGUUCCGGAGCAGUAGCAAGCUACCAUGGCUCGGUGGAAACACUAGGAGACAUUUCCCGGUAAGAGAGGCUACCAAGGAUAAACAACUAGGUUGUCAGAUCCCACACAUACCAAGCAUUUCAAUAACAUACACACAAUAUGCUCGAUAUGUGCAAAUACAACAUGGCAUCACAACAUGACUCUACGACUCAAGUAUUUUAUUCAAUAGGCUCCGAGGAGCGAGAUAUUACAAACAUGGGUCUCAUGACCCAACAAUCAGAGCAUACAAGUCAAAGCACAAGCGGAAGCUUAACAUGUCUGAGUAGAGACAACUAUAAAUGAAAAAGGCUGAGAAGCCUGACUAUCUACCAAAUCCUGCCGAGGACUCAAGAUCGUAGCUGAGGUAACAAGCUAAACGUCGAAGUCCACGUGGAACUACUAGUGAGACUGAAGUCUCUCUGCAAAAACAUAAAUUAAGCAACGUGAGUACAAAUGUACCCAGCAAGACUUACAUCAGAACUAACUACAUAUGCAUCAUUAUCAACAAAGGGGAUGGUGGGUUUUAACUGCAGCAAGCCAGCUUUGACACGGUGGCUAUCUUGAACUACGAUUGCAAGUAACUCUUUUGAGAUGGCGCACACGAGUCCACAUAUUCACCAUAUCAAUACACCACUAUGGAUCCGCUCUCGUCUCCCUACGAGAACGCCAUCCAUAGUACUCACGCUUAUCUUGCGUAUUUUAGAGUAUCCACUUUCACUUGUCUAUGAACUAUGCAAGGGGUCCAAGUUUCCAUAUCCGAGGAAUCCGGCUAUUCGAAUAGAUAAUGAUAACCCUGCAGGGGUGUACUUCUUCGCACACGCUCCCGCCACUUAUCGCCCUGUACACGUCAUGUACCUCGGCAACCUUCAAGCGGAAGCCGGGCGAGGGAGUCGGCCACGACCUGACUAACCAAACAAGUCUCUCGUCCAGGUUUAUCGCCUAUUCGGGUUCCAUCUGCAAGGAGAUCCGGCCGGGGUGUCACUCACGGCCCCAAACGAUGUGAGCACGGUUCCCAAGCCCACCAUCCGGGUGCCACUUGGUACACCAUGCCACUAUGCCUAGUCUGUCCCAAGCCCACCUGUACCGGGUGCCACUUGGUAGACUACUAACACUACCUACAAACACCAGAAACUAGUUGCAACUCCUGGACAGAGAUCAAGUUGAUUAAUAAGUCGAGAGGGGCACCUAAGCAUUCCAAUGUGUGGUAGUAGCUGGUCAUGGAUCACAAACACAGAACUCAGUUCCUAAGGACGGCUGCAAUGAGACAACCCACCAUGUACUCCUACAUGGCCUCUCACCGCUACCUUUACCAAAUCGUGUUCACACACUUAGCUCUCAACGGUAGGACAUGUUGACACACCUCUGGUUCAUCCCCGAUGAAUCAGACCUGACUCAACUCUAAGCAGUAGCAGGCAUGACAAACAAGGAAGAAUGAGUAGGCUCAACAGGGCUCAAACAAUUCCUACUCAUGCUAGUGGGUUUCAUCUAUUUAUUGUGGCAAUGACAGGUCAUGCAGAGGAUAAAGGGGUUCAACUACCGUAGCAAGUAACAGAUGAAUCGUUGUUGUCCUAAUGCAGUAAAAGAGAGCAGGAGCGAGAGUGGAAUUUUAUCGGAAUGAACAAGGGGGUUUUGCUUGCCUGGCACUUCUGGAGAUAAUAUUGAGUCUUCAUCAGUGUCAACGAUCACAUCAUCGGUACAGCGUCUACCGAGGGGGAACAACACCGGCAAACACAGAAGAAACACGAUCAAUGCAAUGCACAAUAUGAUGCAUGCUAUGACAUGGCAAUAUGAGUGUGUUUUGGGCUAAUGCACCUAGCUAUGAUUUGAAUGAAGUUUGUUUGAAUACAUGAUUCAAAUUUCAACUCCAUGUAUGAUUAUUUAAAUGCCCUUUAUUUGUUUUGUCCAAAACAGAGGACAGACAUUGUUCAAACAUGCAUGAAAAUGGUACAGAUGGAUUCCUUGAAUUUUUCUGAUAAUUUUUCAUAUAUAAAUUAUUUAAUUUGGAGUUAUGGUUGAAUUUCUAUGAAUUUUAGAAGUUUAUACAAUUUUCUGGAAUUUUCUGAAUUAAAAUAAAUCCAGAAAAUGAUUUAUUGCGUCAGCACUAGGUCAUGAUGAUGUCAGCAGGUCAACUAGGCGGGUCCAGGUCAAACCUGACCAGUGGGGUCCACUGGUCAGUGACUGGGGCUGGAUAGUGCCAAUGACAGGUGGGGCCGGGUCAACAGACACGUCAGCACGGUCAAAGCUGACGUGUGGGCCCAUGGUGGUUAGGUUAAAACUAACAGAAAAUAAUAAAGAUUAAAUAAGGGCGUGGGGCCCAUACGUCAGUGGCUCUGGGGAGGGUUACCUGGCUGUGAUUAGCGCUAAUCACGCGGCCACGUCGGCUAGUGACGCCGGCGACCACGGCGACGGCGAGACCUCGCUGGAGUUGCUCGAGACGGCGCUACCGCCCGCGGUUGGUCGCGCUGAGGGCACCAAGAGGGAGCCCGUGCUCCCGCGCAUCUAGGGGCGCACGCAGCUGGGCACGGGGAGGCCGGGGUCGACAGCGGCGACCACUUAGGCGGCGGCCGGAGCUCGGGGGUUCGCGGGACCGGCGCUGCGGUGCAUGGGAGGACGAGUGGUUAGGUGCUUUGGGUUCCUGGGAGCACGCUGAGGAUGACAGCGUGCUCGGACGCGACACAUGUGGGUUCUAGCCGCGACAGUGACAUGGACGGCGGCAAGCAAGCUCCGGCUCCGGUGGGAUCGAGGCUACAGGGCGCAAUCAAGGCGAGGAAGAGAGAGGGGAGGCGUAGGAGCUCACAGUGAGUUCGAAGAGCAGGUCGGCAUGCUCGGGGAGACGGCGGAGAGGAUAAAUUGGACGGCGGCAUCCGGCGGCCGUGGUCGGGGAAGAAGCGCCGCGGCAUCGUCUUGGGGCAUCCGGGCUUCGGUGGGUCGACGUAGAGGGGCUUGGGGUCCGGGCUGAGCUCGGGUACGCAGAGAGGGAGCGAGGAAGUGGCUGUGGCCGUGGUGGUUGCGAGCGACGGCGAUGAGCGCGCUCGGGCGCGAGAGGGGGAGAGCAGAGAAGGGAGAAGGGGGUCGGGAGAGAGUGAGAGAGAGGAGCGAGGGGGCUGCGUGGCGUCACCCGAAGAGGCCAGGGCGAAGCGGCAAGCAGGAGGUGGCCGGGGUGGCGUCGGCGCUUGCCACCGAGCAGCUUCGGGGCGAGGGGGAGGAAGACGACAGAGAGGAGGAGGUGGGCUGGGCCGGCCAGCUCAGAUGGGCCGCCAGGUGGCUAGAAUGCCAGGUAAGUGGCUGGGCUUCUCUCUUUUAUUUUUCUGUUCUGUUUUAUUUUUUUAAAUUUGUUUUGCCACUGUUUUGAAUUUAAAAUAAUUCAAACAAUGCCAAAAACUCCUCUGAAUAUUUUUGUUUUGCUAGAUGGACUUUUCCAAAAGCUCAUAAAAUAUUUCAAGGGUAUUUGAAAUUAUAUUCUAAUUAUAUGAAUAUAAUUCAAAUUCAAAUAACUAAUGAUUUAAAUUCAAAGUCCCAAAAAUAAUUCCUUUUAAAAUGUUCAUUAUUUUUGGUUUGGAUCAAAACCCUUGCCAAAAAUAUUAAACAUCUAAGAAGAGCAUUUUGGAACAAUGAAUGAGAUUUUAGGGUUUUUGCCCUUCUUUUAUUUAGGGUUUUGAGGCUUCCAAAUUUCCUCAGUUCAAGUUUCAAAAAUUUAAACAUGAUGCAAACACUAGGCAGCACCAUAAGCUAUGGAUGUGACAACUAUCCACGCCUGGGCCGGACACAGCAGGUUCCUCGCUCUAAGCGGCAUAAGUCUUUAGGGACUCGAAAAGACCUCUCGAACAGCGACCAGCUCUCGCCUUAUCAUGAUGGUCAGUUUUAGCUUUCUCCACUAAGGCGCUCGCCCAGCUCAACCGGGGCGCAAUCGCAGUGGUUCUCCCAGUGCUACCUUAGCCGAUAGAACGGAACGUAAGGUACCAAAACAUGGGAGCCGGGCAAACCCAACUAUUGACCCAAUACAUGAUUCGGAGCCGAUGCAUAUAAUGCUAUAAGUUCGGGGUGCCGCACUUGUGAAAGUUUUCAGACUUAUCACACCGUAAUGUGGGGAACAUAAGCCCCUGGUGUAUUCGGCCGUACCAAAGUGUACGGAUGCAAGAUGUCAUAAAUGAACAUAUAUGUAAAAAAGGAAUGCAAUUAUGGGCAAAAAGCGCUGCAUUGUUUAUUCAAGGAAUGCUGCUAUGAGUGCAGAACGAUACAAAUAGUGCGGUAAGCAAGGGAUUGGACUAUUUAAACAUAUCCCCCUCCAGGGGUAGGCUGUGGACUGGUGUAUUUAACAAAUUUAAUGCUCGUAAUGGAGACCACCUGAAUGUUCGUCGUAGCCUUUGUCCUUCCCUGGCUGUUGCAUCGUGAGUUCGGCAGGUUUACCGCCGGACAGGUUCUCUGGUGAACAGAGUCCUGUGGAUAAAUAGAAAAAGGAAAAAAGGAAAAAAAUAAAAAGAGCGACACACUUGGGAGCCCCUGGUGUGGUUGAGCCGCACUCUGGGCCUGUCGUGGUCGUGCCCCUCCCCCUAUGCCCAUGGUAUCUCCAGAGCGUAAUGAUGUACGCGAAGAGCUGGUCUUGCAAUCAUGCAAGGGCUGGGGUUGGGGCCGCAUUGCUACGCAUGCUCGGAACGUGCCAGGUCGUCUUGAUGUAUGUUACUUCGGGCGCGUUUGGCUAUGUCCGGUCGUUUAACGGCCGGACUUGAGAAUUGCCUUGAGAGGCUGCUCUGUACUUCUGCCGCGAGAGCUGCUGUGUGUUCCUCCGUUCGGAGGGAGCGUUCAGUGUUUCCGUUGACCGUGAUUACUCCACGAGGGCCUGGCAUCUUGAGCUUGAGGUAUGCAUCAUGUGGCACCGCGUUGAACUUUGCAAACACGGUUCGUCUGAGCAGAGCGUGAUAGCCACUGUGGAACGAGACUAUGUCGAAGAUUAACUCCUCGCUUUGGAAAUUAUCCGGGGAUCCGAAGACCACUUCCAGUGUGACUGAGCCUGUACAAUUGGCCUCAACACCUGGUAUGACGCCUUUGAAGGUCGUCUUUGUAGGUUUAAUCAUUGAGGGGUCUAUGCCCAUCUUGCGCACUGUAUCCUGAUAAAGCAGGUUCAGGCUGCUGCCGCCGUCCAUCAGGACUCUAGUGAGGUGAAAUCCAUCGACGAUUGGGUCUAAAACCAAUGCGGCGAGUCCACCAUGGCGGAUACUGGUAGGGUGGUCCCUUCGAUCGAAAGUGAUCGGGCAAGAGGACCAUGGAUUGAACUUCGGGGCGACUGGCUCCAUCGCAUAUACAUCCCUAAGUGCACGCUUCCGCUCCCUCUUGGGUAUGUGGGUUGCGUAUAUCAUGUUUACCGUCCGCACUUGUGGGGGGAAACCCUUCUGUCCUCUACUGUUCGGCGGCCGAGUCUCCUCCUCGUCAUCGCUCUGCAGCCCCUUGUCAUUGUUUUCAGCAAUUAACUUGCCUGCCUGCUUGAAUACCCAACAAUCCCUGUUGGUGUGGUUAGCUGGCUUUUCGGGGGUGCCAUGUAUCUGGCAAGAGCGGUCGAGAAUUCGGUCCAAAUUGGACGGACCCGGAGUGGUUCUUUUGAAUGGCUUCUUCCGCUGACCGGGUAUAGAGCCUCUGAAUCCGGCGGUGACUGCCAUAUCCUCAGUGUUAUCGCCGUUAACGAGGCGUUUGUUUUUGUUGCGACGCGACCUGCCAUUGCGGUCCUUGCUGUCCGGACUGCCAGAAUGAUUGCUAAGGUUGUUACUGUGGGCUAGCCAGCUGUCCUCCCCCGCACAGAAGCGGGUCAUGAGUGAUGUGAGGGCUGCCAUGGAUUUCGGCUUUUCCUGUCCUAGGUGCCGGGCCAGCCACUCAUCGCGGAUGUUAUGUUUGAAGGCUGCGAGGGCCUCUGCAUCUGGACAAUCGACGAUUUGAUUUUUCUUUGUGAGGAACCGUGUCCAGAAUUGUCUGGCCGAUUCUUCUGGCUACUGAAUUAUGUGGCUUAGGUCAUCGGCGUCUGGUGGUCGCACAUAUGUGCCCUGGAAGUUGUCAAGGAAUGCGACUUUCAGGUCCUCCCAACACCCAAUUGAUUCUGCUGGCAAGCUAUUAAGCCAAUGCCGAGCUGGUCCUUUAAGCUUGAGUGGGAGAUAUUUGAUGGCAUGGAGAUCGUCACCACAGGCCAUAUGGAUGUGAAGGUGAUAAUCUUCGAUCCAAACCGCGGGGUCUGUUGUGCCAUCGUAGGAUUCGAUGUUUACGAGUUUGAACCCUUCAAGGAUUUGAUGAUCCAUUACUUCAUCUGUGAAGCAGAGUGGGUGCGCGGCGCCUCUAUACUGGGCAAUAUCACGACGUAGCUCAAGAGAGCUUUGUCUAUUGUCUUCGGCCCGGCCGGAGUUGCUGUAUCCGGCGCGACGGUAGUCGUCGUAGAUUGUGGGGAGCCCACGUGAUCCGUAGAUAGAUCUUGAUUGUUUUGCUUUGUCCUCCAAUAUGUCUCGCAAGUCCGGCGCAUUCCCUCGUGGCUUCGUACUUUUCGAGCGAUGCCGGGGUACGGUCCUAAUGGAGGGCCUGGAUGCCUCUCUGUCGCGGCCAUGGGGUGGUCGGUCUGCCGUAUUGUGCGCUGGUGAUGAAGGUUUGUAUGCUUCCUCCUCUAGUCGGGGGAGCAGCUUGCGUUUUGGGUUGCUUUUGGAGGGGCGUUUGAGUUCAUACUCUUCGGCUGCGAGGACUUCGGUCCAUCUGUCACCAGCAGGUCUUGAUCAGCUUGAAGUUGUUGCUGCUUUUUCUUUAGGCUAUUUGCCGUGGCGAUAAGCCUGCGUUUAAAACGCUCUUGUUCGACGGGAUCCUCGGGCAUGACGAAUUCAUCGUCGUUGAGGCUUGCCUCGUCUCCGGAGGGAGGUAUGUAAUUGUCAUCCUCUAUCUCCUCAUCUGCCGCUCUCUCUUGAGGGCUGGCUUCUCUGUCCUCCUGUGCUGAAUCUUGCUGGAGGGGGUUGUCUUCGGCACUCUCUGGGGUGUUAUUGUCUCCGGUGCCGGAAUCUCCAUUCUUGCUGUGGCGGGAUUUAGAGCGGCGCCGCUGACGCCGGCGCUUGGGCUGUUUCUUAGAGGAAUCUGCCUCCGCUGCUUCUUCGCCGUCCCCAUCCUUUGGGGUGUCCACCAUGUAUAUGUCGUAUGACGAGGAGGUCUUCCAGUGCCCCAUAGGCGUUGGUUCUUGAUCGUCUCCGGCAUCGUCGUCCAUACCGUCGAUGUCUUCGGAAUCGUAGUCUAGCAUGUCGGUUAGAUCGUCGACAGUGGCUAUAAAGUGGGUGGUGGGUGGGCUUUGAAUUUCUUCAUUGUCCGCAUCCCAACCAUCCUGACCGUAGUCCGGGCAGGGCUCUCCUGAUAAUGAGAGAUACUUUAACGAGUUCAGGAUGUCGCCGAAGGGCGAGUGCUGAAAGAUGUCCGCAGCGGUGAACUCCAUGACCGGCGCCCAAUCGGAUUCGAUCGGCAGGGGCGCAUGAGGUUCGGGGACCGGCAAGGAGUCCGGUACCUCAGAAUCACGAGCUUUGCAAAAUACAAGGUCGGUAUUCGGCUCCAUCGCCGUGGAAGUUGCAGCUCCCGAGGCGGUGUCCAGCCACCUAUCCUCGAUCUACGCGGUCGGCUCCGAACUAUGGGUCAGAGCGGACUUGUGUGCGGCCUCUAGGGUACUGUCCGGCGGCAGAACUAAGUCAUGCCCAUCAUGACAGUGCGGCACGCUCGGCUGUGGCUCGAAUCCAUCGAAGAUCAAGUCUCCGCGGAUGUCAGCCGUGAAGUUUAGGCUUCCAAAUCUGACCUGAUGGCCAGGGGCGUAGCUUUCGACUUGCUCCAGAUGGCCAAGUGAAUUGGCCCGUAGUGCAAAGCCACCGACCACGAACGGGCGGCCAUGAUGAAACCGCCCAGCCGGAGAGUCUGGCCUAUAUCCAGGGUUCCUCCAGAGGUGAUGUUGUCCUUGGACAAGGCGAGCCACCGAGCCUUAUCGGGACGGCACAGUGGAACUCUCAAUGAAAGCACCAAUGUCGGUGUCAAAACCGGCGGAUCUCGGGUAGGGGGUCCCGAACUAUGCGUCUAGGCGGAUGGUAACAAGAGACAAGGGACACGAUGUUUUUACCCAGGUUCGGGCCCUCUCGAUGGAGGUAAAACCCUACUCCUGCUUGAUUGAUAUUGAUGAUAUGGGUAGUACAAGAGUGGAUCUACCACGAGAUCAAGGAGGCUAAACCCUAGAAGCUAGCCUAUGGUAUGAUUGUUGUAAUGGUUGUGUGUCCUACGGACUAAAACCCUCCGGUUUAUAUAGACACUGGAGAGGGCUAGGGUUACACAGAGUCGGUUACAAUGGUAGGAGAUCUACAUAUCCGUAUCGCCAAGCUUGCCUUCCACGCCAAGGAAAGUCCCAUCCGGACACGGGACGAAGUCUUCAAUCUUGUAUCCUCAUAGUCUUGGAGUCCGGCCGAUUAUGAUAGUCCGGCUAUCCGGACACCCCCUAGUCCAGGACUCCCUCAGUCGCCGCGCAGGGUGCUGCCGUGAAGACGACGACUGCGGCCGGGGACCCAGCCCCGGCGAGGACGGAGAGGACAGCACGCGCGUGGUUGGCGGCGCCCAGGGUUCCUCAAGCUUCACUGGCUCUUCUUCGGGCAGCGACUCUUCUAGCAGCGGCCGUGGUCAGCCUCCACGCCGUCGUGCCUGCUUGGAGGGUGGUAGCGGGUCUGCCCGCCGUCGCGACCUGGUGAAGCGCGAGAGGGAGUCCGCUUGAGCUCCGGAGGCAGCUCGAGUCCUCCCUGAGGGCCGGCAUAGGGCGAGCUUCGCCUGAUUUGUUCUUUCGUUUCCUUUUUCCUGCGCAAAAAGACAGCAGUGUGGGGCCCCGUGGGGGCGUGUUUGGGUUACCGUUGUUAAUCAUCGUACUGUUUCCAUUAUUCUGGCAUUGUUCCUUCCUGCCGUAUGCCCGUGCGUAGGUAAUCCCCAGCCUCAGCCGUGGGGGCGACCGACCCAGGUCCUGUAUUCGUGUCGCGGUGCCCGUGAGGCACAGACUGGAGGGCUUCUCCCGUAGGGGACCCGGGUUGUGAAACCUUGAACGAUAAGGAGAGAAACACUCGCGAGGGCGAUCGGUGCUGCCCCCUCGCGAGCCCUCGCGCAAGAGAAAUCGAGGCAGUAGGGCGAAAAGUCGAAGAACCAUAGGUCAAAAGACAGCGAUAGUUGCAAUAAAACUUCAAAUGAGAAUGAACUAGCCAACUGCAGAAAGCAAAUGAAAGUGCCGCGUCCGGCACCUAGUCUACUCUUCGACGUCUUCUCAGCAGCGCAGAGCUAAGUGCUGCCACUGGGCGUGGGAGGGAGCCCCAGGGCCUGAGGCCGGCGCUCCUGAGACUCCGGGGCGUGUACAGCCCCAACUCAUUAUUACGUGAGAUUGUCACGGGCGGCGAGCUUCACAAGCGCUGGAAUUCUUCACAGGCUUCGGGCCUUUCUUCGGGUAAGCAAGCUUCACGGGCAUUGGCCCUCUUCACAGGCUCUAGGCGUUUCUCAAAAAGAUAGUCUUCACAGGCAUUCGCCUUCUUCACAGGCUCUGGGCCUUUUAAAAAAGGUGAUCUUCACAGGCGUUCGCCUUCUUCACAGGCUCUGGGCCUUCUCCAAAAAGGUGAUCUUCACAGGCGUUCGCCUUCUUCACAGGCUUUGGGCCUUUUCCGAAAAGGUGAUCUUCACAGGCGUUCGCCUACUUCACAGGCUCUGGGCCUUUUCCAAAAAGGUGAUCUUCACAGGCGUUCUCCUUCUUCACAGGCUCUGGGACUUUUAAGGGUAAAACCUCCGGAGGUGCUGGAUGUUCCAUGCGUUCUGGACUGGCACCCCCUCCUGAGUCUCCAAGCGCGCGGAGCCGGGCCUGGAAACAUGAACAACCUUGAACGAGCCCUCCCACAUGGGAGAGAGCUUAUGCAGUCCCUCCCUGGAGAGAACCCGCCUGAGCACGAGGUCCCCUACCUCAAGAGGUCUGGGGUGGAUGUUGCAGCAGUGGUAUCGCCGCAGUGCUUGUUGGUAUCUUGCCGCUCGCAACGCGGCCUCUCGGCGACGCUCCUCCCCUAGCACGAGGUCCAUCCCCCGCAUGGCGUCCUGCUGCGCUUCGUCGAACGCCAGGACCCGUGCGGAGCGACGUUUGACCUCGUGAGGGAGGACCGCCUCGGCUCCAUAGACCAAGAAGAACGGGGUCUCUCCAGUCGGCUUGGUUGCGGUCGUGGGGAUGGACCACAACACGGAUUGAAGCUCAUCGUACCAGCCUCUGCUGCAGGCUUCCAGCUUCUUCUUGAAUGUUCUGGUCUUGAGGCCCCUAAGGACCUCCGCGUUGGCCCGCUCGGCCUGGACGUUGCUUCGGGGGUGCGCCACUGAAGCGUAGCAUAUCUGCAUUCCAAGGUUAGCAUAGUACGUUUUGAAGAGGUUACUGGUGAACUGCGAACCGUUGUCGAUGAUGAUGCGGUUCGGCACCCCGAACCGGCUCACGAUGCCCUUGAUGAACUUGACUGCUGAGCCCGCAGGGAUGGUGCAGACGGCUUCCACUUCGGCCCACUUGGUGAACUUGUCCACAGCGAUGUAGAGGUAGCGAUAGCCCCCCGGUGCCCGAGAGAACGGGCCCAGGAUAUCCAGCCCCCAGACUGCGAAUGGCCACGAGAGGUGUAUAGUUUGCAGACUUCCUGCCUGCUUAUGGAUCUGCUUGGCAUGGAAUUGGCAGGCUUCGCAGGCCUUCACUAGCUCGACAGCGUCAUUGAGUGCAGUAGGCCAAUAGAAGCUGCUGCGGAAUGCCUUGCCCAUGAGGGUCCGUGAUGACAAGUGGUGCCUGCAGUCUCCACCGUGUAUGUCCGCCAGCAGCUCCUUCCCUUGUUCCCUGGAUAUGCAGCGUAGGGACACACCAUUUGGUCGCUUCCCAUAGAGUUCUCCAUCUUUGAUACACUACGCUGAGGCUUGCCGUGCCACACGCUCCGCCUCCUCCUCCUUCUCCGGCAGGGUCCCUUGCGUUAAGUAACUCCGGAGCUCUGUGAUCCAGCACCCCUCCUGAGGCUCCAUCGUUAGGAGUAGGCGUGCUCUUGAGGCUGGGCCAUAGACCGGAGCUCCCGAGGUAGGUGGCUGGGGGAGCUCUUCCCGAGGCUGCGCCGUGUUUGAUAAUGAUGGCAUGGACGAGGGCUUGAAGAGCUGCUCCUCGAAGACGCCAGGCUCCUAAGGUAACCGCCUGGAUGCUCGUUUGGCGAUGUCAUCGGCCUCCUGAUUGCUACCACGGGGCACAUGCUGCAACUCCAACCCCCAGAACUGCUUUUCCAUCCUGCGUACCUCCGCAAGGUAGGCCUCCAUGUGCUCAUCUUUUGGCUCGUAUACCUUAUUGGAGAAAUUGAUGAGGAGCUGUGAAUCACCCUUGAUGGUAAGGUGCUUUACCCCUAGGGCAGCCGCGGCCUUCAAGCCUGCUAUCAUGCCUUCAUACUCCGCUAUGUUAUUGGAGACCUUUUCACCUCGCUGGAAAUAGAGCUGCACGGCGUAAUAGAGCUUGUCCUGAGUGCGAGAUAUGAGCACCGCCCCAGCCCCAGCGCCAUGCCUGGAGAACGCCCCGUCGAAGUACAUGACCCAGCCUUCUGGCGCCUUGCUUCCUGGGGAGAGGGACCGAUCCUCGCCGGCCUUGAGGCCUGGUGCCUCUGUCCAUUCGGCCACGAAGUCUGCUAGCGCGGCCCCCUUGAUGACUCUGGUCGUGCUGAAUUCGAGCUGAAACGCUUGCAGCUCAAUGUUCCACUCGGCGACCCUUCCGGCUGAGCUUGGGCUCCUAAGAACCAUUUCCAAGGGGUAUGCCGAGAAAACCUUGAUAGGGUGACCCUGAAAGUAGUGCCGCAGCUUGCGCGAGGCCACUAGUAGCACGAGGAGGAGUUUCUAGGGCAUGGGGUACCGUGCCCUCGCAUCCCGCAACACUGUGCUGACGAAGUACACUGGGUGCUCGACGAGGCUUGGAGCGUUGGUGCUGGCGGCGUCCUCCGGAGGCCGUGGCGCCUCCUGAGGCGGGGGAGCCUCCAGAAGCUGGUUGCCCAGGGGAAGGGCCUCUUCCGUUUUUGGUGCGCUCCCCUGCGGCGGCUGAUCCUCCUCGGCCGUGGUAGUGAUCUCUGUGAGUCCUUGGUCCUGCUUUGCCUUGACACGGGUGGCUGCCGUGGCCUUGGUCUGGCGCUCCUCCCUAACCGCCACCAGAGCCGCGCUGGCGGAGUAGGGAGUGGCAGCAAGGUGGAGCACCAAGGGCUCUUAAGGGCGUGGGGCCACCAUCACCAGAGGGCUGGUUAGGUAUCUCUUGAGAUCUUGGAACACCUUGUCGGCCUCUUCAGUCCAUUCAAAGGGCCCCUUUUUCUUCAUCAGCUGGAAGAAAGGUAGCGCUCGCUCCCCUAACCUGGAGAUGAAGCGCCCUAGCGCAGUCACGCACCCAGUGAGCUUUUGCAUCUCUUUGAGGGUCUUCGGCGGGCUCAUGUCCUCGACUGCCUUGACCUUUUCUGGGUUGGCCUCGAUGCCUCGGUGAAACACGAGGAAGCCCUAGAGCUUGCCCGAGGGGACUCCAAACACACACUUCUCCGGGUUGAGCCGCAGGCUCACUGCUUUGAGGUUUGCAAAGGUUUCCUCCAGGUCUUGUAUCAGGGUCUUGGCUUCACGAGACUUCACUACAAUGUCGUCGACGUAAGCUUCCACAUUCUUCCUGAGUUGCGGGCCCAAGGUGAUGUGCAUGAGCCGCUGAAAGGUUGACCCUGCGUUGCGCAGUCCGAACGGCAUGCAUGUAUAGCAGUACACCCCACACGGGGUCAGGAAGGCCAUCUUCUCCAUGUCUUCCACCGCCAUCUUGAUCUGGUGAUACCCGGAGAAGGCAUCCAAGAAGCAUAACAGGUCACACUCAGCGGUGGAAUCGACGAUCUGAUCGAUGCGAGGGAGCGGGAACGGAUCUUGCGGGCAUGCUUUGUUGAGGUUGGUGAAGUCGACAUACAUGCGUUCCUUCCCUCCCUUCUUUGGCACAACCACAGGGUUGGCCAACCAAUCUAGAUAUCGGACCUCGCGAAUGACCCCCGCGGCUUCUAGCUUGCGGGUCUCCUGGACGAUGAAGGCCUGCUUUUCAGUGGACUGCCGCCUUGCUUUCUGUUUCACGGGGCGCACGUUGGGGCACACGUUGAGGUGGUGCUCGAUUACGCCCCGUGGGAUCCCUGCCAACUGAUCGGGUUCCCAGGCGAAUACCUUCUUGUUUGCGUGCAGGAACUUGACCAGGGCUUCCUCCUGCUCUGGCCCGAGGUUGGCUCCUAUGGUGAAAGUGGCGUUAGUGGACCCGUCCUCGUCGACGGGUAUCUGCUUGGUCUCUGCCUUGUCUUGGGUGAACAACUCUUUCUUCUUGGUUGGUGCACCCCCCUUGGGCUCGAGGGUCCCCGCGUUGGUGGGCUCUGCCAACGCCGCCGUCUUGAAGGCGACCUUGAGCGCUCGCAGCGUAUCCCCGAUGUCACCAGGCACGGUGAGGUCACCGCUACUCUCGGGCAUCUUCAUAAGGUUGUACGCCGGGUGAGUCGCGGCCAUGAACUGGGCCAGUGCUGGAUAGCCGAGGAUGGAAUUUUAGGGGAGGCUGAUGGGGCGAUAUCGAAAUCGACCUGCUCCGUGCGGAAAUUUUCGUAGGUGCCGAAAGUUACUGGGAGUCGGAUCUGUCCCAAGGAGCUGGAUGACCCGCCCCCGAUGCCUGAGAAGGGUCGGCUGGGUUGCAGCCGCUCCCGGGGUAUGCGGAGGAGGUUGAAGGCCUCAACUAAGAGCACGCUGAGGCCUGUGCCACCGUCGAUGAGAGUCCUGGUGACAGCCACCUGGCAGAUGGUGGGGGUGCACAGCAUGGGGAGCGCCCCCGAGCCGGCCGAGUUGGAGGGGUGAUCCUCCGUGCUGAAGGCCAGCCUGGCCUGUGGCUCCGAUCGGUCCGGGGGAGCCCCCUGCCGCGUGGAGGCGGCGCCGACCCGGUGGAUGAACGGCUUGACGUGGUGACUGGAGGGCGGCGCCUGCGAGCCGCCCAGGGGGGCCGCGACAACCGGGGGGACCGGCGCGGCAUGGCGGGCGAGGAAGAGGCCGCGCAGCUCUUCCCAAGAGGACACGGGGGGAUGCUGGGAUGAUGCUUGCUGCUCGUUCCACGCCGGGCCGGUGGCGGCAUUGACGGCAGGUGACGGGGAACGAGGAGGACGCCCGCCGACGGGAGCCAUCUGGGUGACGCGGGAGGCGAGGGCGGCUCGGCACCCGGCACGAGCCCGACGAGCGUCAGACAUGGAUGCGACGGUCGGGGAAGAAUAGGGCGACGGAAGACGAAUUCCGGCGCACCCCUACCUGGCGCGCCAAAUGUCGGAUUUUGUGUUCCGGCAGACCCUUGAGGUUUGAACAGUAGGGUGCGCACGGAGAUUUCGCCCUCUACCUACCUGUUCCUCGCCGAAUUGCUAGGAUCUAAACUACCAGAGGAACAACACAAGAGACACAGAGUUUAUACUGGUUCAGGCCACCAUUGUGGUGUAAUACCCUACUCCAGUGUGUGGUGUGGUGGAUUGCCUCUUGGGCUGAUGAUGAACAAUACAAGGAAGAACAGCCUUGCGAGGGUCUUCUCUAGGCUGGUGCGAUGAACUGCAAGGAGGAGUUUAGUCUCUCUCUCUCCCUCUCUUGAUUCUAGAUGCCCCCCUUCCCUGGGGGUGGCUAGCCCUGGGCCUCCUCCCAAAUAUUGAGCGGGAAGGGCGCCAACAAUUGGCCAUUUUGAAGGGGAACAGCGGGUACACUUAUCCUGACUAAAGUUGGUCCUCGCCUACCAAAGGCUCUGGCGGUGAUGCCUUCUUGGGCUCCACAAUGACUUCCUCCCUGCCGUUGGGUUGGUCUUGGUCUUGUUGCACCGAAAUGGGUGCCUUUGCUUGAUGCUCUUGCCUGGGCUUGCUCCCUUUGCACCAAAGAGGGAAGGAGGACACUGCGCGGGCUGGCGCCCGACUGGCGCCCUUGGUCAUCAUGGCUUGCAUCACGGGCACCUCGCGAGGUACCCCGCCUUGAUCUCUUCGCCUCCUCAUGAGCCAGCCUGAUGAGGCCGUGCCUGAGGAAGCUCCUUGUCAUACGCCCCGCGAGGCAUGGCCCCUCGCGAGGGUCUUGAGCUUGUGUUGAUGAAGAUGGGCCAUGCUGGGCCCCCCUUUGAUACACGCCGCAGGCCGCAGGCAGGCAAGUCUGGGGACCCCCGUUCCCAGAACACCGACAGGCGCUGUCUGCCAUCCUUUCUUGCUGACUUCUUAGUAUCUAUGAAGCUUAACCUGAAAGGCUUCAGAACUUGCAAAGGCUUCCGACGGCUAGUUAGAUAAGAACUGGCUUCAGGAGAAUUUAUGUGACUCCGUAAGAAUUCUGCAAGCGAAUGCAGACUAUGAGAACCAAGGGUUUCUCCCACGGACAUGUACCUGGAAGAGGUCAUAUGCAUUCUCAGAAGAUUUUGAAGAUAAAUCAGUUUGAAUACAUUGACCUCAUAACGCGAAGACAUUCACUUAUUUGUUGAGUGUUGGUUCCAGAUUUGUACGAAUCCAAGAAUAAGUAAAAGUGAGGAAUCAAACUUGUAGAGAAUCAUAAGUGAACAGACUAGGCAUAAUAUGAGAUGCAGAACUGGGCAGAUUCAAUUUGGAACUAUAGAAACCACUAUUGGUAAUGUAGGAUGAAUCUAUCAGAUCAAAAAGAUGGUAAAAAGUAAGUUUUAAUUACCACAUGAAGAACUGCUAGACGGAACGAAGUUGGAGGCCAAGCAGUUACAUCUCCCGUGCCCUAACUUGGCGACGAAAGACACUCCGUCGGCGGCAGAGAAGACAAGGUCCGGGGCCGGCAUGUGGACGGCGUCGGAGAAGUUGCGGCAGCUCAGCGCUUCGUCGCCGGCAUCAUCGAGAGCUAGAGGAGGCGCUAGGGUUUGCGAGAAGUGGCGAGGUGGAAGAAGGAUUUUUGACCGUGAUGUGAUGGGUAUUUAUAAGGAAAGGGACGGCACAACGUAAUUACGCAGGUGCCCCUGGCGAUUCACAUCUGAAGGGCACGUGGCAAGCAUGCAACACCUUGGAAGUUGUUCCAUGUUCCCACACAUGCCUGGAUUGUCAGGGUGGUCGUUCCGAAUUCUUUGGCUUUCAGGCACUAAGGAUAUAGCACUAAAAGCAGAUAUAAAUGUUUGUCAGAUUGACUUCAGCUGACAAGGUCUUAGUGAAGACAAUCGACAGUUUUCAAUAGAAUGCAUAUGAUUUGGAUAGAUAGAGUUGAGAUAGAAGCAUAGAUAGGUUAGGGUCCGAUCACAUUCACUUAGAUCAAAAGAUUCAUCACGAAGCCAUAGCUAUAAGUGAAUGCUGUAGAGGACAGAACACAAGUACGUAUAUAACUAGUAUACAACCAAAUCAACAAGAUGAAGAUAAAUAUGAACUCAAGUCAAGGAUGAAGAUAAAUCAAAUACGAAGACUUCGCAAACAUAACGCCAAGGGAAGCACUUCAAACAAAAGUUUGGUGGUGGCGUUACCCACCGUAUAGGAAGUAUUAGACCCAGACACGGUGCACAAUUAUCGUGGCGCUCCGAAGUCAAAUUCUGCAUUAAUGUAUUCACACUUAGAGUGUAUGUCUUCAUUGAUUGAAGAUAUACAUUACUUCAUGUGUUGCACAUCUAAGUCAUCAAAAUGUAUAAGUGUUAUGAUGUGUGCCUAAUCACAGGACAUUUGAGGAUUGCAAGAUAUUUAGCUCACACCGCAACUUGCAAAACCUUUUCUCAUCCAAGGGCUUUGUGAAGAUAUCAGCCAAUUGCUCUUCAGUUUUGACGUGAAUGAUAUCAAUAUCUUCCUUCAUCACGUGAUCUCUGAGAAAGUGAUGACGAAUUUCCAUGUGCUUUGUCUUCAAGUGCUGAACUGGGUUGUUGGCAAUCUUGAUGGCACUCUCAUUGUCGCAGUAGAGUGGCACAUUCUUCAGGUGAAUACCAUAGUCCUUGAGAGUUUGCUUCAUCCAUAGAAGUUGUGCAUGGCAAGAUCCAGCAGAAAUGUAUUUAGAUUCAGCAGUGGAGAGAGAUACACAGUUCUGCUUCUUUGAAGACCAACAGACAAGAGAUCGUCCCAGAAAGAGACAUGUGCCAGAUGUGGACUUGCGAUCAACCUUGUCACCAGCAUAAUCAGCAUCUGAGAAUCCAACUAGAUCAAACUCUGAUCCCUUUGGAUACCAUAAUCCUAGUGUUGGGGUGUAAGCCAAAUAUCAAAGAAUACGCUCACAGCUAAGUGAUGCGAUUCCUUUGGUGCCGCUAGGAAUCGGGCACACAUGCAAAACUAAGCAUUAUAUCUGGCCUAGAUGCACAUAAAUAAAGCAAAGAACCAAUCAUGGAGAGGUAUACCUUUUGAUCGAACUCUUUACCAUUGGCGUCGAGACCCAGAUGAGUUUUGGUUGGCAUAGGGGUCGUGUAUCCUUUGCAGUCUUGCAUUCCAAACUUCUUCACACAAACUUUGAGGUAUUUUUCUUGAGAUCUGAAGAUGACGUUGCGUUGCUGACGGAUUUGGAGAUCUAGAAAGAACUUUAGCUCGACCGUCAUGGACAUCUGAUAUUGCUCUUGCAUCAUGUGACCAAACUCAUCACUGUAUUUCUUGUUGGUGCAGCCGAAGAUAAUGUCAUCCACAUACAUUUGGUACACAAACAGUUCACCAUCGUAUGUCUUCGUGAAGAGUGUAGGAUCUGGUGAACCAGGUUCGAAGCCUUUGCUCUUCAGGAAGUCUUUGAGCGUGUCAUGCCAAGCACGGGGGGCUUGUUUGAGGCCAUACAGUGCCUUGUUGAGCUUGUAUACCAUAUCAGGAUGCUUUGGAUCUUCAAAGCCAGGAGGUUGUGCGACAUACACUUCUUCUUCUGUAUUUCCAUUGAGAAAAACACUCUUCACAUCCAUUUGAUACAGAAGGAUGUUGUGAUGAUUUGCAUAGGCUAGUAGUAUGCGAAUGGCAUCAAGCCUUACCACCGAAGCAAAUGUUUCAUCGAAGUCAACUCCUUCCACUUGAGUGUAACCUUAUGCAACGAGACGAGCCUUGUUUCCGACAACUUGUCCAUGCUCAUCUUGAUUGUUGCGAUAUAUCCAUUUGGUGCCAAUGAUAUUGUGCUUCCAAGGAUCAGGACGCUUGACCAAUUCCCACACAUUAUUCAGCUCGAACUGUUGAAGCUCUUCUUGCAUAGCUUGAAUCCAUUCAGCUUCCAUGAAGGCUUCAUUGACUUUCUUGGGUUCUGAGAUUGAGACGAAUGCAAAAUGCCCACAGAAAUUGGUUAGCCGUGUUUCUCUUUGAGUAGCUCUUGAACGAGUGAGUGGACCAGGUGCAUAGAUGAUGUCGAUUAUCUUCUCAAUUUGUACUUCAUUUGCAACUCAAGGAUGAAUAGGAUGAAGAUGUUGCUCAUGCUGAUCAAUGUCAUUAUAUGGGGGAUUGUCUUCAGGCUGAGCAUUGUCUUCAGGUUGAUUAGGUGCAGAAACGAUCAGUUCUUCUUCAGUUUGAUUCUCAGAUGGUAUGAUCUCUCCAAGUCCCAUUUGCUUGAUUGACUCACUAGGGGGUAAUUCAUCUAGCACAUUUGGCAGGUGCUCACUUUGCGAGCCGUUAGUCUCAUCGAACCGCACAUCCACAGUUUCAAUCACUUUAUAGUGAAAGAGGUUGAAGACUCUGUAGGAGUGCGAAUCCUUUCCAUAACCAAGCAUAAAACCUGCAUGUGCUUUCGGUGCAAAUUUUGAAGUGUGAUGUGGAUCCCGGAUCCAGCACCUAGCACCAAAUACUCUAAGGUAACUUACAUUUGGCUUCUUAACAGUUAGGAGCUCAUAGGAUGUUUUCUUCAGAAGCUUGUGAAGAUAAACACUGUUGAUGACGUGGCAUGUAGUGUCAAUGGCUUCAGGCCAGAACUUCCAUGGAGACUUGUACUCAUGAAGCAUCGUUCGAGCCAUCUCAUUAAGAGUUCUGUCCUUGCGCUCCGCAGUGCCAUUCUGCUGAGGUGUGUAAGGAGCAGAGAACUCAUGAGUAAUACCCAAAGUAUCCAGAUAAAGGUCGAGGCCGGUCUUCUUGAACUCGGUGCCGUUGUCGCUUCUGAUGUGCUUGAUCUUGACACCAUAGUUUGUCAUGGCACGAUUGGCAAAGCGUCUGAAGACAUCCUGCACUUCAGUCUUGUAGAGGAUUAUAUGGACCCAAGUAUAUCUAGAGUAAUCAUCAACAAUGAAAAAGCCAUAGAGGCAAGCAGUAGCUUUGAGAGUAGAGUAGUGAGUAGGGCCAAAUAAAUCCAUGUGUAGCAGCUCGAAGGGUUGAGAUGUAGUCAUGAUUGUCUUCGAGGGAUGCUUGGCCCUGGUCAUCUUUCCAGCUUCGCAGGCGCCACACAGAUGAUCCUUCUUGAAGUUGAUGCCUUCGGUGGCCACGACAUGGUUCUUCUUUCUGAGAGUGUGCAAGUUCCUCAUGCCAGCAUGUCCUAGCCUUCGAUGCCAAAGCCAUCACUCUGAAGAUUUUGCUAGAAGACAUAUGGCCAUCUAUGGUCCUGCUGAGAAAUCUACCAUAUACAGAUCAUCUUUCCGAUACCCUUCAAAGACUAGAGACUUGUAAGAUUCCAUUAGCACAAGGCAUCGAUAUUUUCCAAAUAGCACAAUCAUGUUUAAGUCACAAAGCAUUGAGACAGACAUUAAGUUGAAACCAAGGGAUUCAACAAGCAUCACUUUAUCCAUGUGCUGAUCCCUUGAUAUUGCAACUCUACCUAGACCCAAUACCUUGCUUUUACCAGUGUCCGCAAAUGUGAUGUGACUCUUGUCUGAUGGACGUAGGGUUGAAUCCAUCAGAAGACACUACAAAAAAAGACACAUCCGUGACAUUUUGGGCCGAACAAUUUUUUUUCUGUCAUACAUAUGACACUUCUAUGACGAUAAUUGUGACAAAACCCGAUAUCAUCAUAGAUGUGGUGGGCUCCUACUUCUAUGACAAAAAAUCGUGAUAGAAAAUGGACUUUUCGUCCUGGGCGGGCCGGAGACGCAGCUGCAUGACAUUCUUUGGGUCGUCCAUGACAGAAAAAACCGUGGUAGAAGCGAGGGGGAGGAAAAUUUCGGGGAGUUGCCAGUUACGGUGGGAGAGCGAUGCGCGUUUCUCUCAUACACGUACGCGCGUGUGUGCGAGGCGUUGGCUCUAACUGAACCCGAGCGAGGCAUUGGGCUCUAACUGAACCCGAGCAAUUGCACUAUAGGCUACGCGUUACUGAACCCGAGUGAUCGAUCGAUGGCUGUUAACUGAACCCGAUGGAGCGAUUCCUUCGCUACUGCUGCUAACUGAAGCCGAUCGAUGCUGCCUCUGGGAUGAACAGUGAGUGUUGCAGGGGGGGGGGGGUUGGAUGAACAGUGAGCAGUGGCGUUGCCUCUGGAUGAACAAGAACCCGUGGUGUGGAGGGCUGGAUGAACAAUAGACAGUGGAGGGGUGGCCGUGGAGGGGUGGUUGAACAGGACUGUCGGUGUCAAAACCGGUGGAUCUCGGGUAGGGGGUGUCCGGAUAGCCGAACUAUCAUUUUUGGCCGGACUCCUGGACUAUGAAGAUACAAGAUUGAAGACUUCAUCCGGUGUCCGGGUGGGACUUUCCUUGGCGUGGAAGGCAAGCUUGGCGAUAUGGAUAUGUAGAUCUCCUACCAUUGUAACCGACUCUGUGUAACCCUAACCCUCUUCGGUGCCUAUAUAAACUGGAGGGUUUUAGUCUGUAGGACGAACAACAAUCAUACCAUAGGCUAGCUUCUAGGGUUUAGCCUCUCUGAUCUCGUGGUAGAUCUACUCUUGUACUACCCAUAUCAUCAAUAUCAAUCAAGCAGGAGUAGGGUUUUACCUCCAUCGAGAGGGCCCGAACCUGGGUAAAAACAUCGUGUCCCUUGUCUCCUGUUACCAUCCGCCUAGACGCACAGUUCGGGACCCCCUACCCGAGAUCCGCCAGUUUUGACACCGACAUUGGUGCUUUCAUUGAGAGUUCUCUGUGUCGUCAUCUUUAGGCCCGAUGGCUCGUCCGAUCAUCAACAACGAUGCGGUCCAGGGUGAGACUUUUCUCCCCGGACAGAUCUUCGUAUUCGGCGGCUUUGCACUGUGGGCCAAUUUGCUUGCCCAUCUGGAGCAGAUCGAAAGCUACGCCCCUGGCCAUCAGGUCAGGUUUGGAAGUUUGAACUACACAGCUGACGUCCAUGGAGACUUGAUCUUCGACGGGUUCGAGCCACAGCAAAGCGCGCCGCGCUGUCACGAGGGGCAUGAUCUAGCUCUGCCGCCGGACAGUGCCCUAGAGGCCGCACCAGUGUCCACUCCGACCCUUAGCUCGGAGCUGACUGCGUCGAUCGAGGACGGAUGGCUGGACACCGCCUUGGGGGCUGCUAUCUCUACGGCGAUUGAGCCAAACACCAACCCUGUCCUGUGCGAAGCUCGUGACUCCAAGGUGCCGGACUCCUCUCCAGAAUCCGAACCUCCCGCGCCCCUGCCAAUCGAAUCUGAUUGGGCACCGAUCAUGGAGUUCACUGCCGCGGACAUCUUUCAGCACUCGCCCUUUGGCAACAUCCUGAAUUCACUAAAGUCUCUCUCUUUAUCAGUAGAGCCCUGGCCGGAUUAUGGUCAGGAAGGUUGGGAUGCGGACGACGAAGAAAUUCAAAGCUCACCCACCACCCACUUAGUAGCCACUGUCGAUGAUUUAACUGACAUGCUCGACUUCGACUCCGAAGACAUCGACGGUAUGGACGAUGAUGCAGGAGACGACUAAGAACCAGCGCCUACAGGGCACUAGAAAGCCACCUCGUCAUACGACAUUUACAUGGUGGAAAUCCCAAAAGAUGGGAAUGGCGAUGGAACAACGGAGCAUGACCUCUCCAAGAAACAACCUAAGUGUCGGCGUCAGCAGCGCUGCUCUAAAUCCCGCCACAACAAAAACAGUGCUUCCGGCAUGGGAGACAAUAACACCCCGGACAGUGCCGAAGACAACUCCCUCUGGUAGGAUUCAGUGCGGGAGGAUGGAGAAGCCAGCCCUCAUGAGAGAGCGGCAGGCAGAGAGGUAGAGGACGAUAAUUACAUGCCUCCCUCCGAAGACGAGGCAAGCCUCGACGACGACGAAUUUGUCGUGCCUGAGGAUCCCGUCGAACAAGAGCGUUUCAAACGCAGGCCCAUGGCCACGGCAAGCAGCCUCAAGAAAAAGCAGCAACAGCUUAGAGCUGACCAAGACCUGCUAGCCACAAAUGGACUGAAGUCCUUCCGGCCGAAGAGUAUGAACUCGAAUGCCCCUCCAAGAGCUACCCAAAACGCAGGCUGCUACCCCGAUUUGAGGAGGAAGCACCUAAACCUACAUCACCAGUGCAUGAUACGGCUGAUCGGCCACCUCGUGGCCGCGACAAAGAGGCCUUUCGGCCCUCCACUCAAGCCGCACCCCGGCGCCGCUCAAAAAAUACCAAGGCACGGGAAAAUGCGCCAGACCUGUGGGAUAUACUGGAGGACAAGGCAAGGCAAACAAGAUCGAUCUACGGAUCGCGUGGGCACCCACGAUACGUGAUGAUAACCAUCACGCCGGAUAUGGCAAUUCCGGCCGGGCCGAACACAGUAGACAAAUCUCAUUUGAGUUGCGUCGUGAUAUAGCCCAAUACAAAGGCGCCGCACACCCACUAUGCUCCACAGACGAAGUGAUGGAUCAUCAAAUCCCUUAGGGUUUCAACCCCGUAAACAUUGAAUCAUACGACGGCACAACAGAUCCUGCAGUCUAAAUCAAGGACUAUCUCCUCCAUAUCCACAUGGCCUGCGGUGAUGAUCUAACGCCAUCAAAUACCUCCCACUCAAGCUUAAAAGACCAGCUCGGCAUUGGCUUAACAGCUUGCCAGCAGAGUCAAUCGGUUGUUGGGAAGACUUGGAAGCCACAUUCCUCGACAACUUCCAGAGCACCUAUGUGCGACCACCAGACGCCGAUGACCUAAGCCACAUAAUUCGGUAGCUAGAGGAAUUAGCCAGACAAUUCUGGACACGGUUCCUAACCAAGAAAAAUCAAAUCGUCGACUGCCCAGAUGCAGAGGCCCUUGCAGCCUUCAAACAUAAUAUCCGCGACGAGUGGCUUUCCCGGCACCUAGGACAGGAAAGGCCGAAAUCCAUGGCAGCCCUCACAACACUCAUGACCCUCUUCUGCGCGGGAGAGGAUAGCUGGCUAGCUUAUAGUGACAACAUGACCAAGAGCCCUGGUAAUUCGGAUACCAAGGACAGCAACGGCAGGUCGCAUCACAACAAGCACAAGCGCCGCAUUAACGGCGAUAAUGUUGAGGAUACGACAGUCAAUACCGGAUUCAGAGGCUCCAAACCCGGUUAGCGGAAAAAACCAUUCAAAAGAAAUACUCCGGGCCCGUCCAAUUUGGACCGAAUACUCGAUCGCUCGUGCGAGAUACACGGCACCCCCGAAAAACCAGCCAAUCACACCAACAGGGAUUGUUUGGUGUUCAAGCAGGCAGGCAAGCUAACUGCCGAAAACAAUGACAAGGGGCUGCAUAGCAACGACGAGGAGGAGCCCCCGCCGCCGAGCAAUAGAGGACAGAAGGGCUUUCCCCCACAAGUGCGGAUGGUGAACAUGAUAUACGCAACCCACAUACCCAAAAGGGAGCAGAAGUGUGCACUAAGGGACGUAUAUGCGAUGGAGCCAGUCGCCCCAAAGUUCAAUCCGUGGUCCUCCUGCCCGAUCACUUUUUGAUCGAAGGGACCACCCCACUAGCAUCCGCCAUGGCAGAUUCGUCGCAUUGGUUCUAGACCCAAUCGUUGACGGAUUUCACCUCACUAGAGUCCUGAUGGACGGGGGUAGCAGCCUGAACCUGCUUUAUCAGGAUACAGUGUGCAAGAUGGGCAUAGACCCCUCAAGGAUUAAACCCACAAAGACGACCUUCAAAGGCGUCAUACCAGGUGUAGAGGCCAACUAUACAGGCUCAAUUACACUUGAAGUGGUCUUCGGAUCACCGGAUAACUUCUGCAGCGAGGAAUUAAUCUUCGACAUAGUCCCGUUCCGCAGCGGCUAUCAUGCACUGCUCGGACGAACCGCAUUUGCAAAGUUCAAUGCGGUGCCGCACUACGCAUACCUCAAGAUCAAGAUGCCAGGCCCUCGAGGAGUCAUUACGGUCAAUAGAAACACCGAACGCUCUCUCGGAACGGAGGAGCAUACGGCAGCCCUCGUGGCAGAAGUACAAAGCAGCCUCUUAAGGCAAUUCUCGAGUCCGGCUAUUAAACGUCCAAACACCGUCAAGCGCGCCCGGAGUAACCAACAACAAGACUGCCUGGCACGUCCCGAGCACGUGUAGCAAUGCAGCCCCAACCCCAGCCCUCGCGAGAUUGCGAAACCAGUACUACGCGUACAUAAUUACGCUCUAGAAAUACCAUGGGCAUAGGUGGAGGGGCACAACCACGGCUGGCCUAUAAUGCGGCUCAACCGCACCAGGGGCUCCCAAUUGUCUCAUUCUUGUUUUUUCUCUUACUUUCAGGACUCCUUUCUCAAGAAGCCCUGUCCGGUAGUAGAAUCGCCGAACCCACGAUGCAACAGCCAGGGAAGCAGAAAGCUACGUCGAGUGUCCAAGUGGUCUCUAUAACAAGCAGUAUACUUGUUUUACAUAACAUCCCGCAGCUCGCUCCUGGAGGGAGACAUGUCAAAUAGUCCCGUCCCUUGCUUAUCACACUAUUUGUAUCGUUCUGCUUUUACCGCAACUUUUUUGAAUAAACAAUGCAUAGCUUUUGCCUAUUAUUGCAUUCCUUUUUUUUAUUUUAUCUAUACAUGUUCACUUCAGACAUGUUGCACCCGUACGUUUUGGUACGGCCGAAUACACCAGGGGCUUAAGUACCCCAAAAUAUGGUGUGAUAAGUCCGAACACUUUCACAAGUGCGGCACCCCGAACUUAUAGCAUUAUAUGCAUCGGCUCCGAGUCAUGUCUUGGGUCAAUAGUUGGGUUUGCCUGGCUCCCAUGUUUUGGUACCUUACGUUCCGUUAUAUCGGCUAAGGUAGCACUGGGAGAACCACUGCGAUUGUGACCCGGUUGAGCUGGGUUGAGCACCUCAGUGGAGAAAGCUAAAACUGACUGUCAUGAUAGGGCGAGAGCCGGUCGCUGUUCGAGAGGUUUUUCGAGUCCCUAAAGACUUAUGUCGCUUAGAGCGAGGAGUCGGCUUUGUCCGGCCCAGGCAUGGAUAGCGCCCCAAACUCGGUCUUCCGAAUACUAGGGGCUUCGCCGAAAUUUAAAAUUAUAGAAUUCUAUGGCUAAGUGAGAGUAUUCAAGCAUUAUAGUCCGGUUGCCUUGUUCGUUGCGUUGAGCGCCUCCCUCGAAGGACCCAAGAAUGGGAAAAAGAGCGCUCAAGUUUAUCCCGAACACCCCAGAACUCGUGGCAUGGGGGCAGAAGCCGACGACUCGCCAUCUCUCAAAUUUAAUAAACGGCCGCACAGAAGGUACUAUUUUAAAUUCACAAGAGUUGCUUAGCACAUAUGAACAAGUUUUCAAGCGUACAGGAUAACAAAUGCGAGUUUACUCAAAAAUUACAUCUUUGGAGCAUCCACCCGCUAUAAGGCGGGCAUCCUUCAGGACGCCCUGAUAAUACUUCUCGGGCUUGCGAUACUCCCUGCCCGGCGGCGGAGCAUCCGUCACAAGCUUCUCAGCGUCCAUCUUGCCCCAGUGCACUUUAGCACGGGCAAGGGCCCUACGGGCACCUUCGAUGUAGACGGAGCACUUGACAACUUCAAUCCAUGGACAGGCAUCCACCAGCUGCCUCACCAGCCCGAAGUAGCUCCCAGGCAUGGCCUCCUUCGGCCACAGCCAAACUAUGAGGCCCGUCAUGGCAUGUUCGGCCACCUUAUGGAGCUCGACCAGCUGCUUCAGCUGGUCUCUCAAGGGCACCGGGUGUCCGGCCUCAGCAUACUGAGACCAGAACACCUUCUCCAUCGAGCUCCCUUCCUCGGCCCGAUAGAACGCGGCUGCGUCGGACAUACUGCGGGGCAGAUCUGCGAAUGCUACUGGAGAGCUCCGGAUUCGGGUAAGUAACAAGUAAUUCACUUUCAUGUGCUUGCUUUGCAUGAAGAAUGUCUUACCCGCCGCUAUCUUCUUUAUUGCCUCAAUUUCCUGGAGGGCUUUUUGUGCUUCAGCCUUAGCGGCUUUAGCGCUCUCAAGAGCCGAGGCAAGCUCGGACUCUCGAGUCUUUGAGUCACGCUCCAAACUCUCGUGUUUUUCCACAAGAGCCUGGAGCUCUUGCCGCACCUCCGCCACCCGCCCCUCCUGCUUCUCUCGCUCGGUGCAUUCCGCGGCCGCAUUGCUUUCGGCCCUGGACACCGCUUCCUUCAGGGUCGCAACCUCGUUCGUGGCCCCUGCAAUUCUCAUGUUAUUCCUAUUAUUUUUUGCAACCACAUUUUUUAUAUAUACUUCCAUAAUGUAUUACUUACCUUCCUUGUCCUCGAGCUGCUUCUUGGCAAGGUCGAGCUCGUUCUCGGACCGCUCGAGGCUCUGCUUCAAUGCAUUGACCUUCGCAGUCAGUGCGGCAGAGGUCAGCAGCGCAACCUGCAUUCCCAUAUUGACAUACUUAUGUUAGACUCCUGCAUACAUCUUUUUAGAUCCUCAAUUCGGCUUUUCUUUCCGAACACCAAACUGAGCAUCAGGGGCUACUGUCUAUGCGGUAAUAUUUUCACAUAUCUUAAAAACAUACCUCAAAGCCUGUUAGAAGGCUGGCACAGGCUUCAGUCAGCCCGCUCUUGGCGGACUGAACUUUCUGGAUCACCACACUCAUAACAGUGCGGUGCUCCUCGUUGAUGGAGGCGCCGUUAAGCGCCUCCAGCAAAUUAUCCGGUGCCUCCGGUUGGACGGAGGUCACCGGUGUCGCAGUCUCGCCCUUUGUACGAAGGGGCCGCCCGCCGGACUCCGGAACCACUAAAGGUUCCGGUGCAGAGUCCGGCCCAGGGCCGGACAUAGAGCCCUUUGGGGUUUGAUCCCCCUCGCGCCCAAAGUCCGGGAGGUUGCCUUGCGGCACCUCCGGGACCUCCUCCUCCUGGCUGGGCCCCUUUUGGGACCCCACCUCAGCGUCAUCCGCAGCAUGAGGCGAGGAGACGGCCGUAAGUGAAGUGCUAUUCACGUCCGACGAUACCAGGGAGCCGCUCGUUCAAGUGUUGAGCCCAUCCUUGGGCGGGCUGCAGGGUUAUGUUCGGCGUUAGGAGAUUUUGUACGACAAACGAAACGCCAUGAGUUAUUCUGGUAUCCGGACACUUACGAUGUCGCAAGGGGCUUAGCCCUCGGUGGCCACUCCUCUUCGCCGUCGUCGGCGUUGGUAGAGUAGUCCGGAGGGAGGGUCCUUCCCUUCUUUGACCCUUCGGCCUCCCCCGUUGGGGAGGCUUUCCUUUUCUUCUCUCCCCCGCUGGGGGAGAGGCCUCUUUUUCCUCCUCCUCGCCUUCACGGGAGGAGUCUGCCUCGGAUUCGUCGGACGAUGAGUCCGACAACACCUGGUGCCGGGAACUCUUUCGAGUUCCCGUGGCCUUCUUCUUGGCCUUCUUCUCCGGCACCACAUAAGGUGCCAGAACCAGCAGCCCCGUCAAUCGGGUGUCCGCUGGGUCUUCUGGCAAGGGAGCCGGACAGUUAACCUGCCCAGACUUCUUUUGCCAGGCCUGUCAAAGGAAAGGGAGUUUAGAUCCCGCAUAGAGUCAAACUAUGGAAAAUAAGUGUCCUGUAAAGGGCAAAAUAGCUUACCUCGCCGGCUUGAUGCUGCGAGCUGAAUCCCCAAUCUUCGGUAGCGGAUGCGGGAGCCUCGGCGCCCUUGAACAGUACCUUCCAGGCAUCUUCGUACGUAGUGUCGAAGAGCCUGCUCAAGGUUUGGUGCUGUGCCGGAUCAAACUCCCACAAGCUGAAAGCCCGUUGUUGGCACGGGAGGAUCCGGCGGAUGAGCAUGACCUGGACAACGUUGACGAGCUUGAUCUUCUUGUUCGCAAGGUUUUGGACGCAGGUUUGGCGUCCGGUCAGCUCUUCCGAAUUACCCCAUGACAGGCCCUUGUCUUUCCAGGAGGUGAGCCGUGUGGGGAUGCCAGAUCGGAACUCGGGGGCCGCUGCCCAUUCAGGGUCACGCGGCUCGGUGAUGUAGAACCACCCGAGUGCCACCCUUUGAUGGUUUCCACGAAGGAGCCCUCGAGCCAUAUAACGUUGGGCAUCUUGCCCACCAUGGCGCCUCCACACUCCGCCUGCUGGCCCCCCACUACCUUCAGCUUGACAUUGAAGGUCUUCAGCCAUAAGCCGAAGUGGGGCUUGAUGCGGAGGAAGGCCUCGCGCACGACGAUCACGCCGAGAUGUUGAGGACGAAAUUCGGGGCCAAAUCAUGGAAAUCCAGGCUGUAGUAGAACAUGAGCCCCCGGACGAAUGGGUGAAUUGGAAAACCUAGUCCGUGGAGGAAGUGGGUGAGGAAUACCACCCUCUCAUGGGGCCCUGGGGUGGGGAUGAGCUGCCCCUUGUCGGGGAGCCGAUGCACAAUGUUGCCAGACAAGUAUCCGGCCUUCCGCAGCCUCUUGAUGUGCCCCUCCGUGACGGAGGAGGCCAUCCACUUGCCUCCCGCUCCGGACAUGGCUGGGGAAGGUUGAGGCGAGAUGGGCGAACUUGGGCGCUGGAGCUCGAGUGCGCGGAAAUGGAUAAGCAAAGGAGGAAGAAGGCGUAGGUAAAAAGGUGGAUCAUUAUCCCCUUAUAUGGACGGACGAAACUAUGCGUCCCCACCGGCCUGUAAAACUCGCUUAUCUCCCAAGCGCCGUGAUCAAUGGUGCUGUUGGGUUACCCACGCCCGUAUUGAUGAGAAUCCCGGAAUAAGGGGACACGAUCUCUGCUUUGACAAGACGUGCCAAGGAAACCGCCUCGCUAAACGCGCUGAGGUGGGACAGUAAAAACGAUUCGAAUAAAGGCUUGGCCGUGGUGUGAUGUCACGCCACGAAAUACGUCAGCAGAUUGAAUUUGUGUAAAUAUUAUUCUCUCUAUGGUGGUAUGUGGAGCUUAUUUUGCAGAGCCGGACACUAUCCUUGUGUUCAAAAUCUUCUAUGAAGUAUUCGGAGGAGGAACCUGCCUUGCAAUGCCGAAGACAACAUGCAUACCGGACUCGUCGUCAUUGAAGCCUGGUUCAGGGGCUACUGAGGGAGUCCCGGACUAGGGGGUGUCCGGAUAGCCGAACUAUCAUCUUCGGUCGGACUCCUGGACUAUGAAGAUACAAGAUUGAAGACUUCGUCCCGUUUCCGGAUGGGACUUUCCUUGGCGUGGAAGGCAAGCUUGGCGAUACGGAUAUGUAGAUCUCCUACCAUUGUAACCGACUCUGUGUAACCCUAACCCUCUUCGGUGCCUAUAUAAACCGGAGGGUUUUAGUCCGUAGGACGAACAACAAUCAUACCAUAGGCUAGCUUCUAGGGUUUAGCCUCUCUGAUCUCGUGGUAGAUCUACUCUUGUACUACCCAUAUCAUCAAUAUCAAUCAAGAAGGAGUAGGGUUUUACCUCCAUCGAGAGGGCCCGAACCUGGGUAAAAACAUCGUGUCCCUUGUCUCCUGUUACCAUCUGCCUAGACGCACAAUUCGGGACCCCCUACCCGAGAUCCGCCAGUUUUGACACCGACAAGGACCCAGUGGUGUGGAGGGCUGGAUGAAUAGUAGACGAUGGAGGGGUGCCCGUGGAGGGGUGGUUGAACAGUAGCCGGUGGAGUAGCGCGCGGUGGAGGCUGGAUGAACAGGAGCCCGUGGAGGCUGGAGGAGGUCGACGGUGGAGAUGAACAGUAUCCCGUGGAGUCCCGUUUUGCGGUANNNNNNNNNNNNNNNNNNNNNNNNNNNNNNNNNNNNNNNNNNNNNNNNNNNNNNNNNNNNNNNNNNNNNNNNNNNNNNNNNNNNNNNNNNNNNNNNNNNNNNNNNNNNNNNNNNNNNNNNNNNNNNNNNNNNNNNNNNNNNNNNNNNNNNNNNNNNNNNNNNNNNNNNNNNNNNNNNNNNNNNNNNNNNNNNNNNNNNNNNNNNNNNNNNNNNNNNNNNNNNNNNNNNNNNNNNNNNNNNNNNNNNNNNNNNNGACCGUAACGCUCCAACACAAGUCCGUUUCGUCCGUUUUGCGAUACGCCACACCCCUCCCGAUCAACAGGACCCCCGUUUCGACCGUAAGAGGUCCGUUUCAUCCGUUUUGUGGUACGCCACACCCCUCCCAAUCAACAGGACCCCCGUUUCGACCGUAGUGUCGGAUUUCUGGUUCCGGUAGACCCUUGAGGUUCGAACACUGGGGUGCGCGCGGAGAUUUUGCCCUCUGCCUACCUGCUCCUCGCGCGGUUUUAGUCUCUCUGAUCUCGUGGUAGAUCUACUCUUGUACUACCCAUAUCAUUAAUAUCAAUCAAGCAGGAGUAGGGUUUUACCUCCAUCGAGAGGGCCUGAACCUGGGUAAAAACAUCGUGUCCCUUGUUUCCUGUUACCAUCCGCCUAGACGCACAGUUCGGGACCCCCUACCCGAGAUCCGCCAGUUUUGACACCGACAAGGACCCCAUGGUGUGGAGGGCUGGAUGAACAGUAGACGGUGGAGGGGUGCCUAUGGAGGGGUGGUUGAACAGUAGCCGGUGGAGUAGCGCGCGGUGGAGGCUGGAUGAACAGGAGCCCGUGGAGGCUGGAGGAGGUCGACGAUAGCCCAUGGAGGCUGGAGGAGGUUGACGGUGGAGAUGAACAUUAUCCCGUGGAGUACCAUUUUGCGGUACUCCACACCCCUCCCCCCACCCAUUUCGACUGUAGCGCUCAAACACAAGUCCGUUUCUCCGUUUUGCGGUAAGCCACACCCCUCCCGAUCAACAGGACCCCUGUUUCGACCGUAGGAGGUCCGUUUCAUCCGUUUUGCGGUACGCCACACCCCUCCCGAUCAAUACGACCCCCGUUUCGACCGUAGUGUCAGAUUUCGGGUUCCGGUAGACCCUUGAGGUUCGAACACUGGGGUGCGCAUGGAGAUUUCGCCCUCUGCCUACCUGCUCCUCGCCGAAUCGCUAGGAUCUAAACUACUAAACAGAACAACACAAGAGACACAAGGUUUAUACUGGUUCAGGCCACCAUUGUGGUGUAAUACCCUACUCCAGUGUGUGGUGUGGUGGAUUGCCUCUUGGGCUGAUGAUGAAAAAUACAAGGAAGAACAGCCUCGCGAGGUUCUGUUCUUGGCUGGUGUGAUGAACUGCUGGGAGGAGUUCAAUCGCUCUAUCUACUGGUUUCUUGGUGAAGAUCCAGAUGCCUCUACCUUGGGGGUGGCUAGUCCUAUUUAUAGGCAAAGGCCCUGGGCCUCUUCCCAAUUAUUGAGCGGGAAGGGCGCCAACAAUUGGCCAUUUUGAAGGGGAACAGCGGGUACACUUAUCCUGACUAAAGUUGGUCCUCGCCUGUCAAAGGCUCUGGUAGUGACGCCUGCUUGGGCUCCACAAUGACUUCCUCCCUGCCGUUGGGCUGGUCUUGCUCUUGUUGCACCGAAAUGGAUGCCUUUGCUUGAUGCUCUCGCCUACUCUUGCCCCCUUUGCACCAAAGAGGAAAAGAGGACACUGUGCGGGCUGGCGCCUGACUGGCGCCCCUGGUCGUCAUGGCUUGCGUCAUGGGCACCUCGUGAGGUACCCCGCCAUGAACUCUCCGCCUCCUCGUGAGCCAGCCUGAUGAGGCCGUGCCUGAGGAAGCUCCUUGUCGUCCGCCCUGCGAGGCUUGGCCCCUCGCGAGGGUCUUGAGCUUGUGUUGAUGAAGAUGGGCUGCGCUGGGCCCCCUUUGAGCCACGCCGCAGGCCGCAGGCAGGCAAGUCUGGGGACCCCCAUUCCCAGAACGCCGACAGUAGCCCCCGAGCCCACGGCGCGCCCGGACUUGGCCAAGCAGAGAGGCGAAAGGGCAAGUGCGAAGCGUCGCGGGCCCUAACAGCAUGCGGCCUUGGGCGCCGCGUGGUGGUCGAUUGGACGUGGGCGCCUCCGCUUCCCCACGACGCCUCGGUAACCGUACGGAUUCGACAGGUCCCUGCAUGCAAAGCGGGUCAUGAUUACCUGCGAUCAUGGAGGUCGACGGUUGGCCUUCGCCGGCUAUAAGUACGGAACGGCGCGCGCCCUCCAGUCUACCCCCUCUGCUUCUCCUUCUUCUUCAUCGCUCCGCCAAGGAAGUUCUCGGCCGCAGAGAAAGGAAAGGCUCGCCAGGUCGAGUCGGCCCCUCCCCCGCCCAAGUGCGGUCGUGGCCGCCCUUGCAAACACCCUGCAGCCUCCACGACGGCCCCUCGCGGUCGUGGAGGUGGCUCUCUGCGCGGUGAUGGGCGGCUGGCCGUGGCCGGGGGGCGUGCUCCGGCCGUGCGACCCCCCAGGCCGCGCUUCCAUACUGCGGAGGUGCUGCCGGAGUUCACUGUGAGGGCGGCGGAGCCAACUAGCGCCCGGCUUCUGCUCCCUCGCUUCCUCCUAGGUGAGCUCCUAGCUGGCGCCCUGGGCGGCCUCUGGCUCCAGGCAGACGGCUGCUGCAGCCCGGCCUCGUGGGCUUCGCUGGAGGUCUCCGCAGCCGGGAGCUUGGCCUUGACCCGCAGCUGGCAGACAUUUGCCCGCGCGCAUGCCCUGAGCCGCUGGUGCACUCUACACUUCAAGUUCGAUGGCGAUGCCACCCUCUACGUGAGGGUGUUUGGGGAAGAUGGUCGCCGCGCAGGGUGCUGCCCUGAAGACGAUGACCGCAGCCGGGGGCCCAACCCCGGCGAGGACGGAGAGGAUAGCGCGCGUGUGGUUGGCGGCGCCUAGGGUUCCUCAAGCUUCACCAGUUCUUCUUCGGGCAGUGACUCCUCCAGCAGCGGCCGCGGUCGACCUCCAUGCCGGCGUGCCUGCUUGGAGGGUGGUGGCGGGUCUGCCCGCCGUCGUGCCUCGGUGGAGCGCGAGGGGGAGUCCGCCUGAGCUCCGGAGGAGGGUCGAGUCUUCCCUGAGGGUCGGCGCAGGGCGAGCUUCCCGAGAUUUGCCCUUUCUUUUCCUUUUUCCUGUGCAGAAAGACAGUAGUGUGGGGCCCCAUUGGGGUGUGUUUGGGGUACCGCUGUUAAUCAUCAUAUUGUUCCCGUUAUUUUGGUAUUGUUCUCUCUGUCCGCACGUUCGCACGUAGGUAAUCCCCUGCCUCAGCCGUGGGGGCAACCGACCCAGGCCCUGUAUUCAUGUCGCGAUGCCCGUGAGGCACGGACUGGAGGGGUGCUCCUGUAGUGAGCGUGGGUUGAGAAAACCUUGAACGAUAAGGGCGGAGAGAGACUCGCGAGGGAGUCCUGGCUGCUCCCACGUGAGGCCUUGCGUGAGAGAAAUCGAGGCAGGAGAGUGAAAAUUCGAAGAGCCACAACUCGAAGGCAACAACUUCAAUAAUAGUUCAAAUAAGAGCGAACAAGCCAACUACAGAAAGCAAAUGAAAAAGCCGCGUCCGGCACCUAAUCUAGUCUUCGACGUCUUCUCACCAGCGUGGAGCUAAGUGCUGCCACUGGGCGUGGGAGGGAGCCCCAGGGCCUGAGGCCGGCGCUCCUGAGACUCCGGGGCGUGUACAGCCCCAACUCAUUAUUACGUGAGAGUGUCAUGGACGGCGAGCUUCACAGGCAUUGGCCUUCUUCACAGGCUCCGAGCCUUUCUUGGGGGAGACAAGCUUCACGGGCAUUGGCCCUCUUCACAGGCUCUGGGCCUUUUCCAAAACGCAUCAGCUUCACAAGCGUUCGCCUUCUUUACAGGCUCUGGGCCUUUUCCAAAAAGAUGAGCUUCACAGGCAUUUGCCUUCUUCACAGGCUUUGGGCCUUUUCCAAAAAGAUGAGCUUCACAGGCAUUCGCCUUCUUCACAGGCUCUGGGCCUUUUCCAAAAAGAUGGGCUUCACAGGCAUUCGCCUUCUUCACAGGCUCUGGGCCUUUUCCAAAAAGAUGAGCUUCAUAGGCAUUCGCCUUCUUCACAGGCUCUGGGCCUUUUCCAAAAAGAUGGGCUUCACAGGCAUUCGCCUUCUUCACAGGCUCUGGGCCUUUUCCAAAAAGAUGGGCUUCACAGGCGUUCGCCUUCUUCAUAGGCUCUGGGCCUUUUUAUGGGUAAAACCUCCUGAGGUGCUGGAUGUUCCACGCGUUCUAUACAGGUACCCCCACCUGAGUCUCCAAGCGCGCGGAGCCGGGCCUGGAAACAUGAACAACCUUGAACGGGCCAUCCCACAUGGGAGAGAGCUUAUGCAGUCCCUCCCUGGAGAGAACCCGCCUCAGCACGAGGUCCCCUACCUCAAGAGUUCUGGGGCGGAUGUUGCGGCAGUGGUAUCGCCGCAGUGCUUGUUGGUAUCUUGCCGCUCGCAACGCGGCCUCUCAGCGACGCUCCUCCCCCAGCACGAGGUCCAUCCCCCGCAUGGCGUCCAGAUGGGUCUCAUCGAACACCAGGACCCGUGCGGAAUGACGCCUGACCUCGUGAGGGAGGACUGCUUCGGCUCCAUAGACCAGGAAGACGGGGGUCUCCCCAGUCGGCUUGGUCGCGGUUGUGCGGAUGGACCACAACACGGACUGAAGCUCAUCGUACCAACCUCUGCCGCAGGCCUCCAGCUUCUUCUUGAAUGUUCUGGUGUUGAGGCCCCUCAGGACUUCUGCGUUGGCUCGCUCGGCCUGGCCGUUGCUUCGGGGGUGCGCCACCGAAGCGUAGCAUAUCUGCGUUCCAAGGUUAGCACAGUAUGUUUUCAAGAGGUUACUGGUGAACUGCGAACCGUUGUUAGUGAUGAUGCGGUUCGACACCCCGAAUCGGCUCACGAUGCCUUUGAUGAACUUGACCGCAGAACCAGCAGGGAUGGUGCAGACGGCCUCGACUUCAGACCACUUGGUGAACUUGUCCACGACGACGUAGAGUUAGCGAUAGCCCCCUGGCGCCCGAGGAAACGGGCCUAGGAUAUCCAACCCCCAGACUGCGAACGGCCACGUGAGGGGUAUGGUUUACAGACCUCCGGCCGGCUGAUGGAUCUGCUUGGCAUGGAAUUGGCAAGCCUCGCAAGCCUUCACUAGUUCGACAGCGUCAUUGAGCGCAGUAGGCCAAUAGAAACCGCUGCAGAAUGCCUUGCCGACGAGGGUCCAUGACGACGAAUGAUGCCCACAAUCUCCAUCGUGUAUAUCUGCCAACAGCUCCUUCCCUUGCUCUCUGGUGAUGCAGCGCAAGGACACAUCGUUUGGUCAUUUCCGGUAGAGCUCUCCAUCCCUGAUGUAGUACGCUGUAGCUUGCCGCGCCACACGCUCUGCUUCCUCCUCCUUCUCCGGCAGGGUCCCAUGUGUUAAGUUGCUCCAGAGCUCCGUGAUCCAGCUCCCCUCUUGAGGCUCCAUCGUCAAGAGCAGGCGUGCUCCUGAGGUCGGGCCGCAGGCUGGGGCUCCCGAGGCUGGUGGCCGGGGAAGCUCCACCUGAGGCUGUGCUGUGUUUGAUAACGAUGGCAGGGCCAAGGGCUUGAAGAGCUGUUCCUCAAAGACGCCCGGCUCCUGGGGCAACCGCCUGGAGGCUCGUUUGCGAUGUCGUCGGCCUCUUGAUUAGUGCUGCGGGGCACAUGCUAUAGCUCCAACCCCCAGAACUGUUUCUCCAUCCUGCGGACUUCCGCAAGGUAUGCUUCCAUGUGCUCAUCUCUUGGCUCAUACACCUUGUUGGAGAAAUUGACGAGGAGCUGCGAAUCGCCCUUGAUAGUAAGGCGCUUCACCCCUAGGGUAGCGGCGGCCUUCAAGCCCGCUAUCAGUCCCUCGUACUCCGCUAUAUUGUUGGAGACCUUUUCACCCUGUUGGAAACAGAGCUGCACGGCGUAGUAAAGCUUGUCCUGAGUGGGAGAUAUGAGCACCGCCCCGGCCCCUGCGCCAUGCCUGGAGAAUGCUCCGUCGAAGUACACGACCCAGCCUUCUGGCGCCUCACUUCCCGGGGAGAGGGAUCGAUCCUCGUCGGCCUUGAGGUCUAGUGCCUCCGUCCAUUCGACCACGAAAUCUGCUAGCGCGGCUCCCUUGAUGACCCUGGUUGUGCUGAAUUCGAGCUGAAAUGCUUGCAGUUCAAUGUUCCACUCGGCGACCCUUCCAGCCGAGUUAGGGCUCCGGAGCACCCUUUCCAAGGGGUAUGCUGAGGCGACCUUGAUCGGGUGGCUCUGGAAGUAGUGUCGCAGCAUGCGUGAGGCUACCAGUAGCGCGAGGAGGAGCUUCUGUGGCAUGGGGUACCAUGCCCUCGCAUCCCACAACACCGUGCUGACGAAGUACACCGGGUGCUCGACGAGGCUUGGAGCGUCGGUGCUGGUGGCGUCCUCCGGAGGCCGUGGCGCCUGCUGAGGCGAUGGGGCCUCCGGAAGCUGGUUGCCUGGGGAAGGGGCCUCCUCCGUUCCUGGCUUGCUCCCCUGCAGCGGCUGACCCUCCUCAGCCGUGGUAGCGAUCUCUGCGAGUCCUUCCUGGUCCUGCUUUGCCUUGACACGGGUAGAUGCCGUGGCUUUGGUCCGGCGCUCCUCCCUAACUGCCACCAGAGCCGCACUGGCGGAGUAAGGAGUGGCGGCAAGGUAGAGUACCAAGGGCUCCUGAGGGCAUGGGGCCACCAUCACCGGAGGGUUGUUUAGGUAUCUCUUGAGAUCUUGGAACGUCUUGUCGGCCUCUUCAGUCCAUUCAAAGGGCCCCUUUUUCUUCAUCAGCUGGAAGAAAGGCCGCGCUCGCUCCCCUAACCUGGAGAUGAAGCACCCCAGCGCAGUCACGCGCCCCGUGAGCUUCUGCGUUUCUCUGAGGGUCUUUGGUGGGCUCAUGUCCUCGACUGCCUUGACCUUUUCUGGGUUGGCCUCAAUGCCUCGGUGGGACACGAGGAAGCCCAAGAGCUUGCCCGAGGGGACUCCAAACACACACUUCUCCGGGUUGAGCCGCAGGCUCACUGCGUUGAGGCUUGCGAAGGUUUCCUCCAUGUCUUGUAUCAGGGUCUUGGCCUCGCGAGACUUCACUACGAUGUCGUCGACGUAAGCCUCCACAUUCUUCCCGAGUUGCGGGCCCAAGGUGAUGUGCAUGAGCCGCUGAAAGUUUGCCACCGCGUUGCGCAGUCCGAACAGCAUGCAUGUAUAGCAGUACACCCCACACGGGGUCAAGAAGGCCGUCUUCUCCACGUCUUCCGCCGCCAUCUUGAUCUGGUGAUACCCGGAGAAGGCAUCCAAGAAGCAUAACAGGUCACACUCAGCGGUGGAAUCGACGAUCUGAUCGAUGCGAGGGAGCAGGAACGGAUCUUGCGGGCAUGCUUUGUUGAGGUUGGUGAAGUCGACACACAUGCGCUCCUUCCCUCCCUUCUUUGGCACAACCACAGGGUUGGCCAACCAGUCUGGAUAUCGGACAUCGCGAAUAACCCCUGCGGCAUCCAGCUUGUGGGUCUCCUGGACGAUGAAGGCCUGCUUUUCAGUGGACUGCCGCCUCGCCUUCUACUUCACGGGGCGCACGUUGGGGCACAUGUUGAGGUGGUGCUCGAUUACGCUCCGUGGGAUUCCUGCCAACUGAUCGAGCUCCCAGGCGAACACCUUCUUGUUUGCGCGCAGGAACUUGACCAGGGCUUCCUCCUGCUCGGGCCCGAGGUUGGCGCCUAUGGUGAAAGUGGCGUUAGUGGACCCAUCCUCGUCGACAGGUAUCUGCUUGGUCUCUGCCUUGUCUUGGGUGAACAACUGUUUCUUCUUGGUUGGUGCAGCCCCCUUGGGCUUGGGGGUUUCCACGUUGGCGGGCCGUGCUGCCGCCGCCGUCUUGAGGGCGAGCUUGAGCACUCGCCGCGCAUCUCCGGUGUCCCCGGGCACGGUGAGGACACCAUUGCUCCCGGGCAUCCUCAUGAGGUUGUACGUCGGGUGAGUCGCGGCCCUGAAUUGGGCCAGUGCUGGAUAGCCGAGGAUGCCGUUGUAGGGGAGGCCGAUGGGGGCGAUGUCGAAAUCGACCAGCUCUAUGCGGAAAUUGUCGUAGGUGCCGAAGGUUACCGGGAGCUGGAUCUGUCCCAAGGAGUUGGACGACCCGCCUCCGACGCCCGAGAAGGGCCGGCUGGGUUGCAGCCGCUCCCGGGGUAUGCAGAGAAGGUCGAAGGCCUCAAUUCAGAGCACGCUGAGGCCCGCGCCACCGUCGAUGAGAGUCCUGGUGACAGCCACUUGGCAGAUGGUAGGCGUGCAGAGCAUGGGAGCGCACCCGAGCAGGCCGAGUUGGAGGGGUGGUCCUCUGAGCUGAAGGCCAGCCCGGCCGAUGGCUUUGACCGGCCCAGGGGAGCCCCCUGCCGCGUGGAGGCGGCGCCGACCCAGCGGACGAAUGGCUUGACGUGGUGGCUGGAGGGUGGCGCCUGCGAGCAACCCAGGAGGGCCGCGACGACCGAGGGGGCCGGCACGACGUGGUGGGUGAGGAAGAGGCCGCGUGGCUCUUCCCAAGAGGCCACGGCGGGAUGCUGGGAUGAUGCUCGCUGCCCGUUCCCCGCCGGGCCGGUGGCGGCGUUGAUGGCAGGUGACGGGGAACGACGAGGGCGCCCGCCGACGGGAGCCGUCUGGGCUUCGCGGGAAGCGAGGGCGGCUCGGCGCUCGGCGCGAGCCCGACGAGCGCCAGACAUGGAUGCGAUGGUCGGAGAAGAACAAGACGACGGAAGGCGAAUUCCGGCGCACCCCUACCUGGCGCGCCAAAUGUCGGAUUUCGGGUUCCGGCAGACCCUUGAGGUUCGAACACUGGGGUGCGCGCGCAGACUUCGCACUCUGCCUACCUGCUCCUCGCCGAAUCGCUAGGAUCUAAACUACUAAACAGAACAACACAAGAGACACAAGGUUUAUACUGGUUCAGGCCACCAUUGUGGUGUAAUACCCUAUUCCAGUGUGUGGUGUGGUGGAUUGCCUCUUGUGCUGAUGAUGAACAAUACAAGGAAGAACAGCCUCGCGAGGGUCUGUUCUUGGCUGGUGUUAUGAACUUCUAGGAGGAGUUCAAUCGCUCUAUCUACUGGUUUCAUGGUGAGGAUCCAGACGCCUCUACCAUGGGGGUGGCUAGUCCUAUUUAUAGGCAAAGGCCCUGGGCCUCUUCCCAAAUAUUGAGCGGGAAGGGCGCCAACAAUUGGCCAUUUUGAAGGGGAACAGCGGGUACACUUAUCCUGACUAAAGUUGGUCCUCGCCUGUCAAAGGCUCUGGUAGUGACGCCUGCUUGGGCUCCACAAUGACAUCCUCCCUGCCGUUGGGUUGGCCUUGGUCUUGUUGCACCGAAAUGGAUGCCUUUGCUUGAUGCUCUCGCCUGCGCUUGCCCCCUUUGCACCAAAGAGGAAAGGAGGACACUGCGCGGGCUGGCGCCCGACUGGCGCCCCUGGUCGUCAUGGCUUGCAUCAUGGCACCUCGCGAGGUACCCCGCCUUGAACUCUCCGCCUCCUCGUGGGCCAGCCUGAUGAGGCCGUGCUUGAGGAAGCUCCUUGUCGUCCGCCCCGUGAGGCUUGGCCCCUUGCGAGGGUCUUGAGCUUGUGUUGAUGAAGAUGGGCCGCGCUGGGCCCCCUUUGAGCCACGCCGCAAGCCACAGCCAGGCAAGUCUGGGGACCCCCAUUCCCAGAACGCCGACACAUAGGAGGUCCGUUUCCUCCGUUUUGCGGUACGCCAGACCCCUCCCGAUGAACAGGAUCCCAUUUCGAACGUGGCCGGUCGAACACAAGGUUGUUUCCUCCGUCGUGCCGUACGCCAGGCCUCGUUUCCAUCGCCUGUUCCGUCCAAGCCCUCCCGAUGAACACGACCAUGCAUUCCGUUCCGACCCAGCCGGUUGGCUCCCACGCGUUCCGUUGCCUCCCCAUGAACAUGACGACGAUGCUGUUUCUCCGUUCCGACCCAGCGAUGUACGUAUGCGCGAGUAGGUGUUCGAGACCCUGCCCGUAUGUACGUAUGUGGCCAUAUUUUCUUUUUUGCACCCUCGCCCCUGUACAUACGUGUACAUGCUACAUGCGCGCCUCUACUAUGACACGUGUGCGCCUCUACAUCUACGACACGUGCGCGCCUCUACAUCGACCAGUAUGUACGUACACGUUCGCGACCAGAAUGACAACACUACGUACGCUUUGACUAGGUGGGUCCCGACUGUCAGGCACUUCCUUGCGUGCGAAGAUGUAGCUAGUGGGUCCCAGCAGUCAGGGGGGCAAAUCAUUUUUUUUGCCCGGACGAACUUCCUUGCAUGCGAAGAUGUAGCUGGUGGGUCCCAGCAGUCAGGGGGGCGAAUCGUUUUUUCGCAAAAUACAGUGGCCCGUCCGGUGCGUCCCUGCUAUCAGGUGGAGGAAUCAUUAUUUUGCGCGUAAUAAGGAGGCACUUCCUUGAGGCGGCCGUGGACCCAGCUGUCAGCCUCUCCACGUACAGUCCACGUCCGAUGGAAGUCAUUCCUUGACCAACUUGACCAGGCCACGCCGAGAGCACCACGGCGGUGGAUGACGGCGAGGCCUAGGAUGGGGACGACUCGGAGCCGGGGGAGACGCAGCAGUGGAUGCCCACACGAAGAGGAGUACGAGGAUUCACUUGUUCGGCUGCGGUGUGAGGCUAUUGUCGCCGCAGAAUAACAGGGGGUGUGGGUGAGUACAGGGAUGGCCUGGACAACGGUGGGAGUAGUAGGGGGCUGUGAGGCCUCCGCGGCAUCACAGUCGGCCACGGGAGGCAGGAGCACGCGGCACGACCGGCGCUGGUUUGGGCGGCUGGAGCAAGAAGACUAGAGGUUGAAGAAGCACUACGGCCGUUGGAUGAACAUCGUACGGUAACAGGAGCUAGAAUCGUUCAUAUUGACUAAGUUGACAAAGCCAUCCAUCCCCGUCAACUUGGUAGGCCCACAAGUCAGCCUCCCACUAUGCUGGGUUCCAGCUGGCAGGGGGAGUAUUCAUUUUUUUGUGCGUAAUAAGGAGGCACUUCCUUGCGUGCGAAGAUAGCUGGUGGGUCCGACGUGUCAGCUGGGGGCACGUUUUUUCGCAAAAUACGGAGGCCCUUCCGGUGGGUCCUACAUGUCAUGUGGAGGAAUAAUUAUUUUGCGCGUAAUAAGGAGGCACUUCCUUGCUGCAGCCAUGGACCCAGCUGUCAGCCUCUCCACAUACAGUCCACGUCCGAUGGAAGCUGUUCCCUGACCACGUUGACCACGCCGCGUCGAGAGAACUAGGGCGGUGGACGACGGCGAGGCCUAGGAAGGGAACGACACGGAGGCAGGGAAGACUCGGCAGUUGUUUCCCACGCGGAGGGGAGUACAACUGUACGAGGGUCUACUGGUUCGUCUGCCCUCGCCGGAGAAUAACAACAGGUGUGGCCGUGUGGGUGAGUAGAGGGAUGGCAAGGCCAGCGAUGGGAGUACGGUGGGGCGGUGAGGCCUACGUGGCAGCACAGCCGGCCGCGGGGAGGAGGGAGCAGGCAGUCCGGCUGGUGCUUGUUUGAGCGGCUGGAGCAGGAAGAGCAGAGAUUGAAGAAGCACGAAGGCCGUUGGAUGGACAUCGUACGGUCACUGGAGCUAGAAUCGUUCAUAUUGACUAAGUUGACAAAGCCCUCUGUCCCCGUCAACUUAGUAGGCCCACAAGUCAGCCUCCCACCAUGGUGGGUCCCAGCUAGCAGGGGGAGUAUUCAUUUUUCUGUGCGUAAUAAGGAGGCCCUUCCGGUGGGUCUGAGCUGACAGCGGGGGGAACGUUUUUUUCGCGAAAUACGGUGGUCCGUCCAGUGGGUCCCAACAGUCAGGGGCAAACCUUUUUUUCGCAAAAUACGAUGGCCCGUCCGGUGGGUCACAGCAGUCAGGGGGGAAACGUUUUUUUCGUGAAAUACUGGUGGCCCGUCCGGUGGGUCCCUGCUGUCAGGUGGAGGAAUAAUUAUUUUGUGUGUAAUAAGGAAGCACUUCCUUGCGGCUGCCGUGGAUCCAGCUAUCAGCUUCUCCACGUACAGUACUCUUCCGAUGGAAGUCGGUCGUUGACCACAUUGACCACGCCGCGCCGAGAGCACCAGGGCGAUGGACGAUGGCGAGGCCUAGGAAGGGGACGACGCGGAGCCGGGGAAGACGCGGCAGUGGAUGACCACGCGGAGAGGAGUACGUGGGUUCACUGGUUCGGCUGCAGUGUGAGGCUGCCGUCGCCGCAGAAUAACAGGGGAGUGGGUGAGUGGAGGGAUGGCCUGGCCAGCGGUGGGAGUAGUAUGGGAACGGUGAGGCCUCCGCGGCAGCACAACCGGCCACGAGAGGUAGGAGCAUGCGACACGACCGGCGCUGCUUUGGGCGGCUGGGGCAAGAAGACCAGAGGUUGAAGAAGCACUACGGCCGUUGGAUGGACAUCGUUGACCAUGCCGCGCCAAGAGCACCAGGGCGGUGGAUGACGGCGAGGCCUAUGAAGGGAACGACAGGGAGCCGGUGAAGACACGACAGUGGCUGCCCACGCGAUGGAGAGUAUGAGGGUUGACUGGUUCGGCUACCGUCGCCGGAAAAUAACAGGAGGUGUGGGUGAGUAGAGGGAUAAACAGGCCAGGGAUGCGAGUAUGAUGGGGCCGUGAGGCCUGCCCGGCAGCACCGCCGGCCAUGGGAGGCGGGAGUAGGCGGUUCCGACAGUGCUAGUUUGGGCGGCUGGGGCAGGAAGAUCAGAGACUGAAGAAGCACGAUUGCCAUUAGAUUGACAUCUAACGGUCUGACGCUGGUAGAGUCGAUUCUUGACUAAGUUUCUUUUUUAAGAAACCUUGUGUACGCAUGAACUUAGUAGGCCCACAAGUCAGCCUCCAAAUCUGUGGCAGACAACAUAAAUCCCAUUUGCUAUUUUUUACAAUUUGCGGCCCAUUUGCUAUUUUGUAUAAUUUGCAGCCCAUUUGCUAUUUCUUAAGUAAUUUAUUACAACCCAUUUUCUGCCCAGGACCACGGUCAAAAAGUUCAACCUUAUUUUGCAUAUUUCGGUGCAGUCCAAACUGUUGUAAUCCCGAAAUGAUAAACAUUUUUUAAGAACUUAUUGAUUUGCCAAAAAAUCAUUUUGUUUUUGUAAGCAAAUAAGACGUGGGACAAUUGAUUUGGUUUAAGGCAAAACCAGUGCUGAAAAAAUCAGCGCUAGGUGGGAAAAAACAACAAAAAUAAGGAUGUAAAUAUGAAAUGGGAAUUUUAUGUGUUUUCAAUAUAAUGAUACGUGUAUAUGAACUAGUAAAACUAUAGGUAGAGAUUAGAAAACGGAUGUAGGACAUGCGUUUCAAGAGGAAAAUAGAACUGGGCUGUCUGUUUGAUUCAGUAAAAAAAUUACCUGCGGAUGUUGUAAGACAAAAUAUAACUAACGCUGGAGGGCCAGAGGCCAGUAGAUACCUGCUGGAUCUUUGUGCCCCAUUGUCGUCAUGGGCUGGGCCUGUAAAAAACAAAACCAACCCUGGUCAGUCUAAAGCCCAGUUGAAACUUGCUCGACCUGAAAAACAAUAUACAUGCUCAAUAAAUGAGAGAAUUCUGCAAGCACAGACUGAUAACUGGGACGCAGCACGGAUAUUGUUUUUUUAUCGUAAUAAUAAGUGCAUGCACUUGUUUCAAAAAAACUGCAGAACUGGGAAUUCGAACGGCUGGUGCUUAUGCUACCCAUCAAAUAAAAAUCAGGUGCCUGAGAAUUCGUUUUGAAACAAAUGAUUCAGCUUUAUAUCCACGUCGACCCUCGGCAUGAUGGUUGGAAGCAAAUGCAAGUUCAUACCAAAAGAUUGUUAACUACAAUACCAACUUGUGGACGACAAGGUAGUACAACUACCAAUACCAAACUACACAUGGCCCUAGUGUUCGUCUGGUAGAAAAUCUUGCAGAGGACCAGCUCCCGCUCCUUCUCUUGCUCCAGGUCCCCGAGGAGGUACUGGUGCAUCACCCAGUUGGUCCUCUGCUAGUCGAAGUUCUUGUUGGUGUGCAGCACUAGAACCUUUUUUGCUGCCCGUCUGUCGGCCGUUGACCAUCACAGGCAAGCUAUUGCCGGUCUUGUGCCACAUCGCGUGCAUGCCGCACUCCGACUGUAUCUUGCGACGCGUCCACGUGCCCCUUUUCAACGCCCUGGAAUUGCGCUGGAAGAAAUGCUUCCUUAGGCCACUCAGUGUGAUACCUGCAGUAUUGUGGAAUACAGGUUUUAGUGUACCUAGUUGGCAUUUCCAUAACAUCUUUGGCAUGUUGCAGUCACUUGUUUCACUUUUUAUUAACUGUCAAAUUGUAAUUGUUUCACCAGGUCUGCGUCUAAAAAGAAAAAUAGAGCUAUAAACAAAGGAAUAUGUUUGUGCAAGUAGACGGCCGAUCAGUGUCUUACCUGGAAGUUUCUCAGGUUGGGUGUAGCAUAUGCCGUGCUCGCUGUCGAUGGUUGGUAUGAACAAAUCGAUGAGAGACUGAAAUCUCGCGUUGUCAACACUCACUUUGGCCUCAAGGUGCUCGAUCAGCUCCUGAUCCGUGGGAUCGAACUUGACGCCAGCCGGUAGCACCGGCCAGUCCUUCUUCGACUUGCCUCGGUAAUUCCAGCUAUAUGGUACUCAAUGUAUGAUCAACCGACUAUUUUAAGUGAAUGAUGAAAGAUUUCGACAGAGUAAAAACUCGCGCUUCUUCGAUAGUUGUACGAGAGUAAUUGCCAUGCAGUUUUGCAAGGGCACUUGUAAAAACUCUAAACUCUAUUCUCUUAUUUAAUGGAUGAGGCAAAUCUUUUGCCUCCGUUUCAAAAAAAAGAUUUCGACAGAUAAGUGGUACUCCAAAUCUGAAGUCGGGAAUACCCGAGCACCCCGCUAGGAUUCUUGUGUCACCUCACGCGCAGCGUGUUGUCACGUCAAUUCAAUGUGUGGACAUGAUGAAUAAUUUGACCGACGUAUACUAGUACUACUACUGUACUACUUACUAGUCGUAUUUAGUGUCACAAUUUAUACAUAGGUUUAACUAACAAGUACGCACUUGAAGCCUAACUGAUAUAUAUGUAUAUAUAUGGCUUCUGCACAGCAUCUCCAUGAUCAUUAUCAGUACAUCCUACGCAGAUGAGUUAGGAUGCACUUGAUCCCAGGAAGGUAUCUAUCCUUCAAACCAGAGGAGUGCUUCAAACUAACAACAGUACAUAAUAUCCAACAAAAGAGGGUCGUGCUACAGCAGCAGAAUAUAUGGCUCAGUCUAGAUAUCAGCAUGAAUCAAGUUGUGCAUAUUUGCUGUUGGCAUGAACCACAUCGCCGCAUGUCGGGUUUGCAAAAGCCAUCCAUCGCAGGGAAGCUUGAUGCCUUUCACACACUGAAGAUUACCUGGCAACAAGCUGUGUCGACGAAUCUCUGGAUAUGGUGAUUCAUGAAACCCAUGGUAUGAUGUGUAAACAGAGCCCCCCCUCGCGAAUGGAAGUUGCAUAGCACAGUAAUCAUCGCCGGUGAUAUGAUCGAUGAUUGGUUGGAUGAUCGGAUAAUUGAGCCCGAGGAACAAGGAGUGGUUGCCGAGGCUGUAAACCGCCUCCAGUUGAAUACGCCUGGCCCAAUGGUGCUGGGAUCUUUCUCGAACACGAAGCAUCCAUAGCCAUCAAUGUCACGAACGCCCCAUGCAUUGUACUACAUGUGGUUUGAUGUAAUGGUUUGGUCAAUUUGGUAUGUGCGAAUGAGCAUCAAAUGACCGCCGUCAGCUGAACAAGCGAUAAACCAGAACCCAUCCGCUGGCAUGAUUCCAGGUCCUGGAAUCAUGAAGGCCAGCGCAUUUGCGUCUGCUACAACAAUUCAAAUUGGAGACCAAAAGGACAAAAAUAAACAAUCAAGUUCAGUGUAUGUGUGGAAUUAAGAUUAUUAUAACAGUGACACAUAUCAUAGACAAAGAAUUGCAAUGUCGUGGUCAUAAUCAUACCUCAAGUUAAAAAAAUAAGCCAAUGGCUUUCAUAUUCUAGCAAUAUGUCAUGGUUAAAACAUCAUGUAACAAUGAGAGGAAAACAGCUAUGACAGUGCCUACUCAUAUUCUACCAUAACACUUACUACUACUAUUCUCCUAUCAACUCUAAGCAAUAACAUGCGUUGUUAUAAAAAUCUUGUAAACGAGAGUAACAUAUAGCAAUCAUGAUGUUAUGAUCAUAAUAUGUAUUCUAACAAUCAUUAGAUGCCAAUUGUUCUCAUAUCAACUCUAACAAUAACAUGUGUGGUCAGAAAAAUCUAGGAAAUGAGGGGAACAUAUAGCAAUGAUGUGGUUAUAGACAUGCUAUGCAUUCUAAAUUUGUAACAAAUGAAUAGGCAGUCGUAUUCAUAAGGUAAAGAUGAGAUGAGAUAGAACAAUUACACAACGAUAGAUUCCACCAGUAUAGGCAGCCAAUCUGUGCGUCGACCGCGUAAACAAUGCCAUCAUGCACUAUAGCAUCAGACAGAAAUGUUGCCUCAACAGGAUUGAUGAUGAGCCAUAACCAUGUACGGCGACCGGAUUCCAGAUAGACUAAUACCAUGUUGAACAAGGCAAUGAGCUUGUAAUCCAUGUAGUCUUAUGAUGGUGUGGGCACUUUGCAGAUUACAACUUUCUGCAAACAGAGGUCGAGCCAAAAGCUUGACGCAUCUCAUGCGUAGUAGGCAGGAGUGUCCAGCGGGCCGCGAGGCUCGAUGUCGGCGGUAUCCAACGAUGGAAGGGUGAUCGCUCACUGGGUGUAGAUAUGCACGAGACGCCAUGGACUACUGGUGUGGUGGAUGAGGACGAUCCAGUUGGCCUUCAUGCCCGCCCAGUAGUGGCUGCGCAUGAAGGACAGGUGGACGGGUAGUGGUAGCAUGUCGAGGGGCACCACGGCAACCUCCAUAAGAUCAUCAAGUCGGUGUCUGCGCCACCUGCGAGGAUCGGGCAUCAGUAAGCAGGGUGUCUUGAAAAGAGCCGGCCGGUUGCAGACGAGUAGACAGUAGAAAGGCACCGAGCAUGCGGCCAGACGGAUGGUGCUGAGUAGGUCCAUACGACUACAGAUCUGCUCCAAGAGAACAUCGGGGAGGGAAUUCCAAUCGCGGCUCUGCGUGUCAUUCGGUUCUGCCAUUGGGGUUUUCGGUGCCUGCGAGCCAGAGGGGAAGUGGAUUCGGGCGGGCGAGCGAAGAAGCUUCUCCUCGUGUGGCCGAGCAGUGAGCGGGGGGAUAUGGUACGCGCGAGCUACCAAGGAAGAUGGCGCGGGCGGGCGAGCAGUGAGCGGGGGUAAAUGGUGUGUGGCCGACGAUGGGGAAGAGAGGAGGAAGAAGAAGAGAGGAGGAAGAAGAGUGGAAGACGGGGAAGAAAGUGCAUUAAAUCUCAAUUCUACUAGUACUACUACGAGGAUAUAGGCACCGUGCUCCGGAGUGUAAAUAGUUACACCGAUGACAUGUGGGUCUACCACAAGAGGGCCCAUAUGUCAGUUAAUGGAGGACAUAGGUGCGUAGGUGUAUUUGCAGAAGCGUGCUCUACUGGCAAACAUGAUGGUAGUACUGGGUAAGGCUGAUUUAGUAACACCAACACGCUAGUUCAGCUUAUUAAUUACGUGUCCCAUCUGCUGCAGCGUGUAUUAUCACUUCACUGCGAAGACUAGUUGAAUAGUUCUCUCUGACCGAGAUGGGGAAUGAUGGAUCGCGAGGAUUUCCUUUCUACAGUAUCCCUAUGCCUCUACGCUCACUUCACUCAUUUUGCUCCGUACCUAGUCACUUGUUGAAAUCUGUAGAAAGACAAAUACUCUGUUUUUGGGAACAGAGGGAGGCUUUUACUCCGUACUGGAGUAUUUAGGAACAGAGGGAGUAUCACCAUAUGGAGGGAACAGAGGAAGCUUGAAAUAUGAACAUGUCAAUGGGAGGGAGUAAGCCCCAUGCAUGCAUGCAUGCAUGCAACAUGCAACACUCACACGUACACCACAUGGACGCAUGUAACACUCACGCAACCAUGCGGCACACAGCACACGACGCAACACACACGCUCACGCUCAAGUGCUCAACCUACUCCCUAUGUCCGUGAAAGACUGUACAUUUAGAGAUUUACACAUUGACCAGGGUAUAAUUAACACCCAAAAGUAGCAGACUUAUGUGUGCAUGCGACCAUUGAGAUAAGAAGAUUAAAUGAAGGUCGUUGCAUGCUGUAAUUAAGGAUAGACAUGUAGCCUAUACCUACAGCACAAGUUGGUGCAUUAGUCAAUCAAUAUCGAUUUAGAUUAAAGGCUAAAUGCAUUGGAAGUGUAGAUGUACAUCAUGUACUACUACACUCUUUGUUUUAUAGCCGAUGUACACUCUUUGUUGGAAGGGCGAGGGAGGACACGUGCAUGCACUCACAUACACAGCCAGGGCGGUUCGGGCGCAAGGGUUGGACUCGUGUGGCGCCUGCGUAAAGUUUUGUUUAACUGAUUUCUUUGCUACGCCAACUGACAGGUGGGACCCAGAAACCAGGUGACAAUUUAACCAGUCAACAAAGUGCCACGUCGACUAUGUGGCCGGUCAGUAGGGUGCAAUAUGGUGCUCUACAAUGAGCUAGUGAUCGUAUAAUCGACGCAAACCUAUAUAUAGUGACCGUAAAGAGCGUAUUGUUACAUACGUUGAACGCCAGUGUAUUUUUCUCGUUUCAAAUUAAGCCAUAUUAAUCGGAAAGGACAGAGUAUGGACUACUACUAGUACUAGUACUGCUUUGAUGUGUCCCGUCAACUCGCCGAACAAGGAUAAGCUUGCUUAGUACGCCUCUCCCUCGCCCACGCGCGCGGUGGUUCGCAGGACGAGGAGAGGGUUUUGACUACAGCGCCCUCUCCCUCUUCCCCUCACCCUCACCCUCGCCCUCGCCCUCGCGGUGGACGUGCAGCAGUUCAAUCGGUGUCAGAUUGCCAGAAGCAUAUUGUACUGUAGUAUCAUCAUUGUUGGACCUUCCGAAGAGGCGAAGAGGCAAGUGCAAGGUUCACACGAGUACGAACUGUUGAACCUCCCGAAGAGGCAAAGAGCCAAGCGCAAGGUUUUAUAGGAGUUGUCGUCCUAGUAGGAGUGUACUACAACUAUAGCGAACGAUGCUAAUGUAUGAUGCCGCCACGUCACGUUUAUCCAUAGUUGUGCCACCUUUUUUUCUCAAAGAGCAUGUUGGAGCCCGUGCAACAACCACACAAGUUGCAUGUACACAUAACACAUUUACUAGUAAUAAAUUCUAAAGGACAAAUGCCAGUAUGCCACACAAGUUCAUCUCCAAUUCAUGUGAUAAAUUUGUGCACGACUAGUCUACAUAUAUUCACAGCGCUACCGUUCACAAUUACCGUACUCCACUCACACGUUAUAGAUGGGCUACAUGCAUGUCCUCCUCCAGGUUCCAGUCCCAGGUGUUCUUCAUGGAUGGCACGAUCCAUAGCGGUGGGUAACGGGAAUCAUUGUCGCACCUUUCUAGUCCGGUUCCACACGAUGGAGACCCAUCCAAGCUGAAGUGGCAUAAAUUAGGGAUAGCAUGUCCCAGCAUGUCGUUCAUCUGGCAGUGCGCAAUGAAGACACAACCAUGCUUCAUGAAUGGCAGGCCUUCCGUGUCGUGCACGGAAGGUGGCAUCCGCUUCACAAUGGGGUAGCUGUCCCCGAUGAAAAGCGAGUACUCUCCAAGAGUGUUCCUCGGCACCCACGUAGCAUCAUGGGGGUCGAACUCGACGCCGUUCAUCUGGUACAUGCGGCAUCCCAGAUCUGGACACAUGGUGACGUACAUAGUCAAGGUCCAUGCAUAAUAAUGUUGUGCUCAAAUAUGGCGGUCAGUAAUACUGUGUAGCAAAUAGUACUACUCCAGUAUAGAGGAAGUAAAAUAACCGGCUUAUUAUAUAUAGCCACUCUUGGCUACACGGAUGAGAUAGUAAGACAUGGAAAACCAAAAAUGGUGGCAGCUACUGGGUUCAAGUCUUCAAGGGCCCAGCUAGCUAUACGCGUCCUCCAAGGUAAAAAGUACUCCUACUAGUAGUACUAAGUAUACUACUAGUACAACAAUGAAAGAGAAGGUGAGAGGGUUAAAAAAUGGAAUACCUGGGUAGAUGGUGAUGGUUCGAUCGUGGUAGAUUGUGUGACCAUGUUGCACAUCAGUGGUACCAUGGGUAACGACUGCUAAGAUAGUUGAUCCCAAUAUGCCAAAGUCACCUACAAGGUUCCAGGCUAGACCAAAUCGCGAAUGCAAAUGCACAUCCAGGAUCGGCAAUCUUAUUUUGAUCGGGGGAUGACUGGUCCCUGCAAAAUAAUGGAGUACCGUUAGGGAUGCAAAUGAUGGUUUGUGCAUUCCGUUUGUAAUCUCCCGUACCGUAGGAUAGCAACCAGAUGAAACAAGUCCCCAGGCUUUUCACUGCGAAGAUGCGGCCUAGAUGGCGCACGACGUCUUCGAACGUGUAGGGGUACAAAUCUGCCGCCACCAACAUGCGCCAGCCUCUGCCAUUACUGUGUCUUGCAUUGAUGGCAAUCCUUAUGUCGAACACAGCGAUGAGAUAGUAAUCAUCGUAGCCGCGUCGCUUUGUCGGCGGGUCCGCAAUUGCUAUCUUCUUCAAUCUCAUGUAGGCAUCAUCAUACGUAUUCAAGCCCAGCCAAUCCGGAAGGCCGAUCCCAAUGGUGGAGAAGGGGUCUACCGGAACGGCCGCACUGCUGUGGAUGUUGUGCAAAAUGAUGGUGGUAUCCAGCCGGAGGUAUGCAAGCCAAUAUUCGUUGGCACCGACCCAGACCUAUAUAUAAGACGGUGGGCAGCGGAGAAAUUACGGGAUGGAAAUGGAAUAAUUAAGUACUACAUGAUCAAACUCCAUUACUGACCUGCUCAUCGGACGAAAUCCGACUACCUCUCAACAUCGGCAACUCUAGCGGAGUCAACAUGCAACCAUGGCCAGGGAGCGGUGGACUGUUCGAAGGAUUGUCCCAUAGAAGAACCUUCUCCUCGAGGACGCAUGGAAGACCAACAAGCAUGGCCUUUUCCCAAACAUGUUUAAGCAACGUCUUGAAAAAUUUGGUGCAGGAAGCAUCGAGUCUUGCGCCGGUGAGGACGUCGGAGCGGCGUGCGAUUUCUCCCAGAGGAUCGUCGUCCAAGGUCUCCCAGCCCCGACGAGGAGGAGAACCACCUGACGAAUCCAUGGGAGCAGCGAUGAACUGCCUUCUCUUCGGGGGGAGGGGAACUGGCGAGGAGGAGAUAAGAGCGUAGUAACCGCAGGAGCUCGUCCCUUACAACUGUAGAUCGUUCCUCAGCGAAGGGGUGAGCUAUUAUUUACUAUUAGGAAUAGCAUUAUGGAAUGUUAUGUGAUUGCAUUAUACUGUAAAUAAUAGCACUACUAAGAAAUUUUUGGUACUAGGUAGUAGUUUUGGCGUGGAUUAAGAAAUUUUGGGUAUGUUUUUGCCAUUUUUUGGCGUGUCAAAAAACGUCUUACAUUAUGUGACGGAGGAGUACGUACUCGUACUGUAGCAGUACCAGUACUACUUUUCUCAACUACGAGUAUUAGUGUGAUGUACUGUACUUCUAGUCUAGUCUAGUAUAGUGCACCAGUUUUGAACUCUUGAAUCUCAGGGCCAAGGAGCUACAGUUGGAAGUGGAGGGUACUACUAUUCUCUAGAACCAUCGCUGUGCUAUCAAUGCAGGGGAAGUACACCUGCGUAGUGGCCUUGUGGGUACUCUCGGUGCUAUAUUCAGCCGCUCCUCUCACGUAGGAGUAGCUGGCCCACUCAGCCGCUCCUCUCACGCACACACUAGCAGCCUGUUUAUCAGCGACGGUUACUGCGGUCUGCGGUGCAGAACAUUUGAGUUAUUUGAUACAGCGAGACUAGGCUUUUCGCUUCCAUUUGUGGAGGUGUAAUGGAUCUCGUCGAACUUUGUUAGUAGUUCCUUCUUUAUGAAUGAGAUGAAGCAAAGCUUUUGCCUCCGUUUCAAAAAAAACACGUCAAGAGGAAUUUCUUUUAUAGUAGAGCCGAUAAUGGAGUGAAGUCCAUGUGUGCAACGCCACAAGCUACAGAGUACUAGUAGUACAACACUUUACAUACAGAGCCAUAUUGCAUAGUUCCCAAUGCCCCGCCAGGCUUUUCCGGCUCCUCAGGCUUAAUUGGGAGGCGCUAGUUUAAAUAUGCUACUAGCUGAUGAGGAAGAUGCAAGCGAGGUGCGGCCAGGGCGAGCACGCGAGCCACGGGAUGCUGGGAAGGAAAACCCGUUCACGUGGCUAGGCUGUCCAGUGCACCCAGAUUGUGGGGCCGCACGUCCGUUUGACUUCAAAACUCAAACUACCGGUGUAAAAUAUUGGCUCGCAGCAAAGUGUAGUAGUACUAUUUUUUUUAAAAGGCCGCCAUGCGUUCGGCCGGCAUCGAACCCACAAAACGAGGUAUACACUCUCGCGACCACUGGUAGUACUCGUUGGAGUACAACGCAACCUAGAAUCGCUUUUUGUCGCUAGUAGUAUGUACAUUGUUCCUUACAAGAAACCCCUAAUAAUGCAAGAAACCACUAAAAUGCCAAGAAACUACUACCACUUGCAUACGUGGCAGACUUAAGAUAAGACUACCUUAUCAACCAUUGUACAUGCUCAUACCAACCAAAAUCCUCGAGUGACCUCCUACCUCCGGCCCGUCCACCUAGUCAUCCUCGGCCAUGGGACGCAGCUACCGCCGCCGGCAGAAGGCGAGGUCAAAACCACCGGCGGUGCGGAGCCCAUGUUGCGGCAGUCCGGAUUCUAGCUCCGUCCGGCGCUAGCGGCCGCUAGCUAGCCAAGAUAGCUCCGUCCAGCUGCCUGUCUGCAAGGUUUGCUAGCUAGAUUGGCACGGCAGCGCGGCGGAUUGCUUGCACACGCUGCGCUCAGGCCAGCCAUCUGGCUCGAGCGAAGGCCAGCGCGAUGGCUUGCUCGCUCGUGAGUCACGCUCGGGCCAGCCUGCCAACCCGUGCGGAGGCCAGCGCGGCGUUCGGCCCGUCUGGUGGAGCGGCGGCCAACUCGCUCAUCACCGGCGCCACCGACGACCAUGCAUCAGUACUGUUUGGAGUAAUGUUCAGGAAAAAUAAUGAUUUGAGGGGAAUAACAGGAUAGAAGGUCAGAUGUGGGUCCCUCGUGUCAACUCUCAAACAAAAUGUGUUAGUUUAAGCUGCCUCGUCAACACGGACAUGUGGGCCAACCCAGUCAUAAAUGGGUUUAAACGAACCUAAUCGGUAGGAGUACUAGGUAGUAGUUUUUGGCGUGGAUUAAGAAAUUUCGGGUAUGUUUUUGCUAUUUUUUGUACAAUAGAUUCUUCCUAGGCCUGGUUGAAAGUGGUAGUUUUUUGUUAAAUACUCUACAUAUUAUAAGUAGGAGUGAAAGUUAAGCUUUGGAAGCCAAUAAGAAAGGCUAGUUACAUAGUGCAUAUGUGUACAUGAUUGAAAGUAAAUAUCAACCAUGAGUGACUAAUAUCUUGAUGAAAAACUCGAAACUAUGGAAUACUAGAAAAAAAUACAUGGUUGGAAAUACUAGCAAUGUUCAUGUCCGUUGCAACGAAUCAUAAUUAGAAUAAUUCUUAUUCAUAAACUUGGUACAAAACACCCUAAUUUUGAUAUACAUAUGUCACUAGAGAUAUAUUAUGUUUCAAUUAUAAUAUAUUCCUUGGGCUGUUUUGGUGAGGUCAGGGAGGGAUGUGGUUGGUUUUAAGAUACUACUUAUGGGUUUUUCUGCAAAUUGGUAGACAAGUGGGAUGUUGGUGAGAAAAGGCAACAACUUACCUCACAAUCGUUAGAUGUAGAUCUAAUGGUCAGAAACGAGGAAUGGCAGACACACCAGCAUAACCAACUAAGUCUUGUGUAGGAGUACUAGCAAGAUCCGUGCAUUAACGGAACAUCAAGAUGCAUUUUUUUAUAAAAACACUUGUUGUGAUUGACCCUCGCGGGAGUAAUCCCAUGUGUAAAAGCUAAUGAUAUCUCGAGAAAUAUGAGAUAAGGUGAAGAGGAGUUGGGUGUGGUGGUAGUUGGUGGUCGGACUGAGCGGAGGCAUGGGGAUUGACGAUGCCGGCAGCGGCCAGUAGGCCAGUUUGUUCCAGAGGCUUCCUUUCUUAAUUGCUCAACAAUGAGGUUUGUUGGAGAUAAGGAUGAACGAGGGAAGGCCUUGUCUGCAAAUGUGGAGAGGGGUGCGGGUAUCUUUUAGUUUAAUUUCCAUCCGUCAGAUAUAGAUCGGACGGUCUAUUGCAAGAUGGCACACGUACCAUCAUCACCAACUCGGUUUUUUAUAAAAGAAGAAAUAUAAGUAUGGAGAUACAAAUGUAUUAUCGAUACUUGCUUCCGUAAACUAGCAUCUACAUUCUAUUCAACGCCUUGGCAUGUGGGGCCUUAGCACAAUGACUUCUCGACUGUGUAAAACAAAGAUUUUCCCGUCGCCGACAAGGAGGGGGUGACGGCGGCGCGCUUUUUGGCUUGCUCUAGUCCUAGUAGUCAUACUAGGUGGUCUAAGCACGUGUAGAUUUAUUCUUUUUCACGUCUCGUGUUCGCCGUACUGCCACAACUGUUGAUGAGUAGACGAUAAGUUAUUCACGGGGAAACCCUUGUUGAGCGUGUUUGUGUGUGUGUGUGUGAGAGAGAGAGAGAGACAGUGUGCGUGUGCGAUAUGUUAGAGACUGAGGCAACGAUAACAGAUUCUUUGUGUCUAUGUGUGUGGAGGAUAGAGAGAGACAUGUACAUGUGGCUUUGUGUUGUGUAACGUGGAGACACAUAUACAUAAUUAGAGAGUGAGUGUGUGAGAUACACAUGCGGACAUGGGGAGAGAUGAGGAUCCAGAUAAAUGGGUGUUUGUGUGUGUUUGUGUGUGUUUGUGCACGCGUUUGUGUGUGACAGGGAGAGAGUGUAUGUGGAGUAGAGAGACCACUGAUGAUGUAAACCUAGUAUAAGGGAAGGGGGAAUUGUGUGACGUGUGUAGUAGCGAGAUAGCAUGGGUGCAGGCGAGGGGAGCAGACUAUUUGGAAGAGACAUCGAGNNNNNNNNNNNNNNNNNNNNNNNNNNNNNNNNNNNNNNNNNNNNNNNNNNNNNNNNNNNNNNNNNNNNNNNNNNNNNNNNNNNNNNNNNNNNNNNNNNNNNNNNNNNNNNNNNNNNNNNNNNNNNNNNNNNNNNNNNNNNNNNNNNNNNNNNNNNNNNNNNNNNNNNNNNNNNNNNNNNNNNNNNNNNNNNNNNNNNNNNNNNNNNNNNNNNNNNNNNNNNNNNNNNNNNNNNNNNNNNNNNNNNNNNNNNNNNNNNNNNNNNNNNNNNNNNNNNNNNNNNNNNNNNNNNNNNNNNNNNNNNNNNNNNNNNNNNNNNNNNNNNNNNNNNNNNNNNNNNNNNNNNNNNNNNNNNNNNNNNNNNNNNNNNNNNNNNNNNNNNNNNNNNNNNNNNNNNNNNNNNNNNNNNNNNNNNNNNNNNNNNNNNNNNNNNNNNNNNNNNNNNNNNNNNNNNNNNNNNNNNNNNNNNNNNNNNNNNNNNNNNNNNNNNNNNNNNNNNNNNNNNNNNNNNNNNNNNNNNNNNNNNNNNNNNNNNNNNNNNNNNNNNNNNNNNNNNNNNNNNNNNNNNNNNNNNNNNNNNNNNNNNNNNNNNNNNNNNNNNNNNNNNNNNNNNNNNNNNNNNNNNNNNNNNNNNNNNNNNNNNNNNNNNNNNNNNNNNNNNNNNNNNNNNNNNNNNNNNNNNNNNNNNNNNNNNNNNNNNNNNNNNNNNNNNNNNNNNNNNNNNNNNNNNNNNNNNNNNNNNNNNNNNNNNNNNNNNNNNNNNNNNNNNNNNNNNNNNNNNNNNNNNNNNNNNNNNNNNNNNNNNNNNNNNNNNNNNNNNNNNNNNNNNNNNNNNNNNNNGGGUCGUUUGUGUCCAUAAAUGGCGUAUAGAUAGGGAGACAAUGUUGAUGUUGUUCGAAAUUGGCCUAUGAACGGAGACGCAGGGGAAGCGAGUCAUCGUGUGUGUGAUAGGGACUUUAUGAGAGAUCUAGAAUAGAUGGUGUAAAGAACAAUGUGCGAAAUCGAGAAGGAUUAUACAUUAGGGAGCUAUGCAAAGAGUCACGACAUAUAUGUAUACAGGGAAGGAGCUGGGGCGGGUCCGCAUGUGGGAGAGAGAGAGAAAGAGGAGAGUGGUGCACAAGGAGACAAAGUGUGCUUGUUUGCAGUGGGGGUGGUGUGUGAGGUGAGUGCACGAGAACCACAUAACUAGGGAGAUAGACGUUUGGGGGCGACGUUUUGUGUGUAUGGGAAAUAUACACUCUACAUAGUGCGUGUGCUUGGGUAAGAGAGACAGCGGGAGACCUAGAGAGUGAGGGAAGAGAUGUGUGCAUGGCCGGGAGACAAAGUGAUAGAGACCUAUGUUGGCGUCCGGACUUUACAAGAGAGAGGGGUGUUAAUGUGAUCGUGUGUUGGUGUCUGGGGGAGAGAACGACUUCUCUAUGUGUGUGUGUGUGGUGGUGGGGGGGGGGUUGACUUCAGAUAAAGAGUGAGGUGUCUAUAUUUGAGGGACUUUAGCGUAAUUGAGAUAUUGUGCACUCAUGGUUGAUCAAUUUGUUUCACAGUUUGUACUAUGAGAUAACGAUACUUUUGAACAUGCAUGAUAUACCUUGAUGUACCAGAAUUACAAACCUAAGAUUGGAAUUUCGGAAUUCAACUCCAUCAUUAGCUUUUGUAAUUCAUUUAAACGGAUGUACAUUUUUUAAGACGGAAUUUCGUGAUUUCAAAUUCAUAUAUCAAACCUAUAGAUAUACACAUAAUGGCAUGUUCAAACUUUAGAAUAAUUCACUUUAUUCAUACACAUACACAUUUUGCUUUUGUCAUCAUAUUUAGGAUAAACACAUUUGGAAUUUCAUUCAAAUUGGACCGUGUGAUGGUAUUUGCUUGUAGUAGCUCAAUGAUCCAUAUUUGAAUUGAAUGGACAAUCUAAGUUUCGAGUUGGAGACAUUGAUUUUCAAAACUUGCACAUUUUUUUUGCGUGCAAAACAAACAAAUUGUCGGCCAUGAUAUCAUAGUCGGUCGUACGAGAGUAGAAUACUUAUAAUUUUAGGCGCCAAAAGCUUUCAAACUUCCCGCUCACAUCAAAAUAUCACGCGCCCGAAAGUUUAGCCCUGCGAUAUUCCUGUUUUACCCCUGCCACAUGAACGGAAAAGGGCUGCUUUGGUAACUCCAUUGUUUUCCCCUCUUUGCCCCCAACAUUCUUCCCAGAGCCCCUCCCCUUCCCCUCCCCGCCCCCCAACCACGAGAAGCCGCCGAAUCUAGUGCUCCGCCGCAGCAAUGGAACUCACACCCCGCCGGAUCUACCUUCCGCACCUUGGAACCCCCAACUGCCAACUCACCACUUCACCGGAGCCGCUUCAGCGACUGGCUUGUCCACUGCUCAAGAUCUCCUUGACCGCCAUCAUGGUCCACCGCAUCGGAUCUGCUUAACCGGCGCCCUCGUCCACCAUAGCGUAGGCCCUUCACUGACUCCCUCGUCCGCCCCUUCGCUGGCCCUUCAUACAAGCCCUCGUCCUCGGCAACAGAUCCGCCUCACCGAAAGCACUGUACAACGCGCCUACCGAAGCCUUCGUCCACUGCACCGGACCCGCUCCACGGACGCCAUAUUCAACUCCACCGGCCCUGCUUUACCGAUGCCGCAGCCUCAUCAGGUUAUUUCGAUUUGUACUCCUUCGGUUUUUCACUUUAUCGUGCAACUAUUCACUUACCACAGAUGAGCUUUCUUGUAUGUCAACAGGCGCCGCAACUGUAGCACCGGAGCCGCUUCAGCGACGGCGACAGCCGGCCCAAACUCAACCGCAACACGAGCACCAUCUUCGAUCCUUAGCUAUCAAGUAUGACAACGAUACCCAUACGCCGCCGAAAAUCAGGUACUAUCAUCCAACGGUCGGCGCCUACGUUCACUUUUCUAGCAUAAGCACCGCACCUUUGAAUUUCUUCAGGGCAUCAUUCAGUUUUUCAUGAGACGCGUUAUUCUGCUUGCAUCUGUAGGGCCAUACUCCUGGCAGUGAACAUGUUACAUGUGCUAAAUUACAUACCAGUGCACAUAUAGUUAAUAUGCUUUAGUUUUGUUCUCAUGCCACCUGUUGGUUCCAUCGUACUGGUUAAUGUUCUCUAUGCUUAUUUACACAUCAGCAAACUAGCAUGUGGUUCCGCUGCUUUUUGUUCAUUUUACCCUACAUUUUCUGAUGCUAGCUAUUACAUCACUGCUUCGAGCCUCUGUUCAUUACUUGUUUGUGUGUUCUUGAUCUUCCCAAUUUUCAUGACUAAUUUGAUGCUUCUAUUAAUUAUGGAGCUGCCAACCCCAUCACGCAAAAGAUUUGUUCUUUUGGGGUUGGCACCUCGAACAAGCAUAAAAAUAGAGGGAAGCAAAUAUAUUGUCGUGUAUGCAAAUAUAUUUAGAUGAAACAUUGAUGAUCAAUUCGGACCAGUGCAUGCGAUUAAAAUUAAUUUUACCUAAAUAGAUGGUGCAGAAUAAACUACAACGACUAGAUUUGCAACCACGGGUUGCUGACAAUAUUUUCAAAGAACACUGCAACAGCAGCUAGGCUUCACAGCAACAUAUGGUAAGCCAAUGUGUUUUAGUACAUGUGAAAUGUAAUGCGAGUGGGCUGCUUUCUUGGCUUGUGCCCUCAACGUGUAAUCCUACCGAAUUACAAAUAGUUCAGUUGUCUGCUUUGUUGUAUUGCUUGAUUCGAAUGCUUGUUUGUUAUUACGCUAUACCUGAGUUGGCCAAUAUGUCAGCAGUGCCUGUUGUACUAUCGUAAAGAAAUGCAUGCCUAUUUCAUUUGAGUCCUUAACUUUUCCUCUCAACUUCAUCACAAGACUGUCUUCGUAGUUUGUAUGAGGCCACACUGUUAAGUGCUUUCUCAGAUUAUUUCAACUGCUUAGAUGCCUUGGCAACUUCAAUAUAGCAGUUGUACACUCCCUUUCAACUAGGGAUGUCAACUGGGUCCCGUUUAAUCCCGAUUAAAGUCGACUAGUGGUAUGAUAGUCCAAAAGAGUUUUUGUUUUUUGAGGAAAAUGAACUAGGGAGGUAGCAAAAACUAACUAGAUGGGACUGGCGGAUGUCGUUUAUUUGCCACCUACAUCCCUAGUUUCAUCUUACCAUUUUAAUUCCUUUUCGGCUGAUGCUGCUUCGAACCAUUCAAAUAUAGUUUGCCAUGCUCAGCAAUAAUUCAUCCGUCGUUUACCAUGUAAGCUUACUGCCUGGAUCAUACGAUAACUACCUCUUACUUAUGUCCAGCGGAAACCUUUCAGGAUGUCGUUCACACCAGGACACAAUGUACAACCCCAAAAUCUAUUUGUGGAAGCAGUGCGCCAUCCAUGUUACCAGAUGGUAGAAGUUCAGAGGCAACACCGCCGGAGAGCAGUCUGAGCACAGAUAUUAUAGUGCUUGAGGCUCUACUAGAGGCAGAAAGAGAUGGUGUGGCUGCCAUGAAUGAGGUAAUCUUUAUCUUGAGGCUGGAAAUUACGGAAUUAGCGGCACGCAUUAUGCAAGCAACCCAAGAAUUGGAGGAAGUAAGAAUGUUGCAUUUGAAGACGGAGGAGGUUCUGCUAUUUCUGCUAUCUGAAGCCCAAGGUAAUCCCGGUUCUUCUUUAGAUACCAGUUGAAAUUGUCAUUAGAUUAUUGUACUUGCAUGUUGUGUCAUGUCUCUGAAUGGAUUCUGUUGCAAGACCCCCUAAGUUUUCCGGAAUUCCAUGUUGUCCAUGUGUUGUAAUGAUCCGAAUUUUUUAGGCGAGGUAAUCCUCAGUACUUGUAUGAUUGACAUAAGGUGAACUGUUUUUCGUGUGAGCAUAUUGUAUUGGAUGAAAUAACUGUUUGAAUCAGAGUGUAUCCAACCUACUAAAUUCGAAGAUCACGACAUUUCUAAAUCAUAAUCAUAUAUAAAGGUGGAAUAAAUCGUUGUUGUGGUGUUGAAGAAAUAAAUAACAAAAUGUAUAAUUAUCUGUGGAUAUUCGUAAUCGAAUACAAAUUGGAUUUGAAUUUAGUUUGCCAGGUCCCAGGGCAAACGUGAAUGCUAAUCCUCCCAUGUUUUGAACGAAGCGGCUAAACACCCACUAUAAUUUGUGGGCUUUCCUAAGCAAGUGUUUGCGAUAUGGAAAUUACUGUCUACCCCUGACAUUUACAUCCUUAUCGACCAGAUUUACACUGCUGUCAAUAGGGGUAGACUAGUAACUUCAAUCAGACGUGACACAACGGCCUCUGAGCCCAUUUAGACACGGUGGGCGCCAAACGUGGGCGGCAAAACACAUUUGAUUCAAGCUCGUCCGAAAGACAUGUGUCUCUUCCUCCAUUUCCCCAUUCAUACACGGUGGGCGGCAAAACAAACUCUCCUCGUCCAAAAUCGAUGUAGGCUAAUAUUUUAAAUAGGGGCAGAUGUGUAGCUUCCAUUAGACGUGACACAACCGCCCUACCUGUCAGCCCCAUUCAUACACCGUGGGCGCCAACCGUGGGCGGCAAAACACCCUCUCCUCGCCCGAAAUAGUUACCGGCAAAUAUUUGGGAGAUGCGACAUUACCGUCCUAUCCCCAACCGACGCGAUGUCCGAAAUUUUAAAUGGGGGAUAAGUUCGUAACUUUCCCCCAUUUCAGAGAAGCGCGUCCCAAAGUUUGAGAUCCUCCCUCCCCUCCAUUUCCCCAUUCAUACACCGUCGGUGGCACAACAACCUCCGCACUGCGGCCAGCCUCCUCCGUCCGCCACCCCAUACUCCACCUUGCCGGUGCCGCUACCCCUACCCCGUCGUCCACUGCAAGAGAUGGACGUCUCUCAUCCACGGCACUGGACCAGGAUCCUAUCAUCGCCUCCUCUCGCUUCAUCGACGUCGUCGUCCACCUUGCCGUUGCCGCUCCUACGACCGCCUUCUCCACGGCAACAGGAUAUAUCCCCCGACCCGGUCGUCUGCCGUCUAAAGUCUUCUUCCCCACCGCCGACAGCCAUCGCACCCGCAACACCCUCAACAUAUCAGCAUAGGCCUACACGGAGUCGCAAGAGAGGUGGUACUCUUCCAUAUGUGCUUAAGUUAUUGAUCUCACCCAGAAAAUAGAUCGAAAUUUGUUUACCGUACUUUUCUUGUCCGUACCAAAUCGUAGUGGCUAGUUGAAAGAAAACAUUGGUUGCGAAGUAGCUUUGUCCGGUUUGCACCUUCAGAUCCGCCAUGGCACGGGCACUAUACUCGUAAAUCUUACGGUUUCCCACCUUUAUAUUCACUACCAUCAUUGUAGGUGCUUCGUGUCGUUCUAGCACUGCUCCUCAAGACCUCAACCCAAAGUUUACGUGUUGAAAUACGAAUCUGAUAUGAUGCUCAUAUCACUAAAACAGAGAACGUUUAAUUGGUCACCUAAUGUUCCUAUAUUCAUUUUGAAAAGCAUGUGCGCCACCCACUGGUCCAGCUAGUUUCACUUUUCGGAUUUUUCUCUUGAUGCUUAGGGUUUUCCCCUUUUAUCUACUCUACUAUGAUCUGCGUAGGUGCUUUCUGUCGUACUGGCAUUACUCCACCCUUCAAGCUAAACAACACAACACUCAGAAUUCGAAAGCUUAGUUGUUCAAAUAUGAUUGUGAUAUGAUACUGAUAUUAGUUAACCGACACAUUUAAUUGGUUAGCUAAAGGUCCCACUUGAGUUUCCAAAUGCAUGUCGCGACAUAUAGAGAGACAGCAUAAUUGCAUUUCUUUGUCACUUGUUGACCGUACUUUCUUGUCCAUACCAAAUCUUAGUUGUUAUUUCAAAGCAAACAUCGGUUGCUAAAUACCCUUUGCGUAGUUUGCAGCUUCAGAUCUGCCAUCCCACUUCCACGGUCAACACUAUACUCAUCAUUCUUAUGUUUUCCCCAUUUUAUGAUGACCACAAUCAGCCUACGUGGUUCGUGUCAUAAUAGCACUGCUCCACCCAUCGAGCUAAACAAGCUUAGUUGUACAAAUUCAUAUCUGAUAUUAUUGCUGAUAUUAGUAAAACUGAGAGAUGUUUAAUUGGUGAGCUAAAUGUUCCUACUUUAGUUUCGAAAUGCAUGUGAGCCACAUAUGGAGAGACCGGAAAGAAUAGUAUUUCUCUGUGCGCUCUGGUUCAUCAUGGGUGGCCAACCGACAUUGUAUUGAAAGACUUGUAAUAUCUUCAAUCUGCUUGCUCUUCUGCUCUUCUUUAAGAUGAUACUCUUCUCUUGCGGUCGAUUGGUCAGGUCGAGUUGUUCUCCCUUAGUAUAUUUUGAAUCUGUCAGGUCAGGUCGACUUGUUCUUCUUUACUAUAUGUUGAAGCUAUCAUCUGCGAAGUGUCAUCACUUCUGGAGCUCUCAUAUUUUGAGUAGUAGGCCACAUUAUAUUAAUGCACACAACAAAUUACAGCAUGCAUGGCAUCUUUUAAAAGAAUUACAGAGAUAGCACAAAGGGGUUUACAGGGAGGCAGUAUUGGAUUAGAAUCACUUCUGCAUUACAAAGAAAAUCUCACCUGUUUUUAUGUUCUCAUGCAUGCCAGAUAUUGAACAUUAUCAAAAUCAAUAUGAGAAUGGGCGCACGAGAGGAAUAUUGCGGAACGAUCGACUGGCUAACAAACUUGGCAUGGUGGAGGAUGGCCUAUCUUAUUCACCCAUCAAGGUGCUUGCUCUAGCUUUGCAAAGUUGUAUUGGUCGCACAUAUUUUGCAUCUGACCUCUUGCAUUACUUCUACUUUGUUACACCAUCUGCUUAGUUUAAGCAUCAUAUAUGAUUAUAUGCCAUACCUAUCCAUUUUCUGUACCUAUUCCAUGUGUCGGCACACUAUGUUUUUCCAAUCAAAUGUUGUUCUUUUGUAAUAGAUGUCCAAAAAGAAGAGGGUGAGUGCAGAUCCUCAAGGAGUACAAACUAGGUAUUUGGAAAAGGUAGUGAUACCUGUUAAAUCAGAUAGAUCAGCAGCCACAGAAAACACAUGCCCAACUGUACCACACUUUACCCCUACUCCAGUGGCCAAACCCCUAUUAGAACUGCUGGGAGCCCAGCGUCAGGUACUGUCUAUGAUAUCAAUUCAAAAUUUGAACUCCUAAAUUUCUGCUUGUGCCUUACCUUCUCUCUUGUAUGAAAACUAAUUUCAGAUGAAUCUCCUUGCUCAAAGGAUCAUAUGAUCUCAAAACAAUAAUGGGCUCUGCAUUGCUCUCGUCAGUACCUCUCUCCCUUUUGCCUUGUAACACUUUACUUAAUUAAUUGCUAUUUGAUUAUGUAUCAUCAGUCUGCACUUGAGCUUCAUUAUCCUCUGUUUCUUACAAUAUUAUUUGAUCUAUAUUUACUCUUUGCAAAAUGUAGAAUAAUGGCAACGCUUAUAAAGAAUUUUCGUUGGGGAAUUUAUUGAAUUAUCCUUCCAUCAACAUGGAGAAGGGCUUUGUCCAGCCCGUGUUAACAUGUAAUGUAAGUUCAUCCUUCUCAAGCCUUCAAACUUUGUUCUAGUAUACAUUUGGAUAGGCAUCAUUUCCUCCACUGCUGUUUGCUUUGCUGUUUACAUCUGAUUGGAUGUUUGCAACAACUACCAGUUUCAAAUUGUAGUUGUAAAAACAUGUUCCUUUUGCAGAACAGAUCCAUUUAUUUGCUUAUAUAAUUAUGAAACAUGUUACGUGUCUCCUUGUUUCUCUUUCAUAGUCGUAUCUCUUACGCUAGGCAGAACCUUAGGGAAGAUAGUGAGCCAAACCAUCUUGUGGACAGCGAGAUGACCCCAAGGUCCUGUCUUGAUGAAGACAGUGAGUUGAAGCUACUCACCAGCAGGUGUGAGACAACCUUUGUGCAGUCGCUGCCUCAAUCAGUUCGACUUCUUCAGUCUCAACUUAAAGCGGAAAGGCUUGCUUCAGCUCAGCUCCGACUUGAAGUCAAAGAUGCAAUGAAGAUGUCAGAGGACUGCAGUGCGCACCAUCAAGCCUUAAAUCUAGUGUUGAUGCAUCUAUCGUUGACACAACUGAGGUCUACUCAGCUUCUUCAGCUGUUUGGGGGGCCCUUCCUAGCCAGGCCUAGUGCCUUCUGAAGUGCUCUCAGUUUUGUAUAUUCUUUUGUCGGCGCGUUUAUUUGCACUCGUGGCGAACUUUGAUGCCCAGUGAUGUAAUAUGUGAUAGCUGUGAUAGCCUAGCAUAAGUUGCUUGCUUAUUUAUUUCCUUGUUGUCUUGUUUAUUUGUUUGCUUGUAGUCAUUGCAGUUCUUUUUCCGAGGUUUGCUAUUGGCUGCAAUAACCUAUUUUUUAAAACUAGGCUACAAUAACCAUGGGCUAAUAUUUACUGUAGUGACACUGGGCCUCCUACGGGCCGUAGAAACAGUGGGCCUUCUACGGGCCGUAGAAAUAGUGGGCCUUCUACGGGCCGUAGAAACAAUGGGCCUUCUAAGGCCCGUAGAAACAAUGGGAUUUCUAUAGGCCGUAUCAUCAAUGGGCCUUAUAAGGGCAGUAUGAUAACAUGGGCCAAUAACAGGCCGCAUUAUGGCCGUAAACGGGCUAGAGUUGGAAUCGUCCGUUCAUAGGCCGACCAUAACGGGCCAUCGUUAAUAGGCCGCAUUUCAUGACGCUAUGAAAACGGCCCAACGUAUUAACGGGCCACAAACGGGCCGACUGUAACCACGGGCUGAAUUUGGCCCACAAGCAGAAAAUGACAGUAACGGGCCAUAAGUAAACGAAUGCUGGAAAUGAGCCCAAGAAUGAAUGGGCUCCGAGAAGGCCGAAAGAUAGCAUGGGCUGAAAACGGCCCAACAGAAUAACGGGCCGUUAAUGGGUAUAAAGUGAUACACUGUUCAUUACGGGCCAGUUUCACCACGGGCCGUUAAUGGGUGUAAAGUCAUACACUGUUCAUUACGGGCCAGUUUCACCACGGGCUGUUAAUAGGCCAAGAGUUACAUAGGGCCUCAUAUGGGCCGAAAGACGUCAUGGGCCAUACGUGGGCCAGAAGUGAAAACGGGCUGGAAUCAUAUUGGGUGGCCCAUAUGACGCUACUGGGCCUAAUUUGGAUAGGGCGUAACGGGCCUUGGGUUAGCGGGCUGUAAAUGGGAUAUAUGCAAACAAGCCGUUAACAGGCUUUCCAUGGGCCGGCCCACCACAUUUUGACCAAGUCAAACGGGCCGGCCUUUUCACAGGAAUGGGCCUCUGUUGGUCCAUGCCACGUGUCGACGUAUCACAGGCGCCUUCCGUCCAAUGAGUGGAUGACAUCUGUCCCAACGAUGAGCAGACACGUGUUUCCUCCAGCCAAUGAUGAUUUUACACAUGGAAAAUCCCCAUUGGCCGAGGCUGUUAACGGGUUAUCGGAUCCAAAAUCCGACCCGGUAGCUUAACGGCGUUCCGUUACGGUGUAUGCCACGUGUCGGUCACCCUUGACGAAAGCACUUCUGUGACGCGUGAUUUAUCCGUGAUGAUAAUUUUGGUAAUGUCAUGGAACACUUCUACGACAGCACAGGUAUGACUAUCUUGAUUCUGUCAUAAAUUUGUCAUGGAUGCACAUGCAUGACAAAAAAUGCGACCUACUGUGACAAACACGUAUCAUCACGGAAGUGUAUUUGUUUUUGUAGUGAGACUUCGAUCGCCAGUCAUGUGGUUAGUGCAUCCACUGUCCAUAAUCCAUUCUGAAGUACGAGGUGUCAUAGCCUACUAUGCAGUUUGGGGGAUAGGCUUCACCAAGCAAGUUGUGAAGCAUAAACAUUUGACGAACAAGUGGAACAUGGAAAUUCAGAUCUUGGUUAGGCUAGAUAGGAUGACUGUCAAGGAAUCCCGGAACGAAAUACAAAGUAAGACCAUUUGGGCAUUUUAUCUUGCGCCCCAUGAGAUGUUUAAGGUCCCCAGCAUUAGCAUUGGACGCCUUAGAUUUUCGGCUGGAGACCAUUCCCUGCAAAAGAGAGUUAAGUUUUCUUAACCACCCACAUUUUUAGGGGUGGCUUAGAAUCAAUGAGUCUAAGUGCAGCAUCUGAGAACUUCGGCUUUGGAACCCUAGUAAAUAGCCUUGCAGGAGGUGAAUAAUACUCAUAGGAAUAAGCAGAAAAGUUCUUAGUUCUAUGAACAUAUUGGUUUGAGGAAACACGCUCAUAUUCAUGGGUCCGAGUAUGAUUUCCCUGCAAAACAUUCACGUUAGGGUGACUCAGAUGAGUCCUCGGUCUGUAUGAAGCUUUAGGACCAUAUGAAGCCUUUGGUAUGGGGUUUAUCUUCUUCACAGGUGGUGUCAAGAUGACAUUCAUCGGAAGAUUCUCAAGACAACUUUUGGGUACCCAUAUCUUCUUCAUAGGUGGCCCAUUCCUGCAGUUAGUACCAAUAUACCUGGCAAACACUUCACCAUUUUGAUUCUUAAACAAUUUAUAGUUUGCAUCAAAGGAUUCAUCAAUGAUAAUAGGGUUAGCACGAGUGAAACCAGAUAAGGUGGAUGGAUCUACUGAAGGUUCCUUUGCAGCAACCCAUGUGGUUUUGGGGUACCGCUCAGGCUUCCAGUACGACCCAUCAACACUCAUUUUCCUCUCGAACCAAACACCCUCUUUACUAGGGUUUCGGUUCAGAAUAUGCUUUUUGAGGACAUCACAUAAUGUCUGAUGCCCUUUGAGACUUUUGUACAUCCCUGUCUCAAGCAGUGUCUUCAACCUGGCAUUCUCAUCAGCAAUAGUAGUGGUAUCCUCAGCAGAGGGGUUAGUUACCACAUCAGCAGUUGAAGAUAUUGCAACAGUAGUAGCAGUAGAACAUUCAGCAAUAGAGGCAGCAUUAUCAGGCUCAAUGCAUUUUAGACACGAUGGUUCAAAUUCUUCCUGAGCGGAACUGAUCUGUUGAGCGCGAAGUGACUCGUUCUCUUUUUGAAGAUCUUCAUGGGCCGACCUCAAUUUCUCAAGUUCCUGCUUCCUUUGAAGAUAAUCAUAGGAAAGUUUUUUAUGAGAAGUUGAGAGCGAUUCAUGUAGACCUUCAAGUUCCUGGUACUUAACAUGAAGAUUUUUGAUGUCCUCAAUUAAGGACUGAGACUUGGUAAUUUCCGUGUCCAGCAGGUCAUCGCUUUUGUCUAACAGGUUUUGAGUAUGUUCCAUGGCUUUCUGUUGUUCAGUUGCAAUUUUAGCAAGUGUUCUGUAACUAGGUUUGGAUUCACCAUCAGAGUCAUCUUCACUUUAUGUCUAAAAGUAAGCAUCACGUGAGUUUACCUUGGCACCAUGUGCCAUAAAGCAGUAGGUGGGAGCCGAGUCGUCCUUGUCAUUAUCAUCAGCGUUGGUGACGGAGCCAUUGUCUUCAGUGUUGAAGAUGGACUUGGCGACAUAGGCUAUAGCUAGAGCUAGACUCGCAACACCAAAGUCGGACUCCUCCUCAGACUCCACCUGCGCCUCCUCUGAAGCAGACUCCUCCUCUGAAUCCAUUUCCUUGCCAACAAAAGCACGAGCCUUGCCCGAUCAGCUCUUCUUGUGUGAUGAAGACUUGGAAGAAGAUUUAGAAGAAUACUUUGAGGAUUUCUUCUUCCUCUUCUUGUCAUCAGAAUCAUAUUCUUUGCUCUUCUUCUUCUUCUUCUCAUUGUCCCACUGUGGACACUCAGAGAUGUAGUGACCAGGUUUCUUGCACUUGUGGAAGGUUCUCUUCUUGUGGUCAUAGGUGGAUGCUUCAUCAUUCCUUGAGCUGGAUCGUGAAGACUUUCUGAAGCUUUUCUUGUUGGUGAAUUUCUAGAACUUCUUCACAAGCAUAGCAAGCUCCUUUCCAAUAUCUUUAGGAUCACCAGAACUGUAGUCAGAUUCUUCUUCAGAUGAGGAACCAGCAGCCUUUGCCUUCAAAGCGCGAGUUCGGCCAUAGUUGGGGCCAUAGAUAUCUCGUUUCUUAGAUAGCUGGUACUCAUGUGUGUUGAGCCUCACAAGUAUGUCAGACGGAUCGAGAGUCUUGAAGUCAGGGCGUUCUUGUAUCAUCAGGGCUCAGGUGUCAAAUGAGUUGUCAAGAGCAAGCUUUUAAAUUGCAUCCGCUACCUCCGCUAUUGCGGCCGCAAUAGCGAUAGCGUCACCCUGCCGCUAUUAGUUUAAGGUUGCGUUGGAAAAUAGCGUGUUGUCAUGAUGCGGGCGCAAUAUCACUUGUUAGACUGCUAUAUGGUCCGCUAUCCGCAAUAUCGCCCGCUAUAUAAGUCCUUGUUAUUCUGUUGUGUAAUCUAUUUGGUAAAUGUGUCUUGCUUGCAUGGUUGCACGACCAAAUGUUGUUCAGUUAUAGUUUAUAUUCUUAUAUAAAUGAUGAUUUUUCAAAUUAAGUGUCAUAUUUUUGUCAAUGGCCUAGAAAUAUAUAGAACAAUCUCAAAUUUAUGAGUGUUUUUUAAAAAUUGGCUAUGUGGACAUAGCGCCCGCAAUAUCGCCCGCUAUUCGCAUUCCCGUACACGGACCUUAAUCCGCAACCAGUCCACUAUCCGCUAUUUAAAAGCUUGGUCAAGAGAUCUCAGUAGUGUCUUCACUAUUUCAUGCUUCGUAAUCUCAGUGGCCCCGAGUGCUUGGAGCUCAUUUGUGAUAUCAGUGAGGUGAUCAAAUGUGAGCUGGACGUUCUCAUUGUCGUGUCUCUUGAAACAGUUGAAGAGGUUGCGGAGAGUACUGAUCCGUUGAUCUCGCUGAAUUGAGACGCCUUGAUUGACCUUGGAGAGCCAGUCCCAGACUAGCUUGAAUGUUUCCAGAGCACUCACACGGCCAUACUGUCCUUUGGUCAGAUGACCACAGAUGAUGUUCCUGGUGGUAGAAUCCAGUUGAACGAACUUCUUGACAUCAGCAGGGGUAACACCUUCACCAGUCUUGGGAACGCCGUUCUUGACGACAUACCAUAGAUCGACAUCAAUGGCUUCAAGAUGCAUGCACAUUCUAUUCUUCUAGUAGGGAUAUUCAGUGCCACCUAUGACAAUCUGGUUUUUGCCCUCUUUUCUUUGCCUGGUUUUCAGUUGAGUUGGUUUUGAAUUUGGAGUUUUUGAAUCACUUCAUUUGGACUUAACCACUUGGGUACUCCUUGACUUUCACCCAAGUGCUCCCUCUCCUCCUCAAAACCAUCAUUUCACCUCUGGAUCAACUCAAAAUAUUGCUUGGGACAUUUUUCUUAAAUGAAAAAUAUUCAUUUUGCGCUCCAAAACCCUAGUUAGCCCUUUGUGCUCCAAAGCAACCCUAAGUUUUCUUGCCCCAAAAAUACUGAGAAAAAUCCCAAUUAUUCUUUGGACCCUAGGGCACCUUUAUGUGCAAAAAAAUUUCACCACUCUUUGGAAUAUUUUAUCUACAGAAAAUAAAUUCAUUUUUGGACAGAAAUGGUAGUUUCGACAGCAACUACCAUUUUACUAGCUCCAUUGUAGCUGGUUUUUCUUGUGCCUAUUUACCUUAGUAAGUGUAAACAAGCCUCCAAAGCUCAGCCCUUAACUCCCAGUGGUUUGAUCAGAGUAAAUCUCCAAAGUUACCGUCCAGAAACUUGCUAGCAGUACAAAUCCAUUUCUAUUGCACCUGGAUCCAAGCCAAACCAUGGUAACACUUCAAACUACCAAGGACUACACGCAGCCUAAUGUCAUGGUUCAUGCGGUGACCGUGUUCAUCCGGGCGUGCUGGCAUGCAAAACACGCGCUCUGCGUGACGCCUAGCGCUCUGUUGAGCGCGUGCUCGCUGCCCUGCAUCCCCGAGCAUGCCAAACCUUGCCACCAUCCUAGUCUCCACUCCCUUAACUCCCCCCUGGCACUCGCCGACACCGGAGCUCGCCAUAGCGGGCAUGGGCACGGUCCGGCCAAUGACACAGUGCGUGGUGCACUGUGCUCAUCGUUUUCUCCCUCGUCCCUGUGCUCGUCCACGCCCGCCAAUAGUUCCCACGUGACCUCCGUCGUCUUCCCCCUCUCUUGCUGGCGCCGUUCGUUGCCGGGCACCAUGGACGGGUGUCCUUCGACGGAGCCCGAACCCUCCUCGCCGCCCGCCUAUAAAUGCCGCCACCCCCAGCCUCUUUGAGCACCCGCAACUACUCCCACACCCUCCACAAACUUGUAGAAGCCGCAGCCCGCCGGGCAGGCCACGGGCUGCCGUCCCGAAGCUCGAGCUCGCCGGCGAUCCCCUUCGGAUCGUCCCCGCAGCUCCAGCCCCUCCCAGGCCAGGACGACCCUGCCAGGGCCUCCGCCACUCUUCGUUGAGGGUGUUCCACCCUGUUGGAGCCCCUGGAGCCGCCCCGAGCCACCGUCGUCUUCGUCUCCGGCGACCGCUGCCCUCUGCCUCCGCUGGAGAGGCCAUUUCCGAUGCCGUCCGGUCACCUCUAGCCACGCUACGGGUAUGGGCAGGUGCGCCAUCUUCUUCUCCUUUGAUCCCCCCUCUCGUUUGACCCCAAGAACCCUCGUCGCCGGCGUGUGCUCCGGCGAAGCUCCGCCUCGCUCCGUUUCCUUCUCCCCCUCCUUCUGGCCUGACUAGCGGGGCCCGCUAGUCAGCCACUCAGUACACGCGCGAAGCGGUAUGAGUGGUGGCGCCCCGGGCGUUUACACCUUUGAUGUCACCCCCCAGUCUGUUUUCUUUUUAAAUCAAAUUCAUUUAAAUCCAGGAAACUUCAAAUAGCCCUAACUUUUUAUCUAUAAGUCCAAAUGCAUUGAUUCUUUUUGCAUUGUGUUCUUUGUCCAAAAAUCUAACAGCACCCAAAAGAUGGGAUUUUUCCUUGCUAUCUAGAUUUUCUGGUAAUUCUCAGAAGAUUUCUUGAUGUUUUCUUUUUGUGGUUUUAUUUAUUUUCAGAAGAGCAUGCUUGUCUUGAGGAUCAAAGGAGAUUUGUGAACCUCAUCAGCACUAAGGCAAGCCACAACAACAUUUUCAUAGUGCCACAUCAAUAUUUGUGAUUUCCUACUUGAACUUAUGAUUAUUCAUGCAUUUAAAUAAUUAUUAUAGUUAUAUUCUGUUAGAUGCUUGUCAUGUUAAAUAUGCUUGAUUUACAGAAAGUUUGAAAUGAAUUUUGCUGAUAAGCUAACAAGAACUUAGAUAUGAGUAAUGAUAAUAUGAUAUAGUCAUGGAUGUUAAUAAUUGGUUUAAUUAUUAUUCUUGCAUGAUGAAAAAUGAUGAGAUUGCUAGAAAUGGUUCUGGUUUAAGUGAGGUUUGAUCUUAACCAGAGAAGAUCUUGAGUUGGUGAUGGCUCCGUCGGAGCAUAGUUGAAUUAGUUAUUCUCUUGGUUAUUUGAUGCAUAUGUUAGUGAUGCAUAGCAUGGCAUUAUGACACCGGUUACUUUCACUUUAAGUUGAACCUGAUAAAUAACUCAACUUGAAUAUGUUGUUGACCGGGUCGUGGUGCCGCUGAAACGAGUUUUUCCCAGUGCAACCACAUUUGCCGGUAUGGGACGGCCUUAAUGCGUUUCAUUGUCGUGCCUCUGGUCAGUGCCUCCAUCUAGGGAAGGUUAUGGGCGUGCUGUACCCUGGCCCUGUAAGCAGGCAUAACCUUGUGUGCCAGUUGAUGAGUUAAGUGUUUGGGUCCCAGAGUGGAUUGUUGCCACGAUGGUGGUUUGAGGUGUCUUGAGGUAGACAUAGGGCCACCCAGGACUAGCCCGAUGGGGAUUGAGUCAGAGUGGCCGAGAGAGUGUCAUGACAAUGAAGUGGUUUCGUCGGAAUGUCGUUGGUCCACCCAAAUGGGAGUGCGAGGCCAUGGGUUUCGUAGUGUGGGUACAGUACGCUACCUCUGAAGAGUGUAUUAAUCUAUCGAUAGCCGAGUCCGCGGUUACGGACACGCUCAAAAGUAGGGUACACCAUGGGUCAACACUUAGUAAAUUUGCACACUGAAACUUGCACUAAGGUAAUGGCAGUGAGGCCAUCGUGUUGAGGUUGAGACCAAGUGUUGGUCAGGGUUGUGAUCGCCGUAAGAAUCACGAGACUGUCAUUGAGUUCUUCAUGUUUGUGGUCUAGAAAUGAUCACGUUCGGUAAGCCAGUCCAUGGGACGAGUACCACUUGAGAAUAUUCACAGCAUGUUGGAUAUAUAUUGUUGCAUUGUAUUUAAUUGGUUAAGUAUCAUGAUAUUGUCUGUCAUUAUGUUUAUGCUUGUUGUGAGCUUGCAAAUACAUUCAAUGUACUGACCUGGCAUGUCAUGCCAGAUUUCAGGAAAGUCUCGUUGGAAAGGAGAGCUGUCCGAGUCUAGAUCGUGUCCACAUCGGUGUCCCUGUGCUAUGGAGUCCCGCUACAACGUUAUUCCGCUGCCGCGUAGUUGUCAUGAUCGAGGCCCCUUUAUGUUUAUUAAAUAAUGUACAUAUUGUUCAGUCGCACCGUGCGUGCCGCUUGGCCUCGCUAACUGUUGUAAUAUGAACUAUGCUCCACUAGCAUAAAUAAAGCGGUUGUUUUUCUAUACCAAGUUGUUGUGUGUUGCCAGAAGACAAUGUCUCUGGGCUGGCAAUGCAGGGUAAACCAGUCACUCUGAGCCGGGGUGCCACAACGCUUGGUAUCAGAGCCGCGCUGACUGUAGGCCACGCUAGACUAUGCCGAGUUAAUUGGACAUUAGAUACGAGUUGUAGUUGAGUGUCGGUAGCCUAUUGUAGCUGGUUGUUGCAUUGCAUGCACUAAUUAUUAAUUUUAUGCUAACAUGCUAAUGGCUGUGAGUGUAGAUGGCUCCAGUGCUGUAUCCGUGCCAGUUGCAGCUGAUGUCGUACACGUCGCCACAUCUCGUUCGUAACGUGUGGCGUCGGCUGUACCCUCACGGUGACGAUCCAGUCUAUCAUGUGUACCGGGAGUGUCUAGCUGACUCAGUUUAGGAGUAUCACACCGUGGUUACUCUAUGCACCAAUUCCGAUUCCAUCACUUACACUCGUAGUUCUCAAAGCGGCUACGCUUCUACCGCUUCUCAGGUUGUCCAGUUUGCUGCAUUCGAGGUACUCGUUGAGCUCCGUUACAACAAGGUCCGGAUGCAGAACCACCCAGGUUUCCACUUCUAUCCUUCUCUCCAUGAUAAUGGUCGUGUCCGUUUCCCUGUCAUUGAGCCGGAGUCUGAUAAUGUAGCUAGCCACCUUUCUCGCUAUAUCACUGCUAGCUAUCUUCUGAUCUACGAGUUGGCUCGUGAGCUGAGUCACGCCCGUACUGCUUUAGCCUCUGCUAGCUAGCCACUACCCCACCAUCGGUAGGAUUUACUCCCUAUAUUCCUGCCAGAUCUCGAUCCCCUGUUUCCCCGGUUACUCCUCCGAGUCGGUUGGGCACCACGACUGUGAGUCCACUUAGUGCUCCUGCUGAGUGGGUUUCACUCCUCGCCCCUCCUGUAGCCCCGAUGAUUCACCCUCCACCUACCCCAGAGGGAGAGCCCUCGAGGCACCAUCAUUGUGUCAGUUUUAACCCGGAGGUCUCAGUUAACCCCGUCAGUUCAGGAUCCGAGUCCGCUUCAGGAGAGGACACCGCAGCACCAGCCGAGCAGUAGAGCUUCCGAGUAUUCGCAAUCGUCAGCAUGGAGUAUGGAUGUAGUCGUACGAAUCAUGAUGUUUCGUUUCAUGUAUGAGGGUAGUUGGACCUGGCAUGUGUUAUCUUUCAUGUAUGAGUCUAUGUAUUAUUAUGUUCGAACUUUAUUUUAUUUGCCGUAUUUUCUUCGCCAUUUCGGUUUUACUUGGAUUUUUGUUGCUGGCUUCUCCCCUGUUUAUUUUGAAUGCUUCUCAUCUCGGUUGCGUUGCCUUGGGAAAAUAAUCAUAUUUGGAUGACGCGAGGAGGCUGCAGUAGCAACGUUCGCAAGGGUUCUCCUGUUCGUCGUUCCGCAUGACAGGCAGGACACUCACCCGAGCCGUACGUUCCACCACCGCCUCCACCGCCAAGUCCGCCCUCCACCGAGCAAAUUCUGCAUAUGUUUUAGGAAAGACGAAAUAAUGAUCUGAUGGAAAUAUUCAGAAGUAUUCAAGCUGUGGUUGGACAGAAUGGCAAUCAUCCCGGUCAUCACUCCAAGCUAUCUGAUUUUCAAAGGACUAAGCCUCCCAGUUUCAGUCAGACCCUUGAUCCCUUCGAUGCAGAUGAUUGGUUGAAAACUAUGGAAAAGAAGCUUGAGGUUGCUCAAACUGAUGAAGUGGAUAAAUUUCCAUUUGUAACACAUUAUCUUGAAGGCGCUGUUGCCAUAUGGUGGGAAAAUGAAAAAGCCAUGUGGACUGCUGAUGAAGAAAUUACCUGUUCAAGGUUCAAGGAACGAUUCCGGAAAUAUCACAUCCCUACGGGAAUUAUGAAGACUAAGCAGCGUGAAUUUCUCGCGCUCCUCCAAGGAAGUCAGUCGGUGGGAGAAUAUUUGCAGAAAUUCAAUCAUCUGUCACGUUACUCUCAAUAUGAUGUGGCCACCGAGGAAAGAAAGAUGGCAGGUUUCUUGGUGGGUUAAAACCACAACUCCGUUGUACUCUCUGCAUGUUUGAUUUCCCAGACUUCCAAACCCUGGUGAACAAGGCUUUCAUUGCUGAAAGGGAACACAAGCUUACAUCAGAUACUAAGCCUGCCAACAAUGAUCACAAGUGCAAGUUUGAGCAAGGAAAAGAAAUGCAACCAGUGCAGAAGGUUCGUACCUGGCAGCCGACUCAGGUAGCAUACAAGCCCAAUUGGCAGCAAAAUGUUAACAAGACCACCACCCAUGUCAAGAAUGACGUGCUCAACCCAGUUCUAGAGAAUCGUCUAUGCAACAAUUCCUAUUUCAAUUGUGGGCAAAUCGGACAUUAUGCCAAGCAGUGUCCCACGAACAAUCGUACCAAUGCUACAUUCAAGCCACAAGUCCAUUAUAUGGAGGUAUGCCCAGAUCAGCACGACCUCACGGGGUACAUUCAUCACAUCUCCGCCGACGAAGCCCAGGAGAACCCCGAAGUUGUCAUUGGUAUGUUCCCUGUUAAUAACAUACCUGCAGUAAUUUUAUUUGACUCUGGGGCUUCCCACUCUUUCAUUUCUCGGAGUUUUAUUUCCCAAAACAAAUUUCGUUGUUCGCUUUUGGGCAAGAAUAUGCUGGUGCAAACCCCGGGAUCUCUAAUCAGAAGCAAUAUAGUCUGCCGUAAUCUGGAAGUCAAUAUCAACGGAGUCUGUUUUCCAACUUCUUUGAUACUUAUUGAAUCCGAUAAGUUGGAUGUUAUCUUGGGUAUGAAUUGGUUGACUUAGUAUCAAGUAUGCAUUAAUUGUGCGACCCGAGAAGUCAACUUGACCGGCCAAGAGGGACAAACUACAAAAUUUAUUGCUCGUAGGAGCAUACCCUCCAAGGAAAUGGUCUUUAUAGCAAUGGCUGAAAUGGAAUUAAUUCCGGUGGUCAGCGAGUUUCCUGAUGUAUUCCUAGAAGAACUGCCAGGCAUGCCCUCUGAUCGAGAGCUUGAGUUUGCAAUAGAUCUUGUGCCCGGAACCACACCAAUACACAAGAAGUAUUAUCGAAUGCCGUCAUCAGAAUUAGUGGAGCUAAAGAAACAGCUUGAUGAAAUGCUCCAGAAACGGUAUAUCCGCCCCAGCUCCUCACCAUGGGGAUCACCUGCUAUCUUCGUGGACAAGAAAGAUGGUAGCCUCCGCAUGUGUGUGGAUUAUCGUCAGCUGAAUGAUGUCACAAUCAAGAACAAAUACCCUCUGCCAAGAAUUGAUGAUUUGUUUGAUCAGCUUACUGGGGCCAAUGUAUUCUCCAAGAUUGAUUUACGGACGGGAUAUUAUCAGCUCAAAAUUAAAAAGGAGGAUAUUCCCAAGACCGCGUUCACCACCCGCUACGGUCUCUAUGAAGAUACAGUUAUGUCUUUUGGCCUCACCAACGCCCCCGCCUUCUUCAUGCAUAUGAUGAAUAAAGUAUUCAUGGACUUCCUCGAUAAGUUCGUGGUCGUCUUCAUCGAUGAUAUACUCAUUUACUCAAGAAGUGAAGAAGAGCAUAAGGAACACCUCCGAGCAGUGUUACAACGACUCCGUGAGCAUCAGUUAUACACCAAAUUCAGUAAAUGUGAGUUUUGGCUCAAGCAAGUUGGAUUCCUCGGGCAUGUCCUAUCCGCUGAAGGUAUAGCCGUGGACCCAAGCAAGGUAAAGGAUGUGCUCGACUGGUUGCCACCCGCAACCGUAUCUCAGAUCCAAAGUUUUCUUGGAUUAGCCGGAUACUACCGUCGUUUCAUGGAAGGGUUUUCCAAGAUUGCUAAACCCAUGACAGAGCUGCUCAAAAAGGAUAAGAAGUUUGAAUGGACUAAGGACUAUGAGAAAAGUUUCACUGAUUUAAAGAAACGAUUGACAACUGCACCAGUAUUAACACUCCCAGAUAUCUACCGCAGCUUUGAGUUGUACUGCGACGCUUCCAGGCAAGGACUGGGAUGCAUACUUAUGCAAGAUGGAAAGGUAGUAGCUUAUGACUCACGGUAGCAACGACCCUACGAGGGGAAUUACCCCACUCAUGAUUUGGAAAUGGCCGCGGUGGUUUAUGCUUUAAAAAUUUGGAGACACUACCUCAUCGGAAAAAGGUGACAAAUUUUUACCGAUCAAAAAAGCCUCAAAUAUAUAUUUACUCAUCCGGAUUUAAAUCUCCGUAAACAAAGAUGGCUUGAGUUGGUUAAGUAUUAUGACAUUGGAAUAAAUUACCAUCCGGGUAAGGCCAACGUGGUUGCCGAUGCGCUCAGUCGAAAGCCCGUCAGUUUAAAUGUCAUAUUGGAAUCAUUGCCUCCCAAACUUAAAGAAGAGAUUGCUCAGCUCAACCUAGUCAUAGUUGAGGCAGGCCUUGCUAAUAUUCUGAAAGUUACCCCUACACUUGAGGAAGAAAUACGCAAGGCCCAGCCAGGCGAUGCCGGUCUGCAGAAACAUGUCAAGCUUUCCGAUUUCUCGGAGGAUCAGUACGGUACCCUCCGAUUCAGGGGAAGGAUUUGUGUGCCUAAUCAAACAUAUUUGAAGCAGAAGAUCCUGUCAGAAGCCCAUGAAUCCUCGUAUUCAAUUCACCCUAGAGGCACAAAAAUGUACGAAGACCUUCGACAAAUAUUCUGGUAGGAUGGAAUGAAGAAGGACAUUGCUUAUUUCGUGGCCUGUUGCGACAUAUGCAACAAAGUAAAGGCAGAACAUCAGAAGCUAGCCGGACUUCUCCAACCGCUACUAGUGUCGCAAUGGAAAUGGGAUGAUGUCUAUAUGGAUUUCAUCACAGGACUACCUAAGACCCGAUGAGGCAAUGAUGCAAUCUGGGUCAUAGUGGAUACAUUAACCAAGGUAGCCCACACUUCCUCCCGAUCAGAACCUCAUAUCAAGCAGAUGAGCUUGCACAACUGUAUGUAUCCAGAAUAGUCAGUCUGCAUGGAGUUCCCCGAACCAUCACUUCUGACCGAGGUUCACUGUUUACCUCCGCUUUUUGGUCCCGUCUCCAUCAAUCCCUAGGGACGGAAUUGAAAUACAGUACCGCUUAUCAUCCUCAAACAGAUGGACAGACAGAACGGGUAAAUCAAAUACUUGAAGAUAUGCUGCGAGCCUGUGCUUUGGCCCAAGGCCCAAAAUGGGAAGACUGCUUGCCGUACGUCGAAUUCUCGUAUAACAAUAGCUUCCAGACCAGUUUAAAGAUGUCACCGUAUGAAGCUUUGUAUGGCCGUAAGUGCCGCACACCAUUAAAUUGGUCUCAAACUGGAGAUAGCCAUAUUUUCGGAACGAAUCUCAUGCUGGAAGCCGAAAAGCAAGUCAAGGAAAUCUGAGAUAGAUUGCAAUUGUCCAAAUCGCGACAGAAUAGUUAUUACGAUGCAAAGCACCGACAGAUCAGCUUUGAACCCGGAGAACAUGUCUAUCUUCGAGUCACGCCUAUGAAAGGUAUCAAGAGGUUUCAAACUCGUGGAAAAUUUGCACCCAGAUUUAUUGGUCCGUUUCCCGUUAUGACACGAGUGGGUGCUGUGGCAUAUCAGUUGGAGUUACCCCCUGAGUUGUCAGACGUGCAAAACGUGUUCCACGUUUCACAAUUGCGAUGGUGCAUAUCGCCGCCCGAGAAAAAGACUGAUUUGACAAAAAUAGAGCUGGCAAAGGACUUAACGUAUGAAGAAAGGCCGGUGAAAAUUUUGGAUCAAAUGGAAAGGGUCACUCGCAGUAAAGCAUGAAAGUUUUAAAGCAUCACACAGAGUCAGAAUCAACAUGGGAAUCAGAAGAAUUUCUAAGGGCAUGUUAUCCAGAACGGUUUUCCCAAGCAACCAAAUCUCGAGGACGAGAUUCAUUCUAAGUGGGGGAGGUUUGUGACAGUGUGGUUUUUGCCCUCUUUUCUUUGCCUGGUUUUCAGUUGAGUUGGUUUUGAAUUUGGAGUUUUUGAAUCACUUCUUUGGACUUAACCACUUGGGUACUCCUUUACUUUCACCCAAGUGCUCCCUCUCCUCCUCAAAACCAUCAUUUCACCUCUGGAUCAACUCAAAAUAUUGCUUGGGAUAUUUUUCUUAAAUGAAAAAUAUUCAUUUUGCCCUCCAAAACCCUAGCUAGCCCUUUGUGCUCCAAAGCAACCAUAAUUUAUCUGGCCACAAAAAUCCUGUGAAAAAUCCCAAUUCUUCUUUGGACCCUAGGGCACAUUUCUGAGCAAAAAUAUUUCACCACUCUUUGGAAUAUUUUGGCUACAGAAAAUAAAUUCGUUUCUGGAUAGAAAUGGUAGUUUCUACAGCAACUACCAUUUUACUAGCUCCAUUGUAGCUGGUUUUUCUUGUGCCUAUUUACCUUCCUAAGUGUAAACAAGCCUCCAAAGCUCAGCCCUUAACUCCGAGUGGUUUGACCAGAGUAAAUCUCCAAAGUUACUGUCCAGAAACUUGCUAGCAAUACAAAUCCAUUUCUACUGCACCUGGAUCCAAGCCAAACCGUGGUAACACUUCAAACUACCAAGGACUACACGCCAGACAUCAAGUUAGCACUUAGGGUGGCCUGAUGUCAUGGUUCACGCGAUGAUCGCGUUCGUCCGGGCGUGCUGGCAUGCAAAACACAUGCUCUGCGUGCCGCCUAGCGCUCUGUUGAGUGCGUGCUCGCUGCCUAGCCUGCCCGAGCAUGCCAAACUUCACCACCAUCCCCGUCUCCACUCCCUUAACUCCCCCUGGCACUCGCCGAUGCUGGAGCUCGCCACAGCAGGCACGAGCACGGUCCGGCCAACGACACAGUGUGCGGCACACUGUGCUCGUCGUCUUGUCCCUCGUCCUUGUGCUCGUCCGCGCCGCCAAUAGUUCCCGCGCGACCUCCGCCGUCUUCCCCCUCUCUCGUUGGCGCCGUUCGUCGUCGGGCGCCGUGGACAGGUGUCCUCCGGUGGAGCCCCAACCCUCCUCGCCGCCCGCGUAUAAAUGCCGCCACCCCCAGCCUCUUUGAGCACACGCAGCUAGUCCCACACCCUCCACAAACUUGUAGAAGCCGCAGCCCGCCCGGGCACGCCACGGGCUGCCGUCCCGAAGCUCGAGCUCACCGGCGAUCCCCUUCAGAUCGUUCCCAAAGCUCCAGCCCCUCCCAGGCUAGGGCGACCCUGCCAGGGCCUCCGCCACUCUUCGGUGAGGGUGUUCCGCCCUGUUGGAGCCCCUGGAGCUGCCCCGAGCCACCGUCGUCUUCGUCUCCGGCGACCGCUGCCCUCUGCCUCCGCCGGAGAGGCCGUUUCCAAUGUCGUUCGAUCACCUCUAGCCACGCUACGGGUACGGGUAGGUGCGCCAUCUUCUUCUCCUUCGAUCCCCCCUCUCGUUUGACCCCAAGAACCCUCGUCGCCGGCGUGUGCUCCGGCGAAGCUCCGCCUCGCUCUGUUUUCUUCUCCCCCUCCUUCUAGCCUGACUAGCUGGGCCCGCUAGUCAGCCACUCAGUACACAUGCGAAGCGGUACGAGUCGUGGCGCCUUGGGCCUUUACGCCUUCGAUGUCACCCCCCAGUCUGUUUUCUUUUUUAAUCAAAUUCAUUUAAAUCCAGGAAACUUCAAACAGCCAUAACUUUUUAUCUAUAAGUCCAAAUGCAUUGUUUCUUUUUUGCAUUGUGUUAUUUGUCCAAAAAUCUAACAGCACCAAAAACAUGGGAUUUUUCCUUGCUGUCUAGAUUUUCUGGUAAUUUUCAGAAGGUUUCUUGAUGUUUUGUUUUUGUGGUUUUAUUUAUUUUCAGAAGAGCAAGCUUGUCUUGAGGAUCAACAGGAGAUUUGUGAACCUCAUCAGCACUAAGGCAAGGCACGGCAACUUUUUCAUAGUGCCACGUCAAUAUUUGUGAUUUCCUACUUGAACUUAUGAUUAUUCAUGCAUUUAAAUAAUUAUUAUAGUUAUAUUCUGUUAGAUGCUUGUCAUGUUAAAUAUGCUUGAUUUACAGAAAGUUUGAAAUGAAUUUUUCUAAUAAGCUAACAAGAACUUAGAUAUGAGUAAUGAUAAUAUGAUAUAGUCAUGGAGGUUAAUAAUUAGUUUAAUUAUUAUUCUUGCAUGAUGAAAAAUGAUGAGAUUGCUAGAAAUGGUUCUGGUUUAAGUGAGGUUUGAUCUUAACCAGAGAAGAUCCUGAGUUGGUGAUGGCUCCGUCGGAGCGUAGUUGAAUUAGUUAUUCUCUUGGUUAUUUGAUGCAUAUGUUAGUGAUGCAUAGCAUGGCAUUAUGACACCGGUUACUUUAACUUUAAGUUGAACCUGAUAAAUAACUCAACUUGAAUAUGUUGUUGACCGGGUCGUGGUGCCGCUGAAACGAGUUUUUCCCAGUGUAACCACAUUUGCCGGUAUGGGACGGCCUUAAUGCGUUUCAUUGUCGUGCCUCUGGUCGGUGCCUCCAUCUAGGGAAGGUUAUGGGCGUGCUGUACCCUGGCCCUGUAAGCAGGCAUAACCUUGUGUGCUAGUUGAUGAGUUAAGUGUUUGGGUCCCAGAGUGGAUCGUUGCCAUGAUGGUGGUUUGAGGUGUCUUGAGGUAGACAUAGGGCCACCCAGGACUAGCCCGAUGGGGAUUGAGUCAGAGUGGUCGGGAGAGUGUCAUGACAAUGAAGUGGUUUCGUCGGAAUGUCGUUGGUCCGUCCAAAUGGGAGUGUGAGGCCAUGGGUUCCGUAGUGUGGGUAUAGUGCGCUGCCUCUGCAGAGUGUAUUAAUCUAUCGAUAGCCGAGUCCACGCUUACGGACACGCUCGAAAGUAGGGUACACCAUGGGUCAACACUUAAUAAAUUUGCACACUGAAACUUGCACUAAGGUAAUGGCAGUGAGGCCAUCGUGUUGAGGUUGAGACCAAGUGUUGGUCAAGGUUGUGAUCGCCGUAAGAAUCACGAGACUGUCAUUGAGCUAUUCAUGUUUGUGGUCUGGAAAUGAUCACGUUCGGUAAGCCAGUCCAUGGGACGAGUACCACUUGAGAAUAUUCACAGCAUGUUGGAUAUAUAUUGUUGCACUGCAUUUAAUUGGUUAAGUAUCAUGAUAUUGUCUGUCAUUAUGUUUAUGCUUGUUGUGAACUUGCAAGUACAUUCAAUGUACUGACCUGGCGUGUCAUGCCAGAUUUCAGUAAAGUCUCAUUGGAAAGGAGAGCUGUCCGAGUCUAGAUCGUGUCCACAUCGGUGUCCCUGUGCUAUGGAGUCCCGCUACGACGUUAUUCCGCUAUCGCGUAGUUGUCAUGAUCGAGGCCCCUUUAUGUUUACUAAAUAAUGUACAUAUUGUUCGGCCGCACCAUGUGUGCCGCUUGGCCUCGCUAAAUGUUGUAAUAUGUACUAUGCUCCGAUAGCAUAAAUAAAGCGGUUGUUUUUCUAUACCAAGUUGUUGUGUGUUACCAGAAGACAUGGUCUCUUGGCUGGCAAUGUAGGGUAAACCGGUCACUCUGAGCCGGGGUGCCACACCAUUGAAGAUGGGGCACGCAACAGAGACUUUGAUUAUCCCUGCAGUUGACAUAGCUAAAACUCCAGGUGGUUAAACCGAAUCACACAGAACAAGGGAGUUCCUUGCUCUGAUACCAAUUAAAAGGGCUAGUUAUCGACUAGAGGGGGGUGAAUAGGCAAUUGUUAUGAAAGUCUUCAGAACAUGGGAGUUUCAAAGACAAACAAUAGAAAUGACACUAUCCGUAUGCAGUGGAAGGUAGACUACACUAGACAAGCCAUAGUCAGGUAUUCAAUGAGGUGAAAGCACGAAGACUAUUAGCAGCUAGGUAGUAAAGAUCAGGAUGGAAGAUAGUAUGAAGACAAUCAGGAUAAGUAGUCACACAGUGAAGUUAAACAGAUAAUGCAAGUAGGCAAUGACUUCAUGAAGACAAACUGUAAGUAAAGAGAAGUGAGAGAUACAACCAGUAGCUUCGGGAGAACAGAGAUUUGUUUGACCAGUUCCAGUUGCUGUGACAACUGUACGUCUGGUUAGGGAGGCUGAGAUUCAACUCAGAAGACCGUGUCUUCACCUUAUUCCCCUUGAGCUAAGGACACCUAGUCCCCGCCCAAUCACUCUGGUAAGUUUUCAAGGUAGACUUCCAAACCUUCACAGACUUUGUUCACCGGCAAUCCAUAAUGACUCUUGGAUGCUCAGAACGCGAUGCCUAACUAGCUGGAGGAUUCACAAUCCUCAAGUGUAACAAGUCUUCAGAUCACGUGGACAGAAAGGCUUCAGUGAUGCCAAACACUCUUUGGGCUCUGGGUGGUUUGGGCUUUGUCCUCGCAAGUAUUCUCUCUCAAAAGCUUCGGAGGUGGGUUGCUCUCAAACGACAAAAGCCGUGUACUAACUCUGAACAGCCACCAAUUUAUGGUGUAGGGGGUGGGCUAUUUAUAGCCACAGGGCAACCCGACCUAAUUUGUCCGAAAUGAACCUGUGUCACUAAGGAACUGACACGUGUCUCAAUGGUCAGAUUUCAAACACACAUGACAGCUUGACUUGGGCUACAAGUAAAGCUGACUCAUCCGACUCUGGAUAAUAUUUGCUCUCAUUUUCUUCGCUCGAAGACAUAUGAUUUGGUUGAGCAUCACUUCAGUCACUCUGACUUUGUUCACUUGGACCCCACUUAACAGUACGGUGGUUCCUAUGACUCAACAAAGACGAAAAGGAAACAACAAAACAACUAAGUCUUCGCUCUCCAUAGUCUUCACGCGAUGUCUUCUCAUGUCAUAGUCUUCAACGUGAAUAGCUUCACAGACCACCAUUGUCUUCAAUAUCUUCACACAUUUUUAGGGGUCAUCUCCGCUAGGUAAAACGAAUCAAUGAGGGACUACUACCUAUGUUAUCCUGCAAUUCUCACAAACACAUUAGUCCCUCAACCAGGUUUGUCGUCAAUACUCCGAAACCAACUAGGGGUGGCACUAGAUGCACUUACAGUAUCCUUUUUCCUUUAUUGUUGUUCCCACUAAAUUUUUGUCUGACCGCCUCUGGGUGGUUUGUCUCACUGUAUCCACAUUCUGACGGAUCUUACCUUGCUUGUUCAUGUUUAUACUGGCUUCAAUUCUUUUCAUAUCUGCUGACUUAGCUGAGUGUGAUAGACUACCCUUACUGAGGUAUGUUGGCUGUCUCACAAAUUCGAGGGUGAUUUCCCGUUGUUGUGUCUGCACUGACAAUCUUCCAUGAAGUGAUGAUCAGAUUUUCCUGAUGAACACCCAAGCUCUGACUCCAUGCAUUGGGUUUCUCAACUGAAUGCAGGCCCUUUGGGUUCCAAACUAUGAGUUGAGGCAUAACCGUUUCCUGACAGGUUCUGAUUCAUCGCAGAAGUUUCUGAUUCAUCUUAACUGGCUCCAUUGUCUUGAGUAUCAGCUCCAUUCUAAUUAUUUAGCUGUCGCUUGCCGUGGCCAGCAUGAAGGGGUACGGCCUUAUAUGAGAGUAUCCGUAGACCUGACUAACAGUGGUUCUGACAGAUGAGAUUUUAUUCAUGCCAAGCUAUCCUUUGGUGAGUCUCAUAAUGGAGGGCUCAUGCUUCCAGACUAUUAUUCCACAUAUUGAUCACUCAUUCUGUCGGCAUAUCCAUGGAGAAAGUAGGCUUUAUGAUGCUUUUACCCAGAUUGUGAGAGUUGAACUGCUGAAUUGACCCUUAGUCUGACUUGACAGACUCAGAUAUUCGAUACUGACAAUUCUGAGCAUAUGUUGUCGACUGAGCGGGUUGCCUUGAUAUGGGGCCCUUACCAAAAAUUGAGUAGACCCCCCUUAGGUGAAUAUCCAUGGUGAUCCAUACUGACUCAGACUAUCUGGGGCAUCUACACCACGCGGUUCUUACAACAAGUAUCAGUCUUGCUCCUUCAUUACUGCUUUCUUGCCUGAAUCCUUGGGUGAAGGAGCGGGGUCAUGUUGUUUCUCUGUGCGACCAUAGUUUCUGUCGGGUGCUAUAUUCUGACAGGCAUACUCUUAUCCACAUCUUCUGACAUGGUAACCCAUUGAAUGGCAGGUUUAACACCUCUCAAGUUCUGACCGUAGGAAAAUGAUCAUCCGAACCCUUGAAGGAAAUCGGCAAAUAAAUCAGUGGCCACCAGAAUGGUCUUUACAACUCAGUUCUGGGGCAUUACUGAAAUAACUCAACCACGGCUCAGGACGGCUGAAAAGCAGCUCAGAGCAUGAGACCGGGUCGAUGAGAAGAAGGUCACUACUAGGGAAAACCUUAUACACAGAAGUUUAUCAGUAGCGCGGUCUAAAAACAGGCGCUACUGCUAAUUAGUAGUAGCGUGGGGUAUAAAAACCGCGCUACUACUAGGUUGAUAGUAGUAGCGAGGGGUAUAAACCCGCGCUACUACUAAAUGAUUUUCAUCAUACCCCUGGAACAGGCCAUAGUAGUAGCGAGGGGUAUAAAACCCGCGGUAUUGCUAAGUUGAUAGCUAUAGCGCUGGUAAGACACCCACGCUACUACUAACCGUGUCCGGUGCUACGCCAUCCACCCCGGCCCGAUCCACUCCCACCUCACCACUCUCUCCCUCUCAUCCCCAAAAAAACUCUCAUGAACUCUGCACGAUCUCGUUGGUCCACCCCACCAGGCUCCUCUCCCCACGAUCUCCUCGCCGCCGCCCCCACCCACGCCGGCCGGUUCCGGCGAGCACCAGCCGCGCGCAACACCCCCACCUCCUCCUCCUCCCCCUCCCUUCCCCUUCCUCCUCCGCUCGCCCCUUCUCUGUACUCCUUCCUCCCGGCAGCUGGUGAUGGGCGCGGACGAGGAGGAGCACUAGUCCCCCACGCGGAAGCGCGAGCACAAGGAGGGGGAGGAGCCCGCGGCCACCAAUGAGAAGCGCCCACGCACGGCGGACGAGUCAGAGGGCGCCUCGCUGCUGGGGCUCGCCAACUACGCAGAUGAGGAGGAGGAGCGCGGGGCCCCGAGGGGGCACGCGAACGGCCGGCCCCGGGAGGACAACGAGGAGGAGGAAGACGAUGAGGAUGAGGAGGAGCACGAGAGGAGGGCUCCGGAGAGGCGGCCCAGGCAGGUCGAGCUGCGCCGGGACUGCCCCAACCCCGACAGGUAUACUGUCUUUAGUUGCAAUGGAGGGUGCUAAGAUUGUUGGCGAUGCAGUGGUCUCUUACUAGUCACUAAUUAGUCAUACAAGCCAUAAAUGAUGCAUCUGGACCCUACCGCGAACGGCGCGACCGGGCGGGGCGCCGGCGCCACCACUAGACAUGGUCCCGUACCGUCUUGUGGCAGGUCCUCGGGCUGUCCAGGCAAGAGCAAGGUGAAUGUUAUUCAUUCGAAUUCGUGUACUGCAAACUUUUUCCUUUGUGUCCACUGUAAAAGUUGAAGGAUGAGUGCGUCUCAACUCAAGUGUAUACAUUGAUUCAGUGUUGUACUGUUAGAUUAGCUCGUCACCUUCAGUAACUGCUACAAGCAGAGCUAUGUGUAUCCCUGUUCUGAACUUGGAUGAAUUCAAGUCAACCGUUCAUCUUGUGUUCUGAACUUAAGAUUUUAUCAGUGUGAGGUUUCCUUGAAAAAAUGUGUGGUGGUUUUCUCCCCACGCCGAUGUAGCGGCCCGCACAUUGGAGACACGAGCAUCGCCAUGGUUUGCUGCAGAAUCUGAAACCAACCAAUUAGAACCUGAAACCUCAUGGUCAACUCAGUCUGAAUAAUAUUGCCUUGUACUACUAUUUGUAAUUUUGGUCAUGUU